CAUAUUUGGCCGCUACAUGAAGAAUGUUCUGCCCUUUCUUAUUGAGGAAUUCUUUUGGAUAUGGGAAUUUAUCAAGAAAUUCCUUCACUACAUCAACAGAGUGACUUUUGCAUGCUACAUGGAUAGGAUAGUCGCCUUCAAGGUUUGUUUCAUAAGCACCAUCGUGAAACUUCGUUAAUAGGAAUCGAACUCCUUCCAGAAAACCUAUGGAUGAUGCAUAAUGCAGUGAAUUUCCCAACUCUUCCUCGGUGAGACGUAAUAGCUCUGGCUUUUCCUUUCCAAUUUUCUCCAAAAUAUCUGAAAAUCAAAAGAAAAUGUUCCAAAUGAAUAUAAAGAUGAUAGCUUUGCAACAAUUGUUUGUAUGUAAUUCAUUUUCUAGUGAGUAAUGAAACUGUGAUCACCUCUGUUACGUUGCUUGAUGGCAGCAUGAACAGGGACUUUCCUUUGGUAGGGCAUCACCCUUUUUUUAUAGGGAACGAAGCUCCCAAAUCAAGAGAUCAUCAAGUAUCUCUUUCUUAUUGCCGUUCUCAACUGCCAGAUAUAAAGGAGACUUGCCAUUUAUUGUUGUUGUAAUAGGCCACUUCUGGAUCUCUGGAAACUAGGAGUUUGGCAACUUCUUUGUUAUCGGCGAUCACUGCAUCAUGCAAAGGAGUGUUUCCCUUUGUAUUUUUCUUCAUGAUCAAGUCGGAUUCGAUUCCACAAGAGAUUUAAUUGUAUACUGGCCUUUCCUUCUCUGGCAGCAAGAUGAAGGAUUGUGUCCUUCUGGCUGUUUUGAAUGGUGAUUAGAGAAGGAAACGUUCCAGCCAGAUAAGAUGUAAUAUUGUCACUUCCAUAGCUUACAGCUACGUGAAGUAGUGUAUUCCCGCAGGGUGUCACUAGCUUCUCCGCUGAACGUUGCUGGACAAGCCUUUAAACCUCAGUAUUGUCCUGCCUCACACACUCAUGCAACUGACUAUCUAUCAUUGCAUUUGCCAUGUGAUCUCUCGGAAUCGAGUUUUCAUCAAUGUUUAUUGCUACGCUAGACAUGGCAAAAGAAAAUAUGGUGUUGGUUGAAUCAGCUAUACAAAAAUUAUAGUCUAAUACCCAGACCCACCUGUACAGAUUCGGGUUGACGAAAAAAAUAUAUAGUUGACUAGUUAAAAUCCGAAUAUCAAAUAUUUUUUUUAAAUAAAAUAAUACUUAUUUAAUUUUUAUUUUCUAAAUCUUCUUUAGUAGCCUCGUUAUUUUGAUUUGCUUUCUAUUGGGUUAUCAUAAUCUCAGAAUACAAGUUGCAAAUUUGUCAUGUUAACCCAAGUUGACUUAAGUCAAUCCAAUAUGUUGUUAUCUUAAUAUUAAAAAAAAAUUAUCAUCUUUAAUUUUUUUAAUCAAACUAUAUUCUUACAUACAUGUCUUAUGGGUUGUUUUUAGAUCCACAAAGUCAUUCAAGUGCAUCGGGUCAACACUUACAUGGUUUUAAUUUUUUAUUUUACAAAUAUGUAAAAAUAAAAUUAUUUUGGUCAAACUUAAAAAAAAAUUCAAUGGUUUUCAGACCGGUUUUUAAAAAAAAAAAUAAAAAAGAAUUUAACAAAAAAAUUAGGUCGUACAAAUUUUAAAUAAAAAAUAAAUAUCAUGGUUAAUUAAGAACAUUGAAUAAUUUUUAAUAAAUACCCUUUUAUGAAAUAUCCUUAAAAGUCUAAUAUGUUUGGCAUUGCCUUUUAAACGGGGUUGGAUAAAUUUUAAUUUUUUUUAUUUAAAAUUAAUUUUUUUAUAUUUUCAAAUUAUUUUGAUGUAUUAAUAUAAAAAAUAAUUUUUAAAUAAAAAAAUUAUUAAUUUUAAUAUAUUUUCAAAUAAAAAACAUAUAUUUUUUUUUAUUCUAACCACCUACAUAGCAAAAUUGAAAACUUAUUACAACCUGGGAUAUGAAAAGGACAUCUGAAAUAAAAUAAAUACAGAAAGCUGUAAUCUGAUGGCAUUAAUUCCCAUAAUUUAUUACACCUGGCCAGUUGUCCUUUCUCGUAACUUUCUAAUUCACUCAUUAAGCUGAGACAGAAAAAAUGCACUGAUCAGAGUGAUUCUCUAGAGGAUGAAAGGGAAAUUAAUCUUAAUUUAAUUUCUUGCAGGCAUUUCACAUGCAUCUCAUUCAACAACUUCACAGGCUGUCUAUAUCCACAUCCCAUGAGCGGAAUCGAAAAGGCAUCAACCAAACCUAACCAUAACUAGGCAUGUGAAGAAGAUCGUUUCACUGCAUGGGUGCUUUGGGAGGUUUAGUUUGACAGAUUCUGUGAUAUGCAAGAGGUGUGUCUUCUUUAAGAAGAAACCAUGUGUUUGAAAUUAAUACUUUUUGGAACAGAUUUGGGAAUUGAUACAGAAAAAACCUGGAUUACUCGAUUAGUUUAAAUUAAUUAUUUAAAUUUAUUUUUAGAAUUGACCUAAUCAACUAGGUAGCCUAGUAAGGUAUAGUCGGGUUAGGUCAACUAGAUUACGAGUAAAUUAUAUUUCACUAGGUCAAUUUCUUUUUUGUUUUAAUUUAAAACCUCGGCCAAGCCACACUUCCGUUCCGGCGUUAACGUUCCAAGUCAACCCAUUAUACUAGGCUAGGUUUAACAAGAAUGUUUAAGACAUUUUAUUUAACAAUAAAAUAAGUAAUCCAAUAUUUCUAACAUCCGAUUCAACAGACUCAAUGUCUUUCCAAUAUGUUUGAAGGCUUAAACACCGAUGUCAAGGCAGUUUUUCCUAUCUACCAGCCUUCGGACCCCUGACCUAGUUGUGACAAGGCAUAAGAGCUGUGCAAAGAGCUUGCCAUGCUCUCUGCUUAAACCUCUUGAGAUUUUGAGAUAUUAGUCUGGAAAUUUCUUGAUUCCCUCAUAAACAAGAAGGAAAAUCCCAUGAGUUUUCAUCUUCCUGCCAUUUCAUGACCAUACUUUGUAUUCGUAGAAGUUAAACACUUUUACAUUUUCUUAAUUAAAAGAUUCAAAGAAAGUAAGUUUAAUAUAAAAAAAAAAAAAAACAUUGGUAGAAGACUGGAGCAUGCAGCUAGCCUAGACAGAAAAUUAAUUGAUGUACAAUCAUAGUCUUAAUUAAUACCCAGACCCACCUGUACAGAUUCGGGUUGACGAAAAAAUAUAUAGUUGACCUAGUUAAAAUCCGAAUAUCAAAUAUUUUUUAAAUAAAAUAAUAUUGUUUUAAUUUUUAUUUUCUAAAUCUUCUGUAGUAGCCUCGUUAUUUAAAUAUUUCCUAAAGUUUGACACCGGGUUGAUUUUUAAAACAUGUGUACAAUUGCUACCCCACUAUCAGGUCAUUAAAGGGUUCACCUAGAGUACUCCUGUUAUUUCACUUAUUUCUGAAAAAGAAUGCAUGCAUGCAUGCAUUCAUAUAUUUACAACUUUAAUUGUACAAGUUAGACCGUACGUAUUCAGUUAUUGGCAUCUCCUACUGCUCUCCACCUUCCAUGUCCUCUCCACUUGAUGAUGAGGCCUUGCUGUCCAUCCUCCUAUUAAAAGUUGCCCAUCCGUAAAUUUAUUACACACCCUGCACAAUUCCCUUUUUUUAUCUGUUUACUGUGUUAGAAAAUAGUAUGAAAUCAUUCUUGUGAUUUUACCUAAUAAUCAUGAUUUUAAAACUCACCUCACCACCUCCAAUUUAACUAAAAUAAAAUUAAAUAUAAAGUAAUGUUGAGUUUCUGCAGAUUUUGUUAUAUGAAACAAUGACAGAAUGGAUUAAUUGAAGAAGUCGGUGUUGACGCUGAAGAUGCAAGAAAAGCACUAUUAUGAGGCUUAAUCUGCAGUGGACAAGGACUCUCCUUUGUAACCGGCUUGAUGGUCCCCUGUAUUCCAUCUCUUCUUUGUGAACGCAGGUUUGGAAUCCAGAAAGUCAUCACCAGAAUUCCCCCGUUUUCCGUCAGUGCCUCACUUCUUAUAUAUCUCUUGAAGGACAACUGGUCAGGUGUAAUAAAUAGUUUACUAUUUUCUAACACAGUAAACUGCAGAAUUCCAAACCCAAAACCAUUAACUUAUUCCCUUUUUUUAUAUGGUGCAUACAAGAAAUAACAUUGAACAUCCAUCUCCCUUUGAGGACUCUGGCUCUCUACAAUUUCCUUCUUCCUUUUUCUAGAUGAACAACACUGCUCUCUACAAUUUCCCACUCCAGAUUUCUCAUAAAAAAGGUUAAAAAACAGAAUAAGCAACGUGUAAAAUUAGAGGUUAAAGCAUGUUGUUGUAAGUAGCUUCAACGCAUCCAAAACUUAUUUAAUUAACACCAUCUAAACUUAGAGCAAAGGAAAAAAAAAAAAAAGAGACCAUGCUGAAGUCAGAGGUGGGAUAUCCCAUCAAUACAUGCAUUUUGGUAAAAAAUUAGGAAAGAAGUGGAUUUAUGAUUUGUUAUGGGUAUGUAAAAUUUGACAAAAAGCUAAUGUAAUGACAACUGAGAAUAAUAGAAGACUUAACAUAUUAGUUAGUUAACUUGUCUAUUUAUUUAUAUAUAGUAUAAUAUACAAUAAUAAAAGUAAAGAUUACAAUCCUAAAGUAACUUUAAUAAUUUUCUAUAGACACACAUUCCAUAACAAGGACGUAGUUAAAGGUAAAUGACCCUACCAGCAUGCAUGAUUUAUGGCAGAGGUGGGAUAUACAAAGCGAUAAGAGUCAGAAAGCAACCCUUCAGGUAGGGCUCGGGUAGAGAAAGUCUCGAUACCUAAGGGAUCCACAUGGUGAGCAUUACGGAGGACAUCCCAUCAAUCAAUACUAAUAAUUACUUUCACAAUGUGUUUUGCCAUUCCAUUUCAGUAGUAACUUAUAUCUAAUUACAAUGAACACUGACAAAAGAAAAGGAACAUUUUAAACUUGAAGAAGAAGUAUAAAUGUAAUUGCAGGGAAGAAGUAAAAAGAAGUCCUACAAAAUAGCAACAUAAAUGUGAAUUACUGCAGCACUUGCAGCCUUCUCUCCAAAUCCCUCAUGCAGGGAGUAUCUAUAAUGCUUGCUUCAAUUUGUGAACACGGAUUCAGAGUUUCAGCUACAGUUCAUAAUCAAAAGAAAGGAAAAGGGUAAUUGAUUGUUGAUUGUCACACGUGUAUGGCAUUGUGACGAUUAUCUUUCUGGAUUGAGAAUGGUCUAGAAGAAAAGAUAACAAAUUAUUGUUUUUUAUCAGUAAAUAGAGGAAAUGGAAGUUGUCAUUUAGUAUUUUAGUUGUCAUGAAACCUAACUAGUCCCUAUUAUAGGAAAUAUUAUAAAAUUUUCCUCCAAUAUAGUUUUAUUCUGUGUAAUAGGUUACACCAUAACGUGUGUGUGUGUAUAUAAAUAUAUAUACACAAUGCCCUACCUACUUAUAUAAAUAGUAGAGGAACUACCCUGAUUAAGGCACUCACCAAAUUAUUACAUAUCUCUACUUUAACUUGGUAUCAGAGCCUCUCUACUUUAAAUAUGUAUUUUUUUCUUCUACUCUGUUGCAGAUUCUUCUCCCUACCAUGAUCCCUGCUCUUUUAUUUUCUACUACAGAUCUGUCUCUCUGUUGCCUGCUAUUCACCCUCUACUACAGCCUCGCUGUCAACAUCAUUUCUCCAUCUGGGUACUCUGCUUAGUCCCUGCCCGAUCUGGACUUAUGCGUGGAUCUCUCCACAUAUUCUCUUCCACAGCAAACCUCUAUUGAUCUUCCUUCUGCUCUGCCACCCAUUCGGCAGCAUCCCAUGGUGAUGCAUCAUAGACAGCAAAGAUUGCCAACAUCAGCUCUGCUUCUGCUCCCUUCACCAAUUUCAGCUCCACAGGUAAUGUUCCCCUCUGCUUUUGAGCAUCUAAGUUUUAAGGAAGCUGACUAGUACUUGUGUUGGCAUACUGCCAUGAAGGAUGAAAUUGCAGCCUUACAUGCCAAUGUCACUUGGUCACUGGUGCCAUUUGAUCCAUCUAUGAACAUUGUUGGUUGUCAAUAGGUGUAUAAAAUCAAGCGUCGAGUUGAUGGGGCCAUUGACUGUUACAAGGCUCGCUUGGUUGCACGAGGGUUCACUCAACAGGAAGGUAUAGAUUAUUCAGAAAUCUUCAGUCUUGUUGUUAAACCGACUACUGUUCGGCUAGUCCUCACGAUUGUAGUCUCAAAAUGAUGGCAGAUUCCGAAACUUGAUGUUCAUAAUGCUUUCCUCAAUGGUUCACUUCGCAAGGUUGUUUACAUGCAACAACCCUAAGAUUUUGUCGACUUAACUUUGCCCACUCAUGUCUGUCGCCUUCACAAAUCUCUCUAUGGCUUAAAACAAGCAUCGCGGGCCUGGUACAUGCAAGUGAGUGAUUUCCUCCUGACUAUUGGUUUUCGGGCUUCAAAGGUUGAUACCUCCUUGUUUAUUCUGAAUGUGAAUCAUGAUAUCUGUUACUUACUUGUCUAUGUGGAUGGCAUCUUACUUAUUGGUAAUAACUCUCAAUUGAUUCAUUGCCUCAUUACCUUCGUGAUUUGGGUCAUGCACAUUAUUUUUUGGGGAUUGAAGUUGAUCCCACCAGUGUGAGUCUUGCGCUUAGUCAACAGAAGUAUAUUCUUGUUAUUCUAAGCCAUGAAUGAAUGUGAUCGUGUAAACCUGUUGAUACACCAGCUUGUGUUUCCAAACUUGAUCUGUAGUCUACUGAGUUGUUUUUAGAUCCCACUCGCUUCCUCCAAAUUAUUGGUGUUCUUCAGUAUCUCAUAUUUACUUGACUAGACAUUUGAUAUGUUGUAAAUAAGGUAUAUUAGUUUAUGCAUGCUCCUACCGAAGGUCAUUGGGCCGCUGUUAAGCGUAUCGUGCGAUACUUGAAAGGUAAUCCACCUUUGGUCUCCACCUUUCUCAUGACUCAGCUUUGACUCUUCAUGGUUUUAUUGAUGCUGAUUAGGCCUACAGUAUUGGUGAUCAAAAAUCCACGGGCCGGUGGAUACAUUGUAUUUCUUGGCACCACUCCCAUUUCAUAGAAAUCUGGCAAGCAACGCAUUGUUGCUCGCUCCUCCACUAAAGCAAAGUAUAAGGCCUUAGCUGAUGGUACUGUUGAGGUUGUUUAGCUUCAUUAUAGUUUUUCAGAUUUAUGUUUCUCUCCUAGUUCUGCUACCACUAUCUAGUGUGAUAAUUUGGGUGCUACUUAUCUAUCGGUUAAUCCGAUCUUUUAUGCUCGUACGAAGGAUGUUGAGGUCAAUUAUUACUUUGUUCAUGAUCGAGAGGCUAAGAAGGAGAUUUAGAUUCACUUCAUCUCCUCCAAAGAUUAAUUAGUCGAUGUUCAUACAAAGUCACUUGCUUCCUCUGCUUUUGCUUCUCUACAUUCCAAGCUUCACGUAGAUAACUCACCUUCAACUUGGGGGGUGUAUUUUAGGAAAUAUUAUAAAAUUAGAAAUUUUAUGUUUCCUCUUGUAUAGUUUUAUCUUGUGUAAUAGGUUACACCAUAACUUAUUUAUAAUGCCCUACUUAUAUAAAUAGUAUAGGAGCUGCCCUGAUUAAGGCACUCACGGAUAAAGGGACUAAUUGCAAAAAUAAAAGGUAUUAGCACCUCUAAUAUAUCUUACCUAAGGCAAACCAUGUUGUUUAUUUGUCUGAUAUAAACUAAGGUAUUGUUGUGUUUUCUAAUCAUUGAUCUGUCUAAAAUUAAAGAAAAAUCAUUCUCAAUAAAGAGAUCUUCAUCUUAUUAGGUUAAAAACUUAACCAUUCUAAUGCUGAAACAUGAAAAAGAAAGAAAAUUGUCUUUUUAUUUAAUUUUAGAAAUAUAUCUUACGUAUAAUCUUAUAAUUCCAGAUAUUAAACAAAAUGUGGUUCUUCCUAUCACAAGUUUAUUUUCCAAGUGUUAAAGAAUAAUAUAAAUCAUAUCCUGGACCUCACCUAACAGCUUAAGCUAUUAGGUUGAGAUGGUUCUUUGAUUUGAGACACUUGGCCGUAUGCACAAAAACAUUUUUUUUCUCUUUUUUGUUUUUAAUUUUUUUGUAAUUUUGAAAGUUGUGACGAAAACCGGGUAUUUUAAUACUGGAUUUAUAUUUUUACGAUGUAAAACACUACCCGAUAUUAAUCAAAAUGACAUAAAAACUGCACGGAAAAAUUAUAAAAUGCUGAAGCAAAUAUUUUUUAUUUUUUUCUUUUUGAAUGGGCCGAGUCAGGCCCAAAUACAUGUGUGAAUAGUGCUGUAAAAUACCACCUGAUAUUAAUAAAAAAAAAUGUGCUGGAAAAAUUAUACAAUUUUGUAAAAAAUAAAAAAUAAAAAAAAUGAAACUGAAAUGGGCCGGACCCGGCCCAAAUGCAUGGGCUGGGCCAACGGCCCAGACCAGGCCCAAACGGGCUGGUUACUGUGCAUAAGCACAGUAACCAGCCCUUCGUUAUUUGCAGAACGUGAAUUAAUUCACGUUCUGCAUGAAGGUGCUGGCGACCAUAAGCAAAGGAAUACGAUGGCGGGGCAACAGGAUGGCGUACCUGUGGUGGCGUCGAGGUGAUGCUGCUGGCGGCGUUGGCACGGUGGCCGGUGGUUUUCCUUCUCUUUCUCUCUUCUGUUUUUUUCUCUUUUUCUUCUGUUUCUGUAUUGUUUCUCUUCUCUCUUCUCUUCUCUCUUCCCUCUCCCUUUUGCUGUGUUCUCUCUCUCUCUUCUGUUUUUUUCUCUUUUUCUUCUGUUUCUGUUUGUUUCUCUCUCUCUUCUCUUCUCUCUUCCCUCUCCUUUUGCUGUGUUCUCUCUCUCUCUCGUCCUCCCUCCUGUUUGGUCUGCUUCCCCUGUUUUAAUAGGCAAAAACAGGGGAAGGACGUCAUGGUGGGGCGGCCACUGUUGGCCGCCCCCUCCACUAUCGAUCAGUGGAGAAAAAGGAGGCAAGUGGGCGUCGAAUGGUGGGCGUCUUAUUGCGUAAAAAAGGAAAGAAAGUUCGGCGAAAAGUGGAGAAAAAAAUUAUUCUCCCCUGUUCUCUGCGUGCGCAGGGAAGAAGACGAUGGUGCCAUUUCAAAAUGGCAUGAAACAAUGCAUGAAACGGCGCCGUUUUGGUCCAAACGUGCCGUUUCAUUUAAAAGAAAAAGGCGCCAAGAUGCGUCAGAUAUCAAAGAAGUCCCUUAAUUGGCGCGCGUUUUGCAUUUUAGUCCUUGGUCUCGGAUUUCUUCAAUUAACCCCUAAUUGGCCAUUAAACUUCAAUAUUUAUGCAAUUAAGCCCUGAUUUGACCAAUUUAACUUCCAAAAAUUAUAAUUUGACCCCAGAAAAUUAAUUUCUUCUAAUUAAAGCCCAAAUUAACUCCAAAAUCAAUUUUUUUUUGCAAUUAAAACCUCUAUAAAUUCAAUUAAACCUUCAAUAAAAUUUAAUUGAGUCCAUAAACUUCUAAUUUUGCAUUUUUCUUCCUCAAAUUGAAUUUUCUUUAUCAUCGGGGCUCUCAUCAGUCAAUGAUAUACUGUCAAAAAUUAAUUUUUAUAUUUUUGAACAUCCUCAAUCAAUUUUUGAGCAUUUUUAGGGCGCUCUGACAUUUUUUUCACUGUUAUAUUUUUUUAUAAUGUAUUUUUUUUAUUUUUUUGUAUUUUAUUAUUUUUUAUGUGGGGACCUAAAAAUGGGUUACAACAGUUGGUAACAGAGGUGCUAUUACGAUUGGUUGGAGAAUAGCUUUAUGGAGAAAUUCAUAUGUAAGUAGUUUGCUAUGGAGAUCAGUGUAGGAGAUGGAUCAACCUUAGUAGACAAGUUGGUGACAAGAUCUUUAAACUCGCAGCGUAACCCUCGAAACACAUGCAGGUAGAAUUCUGCCAAGGAGAUUGGUCUGUCAGCCGCCACAAGUUCAUCAAACAAUGCAUUUGCCUUCUACAAGUAGGUGCUAACAAAAUCAUCAUGCUAGCGUAACUCUUGGAAGGAACCGUGAAGUUGCAUGAUCAUGGAAUUCGAAGGAGAAGCAAGAGUUGUUUCUAGCGUUCUCCAGAUAUCAUGGGAGGUGUUAUGUAGGUCAAAAAAAUUUAAUUUUAAUUGUCCUGCAUGUCCUACUUGGUCAUUAGUGCCCUGUCAUCCGUCUAUAAAUGUGAUUGGUAAUAGAUGGGUGUACAAGAUUAAACGCCACGCAGAUGGUCGAAUUGACCGAUAUAAAGCAUGGUUUGUUGCCCGCAACUUCUCUUAGCAAGAAGGGAUUGAUUAUUUGGAGAUGUUUAGCCUGGUCGUUAAACCUACAAUGGUUCACCUUGUGCUCACUAUUGUUGUCUUAUAUGGUUGGAAUAUUCACUAGUUGGAUGUUCAUAAUGCUUUCUUGAAUGACAUUCUUCAAGAGGAGGUAUACAUGGCAUAACCACCUGAGUUUGUUGAUUCUACUAUUUCAUCUCAUGUGUGUCGUCUUCACAAAUCUUUGUAUGGCUUGAAACAAGUACCUCGAGCUUGGUACAACCGGUUGAGCGGAUUUCUCCUUUCCAUUGGAUUUCAAGCAUCCAAGGUUCACACUUCCCUGUUUAUUCUCUCUCUUAAUGGUGCCAUGAUUUAUUUGCUUGUGUAUGUGGAUGAUAUUUUACUGAUCGGGAGUAACUCAGCUUUGCUUCAUAGAUUGAUUAUUUUACUACAAACAGAAUUUAAGCUUCGGAAUUUGGGUUCUGUUCAUUUCUUCUUGGGUAUUGAAAAAACCUACAGCUAUGGGUAUCUUAUUAAGUCAACACAAGUAUGCACUCGAUAUUAUCCAAUAGCAGGUAACUGGUUGAUACAGAUUGUUGGAGCACUGCAAUAUCUUACUUCCACUAGACCUAAUAUUUGCUAUGUAGUCAACAAAGUAUGUCAAUUUAUGCAUGCCCCUACUAAAGAUCAUUGGGUUGCCGUUAAAUGUAUCCUACAUUACCUGCAGGCUACAGCAACCUAUGGUCUGUACAUUACUCGAGACUUUCUCUUAACUCUUCAUGGUUUCACAAAUGCUGAUUGGGCAGGUAGUAUUGACGAUCGCAAAUCCAUAGGUGGGUAUCUUAUGUACCUUAGUUCUACCCCUAUUUCAUGGAAAUCCAGGAAACAACACAUUGUUGCUAGAUCUUCUAUGGAAGUAGAAUACAAAGCCUUGGCUAAUGGUACUGCUGAAAUUUUGUGGAUUCGUUCUUUAUUGGCAGAACUUUGGAUUUCCGCUUCAUCCAUGACUACGUUAUGGUGUGAUAACUUAGGGGCCACUUUCUUAUCUACCAAUUUGGUGUUCCACGCUCCUAAACAUGUUAAAGUUGAUUAUCACUUUGUUUGUGAUUGCGUUGCUAAGAGAGAAAUUCAGAUACAAUUCAUCUCUUUAAAGGAUCAACUUGUUGAUGUUCUUACCAAGCCUCUCCCAGUCUCGUUUGGUUAUGUUUGAUCCAAGCUUCAGGUGGAAUCUCCACCUUCAGCUUGACGGGGUGUAUUAAGAAAAGAGACCACAUAUAUGUAAAUACAUUAUAUAGGGAUAGUUAUCAUGUGUAGUACAUUCCACCAUUGUAUUGUAUACAACCCUAAAGGUAUAAAUACAAAGGGAUGGUUGUUUUCAAUCAUUGAUCACAAUUAUACAAAAGACUAUCUUUCUAAUCUUGACAUGGUAUUAGAGUCUUGAUGACCAAACGGUCACGAGUUCGAAUCUCACCAUCCUCAUUUAUUUGAUAAAAAUUAAGCACAAGGUAAUAUAGGUUUGUGCAAUUUUCAAGCCCAAAGGGUUUUUACUUGAAGGGGUGUGUAGAAAAUAAUGUAAAUCAUAUCAUGAGACCUCACCUAACAGCUUAAGCUAUUAGGUUGAGAUUAUUCUUUGAUACCAAGAUAAUUGGUCUAUCAAGACUAACAAGAGUUCUCUUAAGAUUGUCAGUUAUUUCUUCAUCAGUUCAACAUCCAAUCUGCUCAUUAUUGUUACUUACAAUUUUUCUAUAAGAAGAAAAAAGAAUACAGUGCUUAUAACUAGGAUGGGGUGCUACCAGAUCUUUAGUUUUCCUCAAUAGACUUUGUAAGAUUAUCUAAUUGCUUCAAGUACAACACUUAUAAUAGGAUUUUGAAGUCUAAGUAAGUUCUUAGUGAAAGCGGAUGCUGUAAAAACAAAACACUACAAAGACAUUAACCUAACCAACUUGUGUUAACUAGAAUCCCGCUUUUUGAUCAAUUAAUUUCCAAACUAGAUUUACUAACUAUAAUUUUGAGGAUAACAACAUAUUUAAGCUAAGGUAGUGGAAGACUUUAACCAAUGAGGCAGUUUCUGAAAAUUUCUUUUCUAAAUAAAAACUAAAUAUUUUUCAUUAAAAAAAUAUAAAAAUGGCUCCGUAAGUGAGGGAAGAUGAAGUCGUGUUGUGUGCAAGCAGCAUAAGAAGAAAGAUGAACUAGGUUUGACCAACCUUGACAAGCAUUCAGUUGAGCUACCAAUUAAUUUCUGUUGGCUAAAAGAUGCAAAUAAACAAUGAAUUGAACUAAAUACUCAACAAUAAACAAGGUCCCGUUGGAAAAAAUGCUCCUCGAAUUAUUAACAAAUACACUAAAAGAACUUGACUGCGCAAUAUUCAUAUAAUAACCUAAUUUAAAAUAGAGAGAUACUACUAAGAGUUAAGAGGAGAGAUGGGAGGAAAAGUUGAAUAGAAACAAAAGCAUUUCACACCUUUAAAGUUUGAAAGUUACUGAAGUUUGAAGGAGAUAAUUGAAGGGAGGAGAAUGAGUGCAGGCGGUGAGAAAAAAUAUAAUAGAAAGAAGGGAAAUGUUAUUUAUAUAAAAAAAUAUUUAAGAUUAUUUAUAUAUUUAGGAGGCUGCUUUUGCGUCAACUGGACAACAAGAGGAACUUUAGAAGCAUGGGCUUCUUUCACUCACGAGGAUUCACACCAAGAAAAGCUUGAAGCUUUGCAUUUUAAUGGAAGAAAUUGAGCCUAGAGGUGUAAGUAGCUUUUGGGACCCAAUUUCUUGGAAUCAUAUCUCUUGCAAACAUUGCUCUUCCUGUUGAUAGUGUUGUUAACUUCACAGAUAAUGGUCCUUUCUAUUGAUAAUUAUAGGUAUAUAAAGAAUUGAAUAUGAUGAUAAUCAGAAAAACAAAGAACAGAGAAUUUGAGCAAAGAACAAAGAGCAGAAUGUUUUUAUAAGUUACUGCCAUCCCUUAGCUUUUAUUUACAAAUGAAAUCAAUCACAACAAAAUUAAAAAACGCAACUAACAUAAACUCCUUCAUUUAAAGAGUUAUGUAACUUAUCCUAAAGAAGUUUCAAAUCGAAAAAAGUAAAAAUUGACUAAACAACAUCAAGAUAAUGAUGUUACUAAUAAAUAGAUAUUAAUGAAAGAUAACCUACAACUGAUACAUUAAUUUCAGCUUUGGUGCCAUAACUUCAACACUCCUCCUUGGUUCCAAAGCUGCAUAUCCAUAUCCUCUCCCUUAGAUCUUCAAAUCUAUCUUUAGCUAAAGGCUUGUUGAACAGGUCUGCUAAUUGCUCUUUUGAAAUGCAGUAUAUCAUCUUUAGUUCCCCUUCUUGCUGGAAUUACUUGAUAGCAUGGAACUUAAUCUUCAUAUGCUUGGUCUUGUCAUGAAAAUAGAAUUCUUUGAAAUAGCUAUUGCUGAUAUAUUGUCACAUAACAAUUUUAUGGGACUUCGUUGAUGAAAGUCUAGAUCAUUCAACAUUUUCCUUAGCCAUAUCAAUUGCUUUGUUGCCACAUAUGCUGCUACGUAUUCUACCUCUACAGUGGAAUGUGCAACCACUGAUUGCUUCUUUGAGUUCCAACAAAAAAUGCUUCCUCCAAUAGCAAAGCAAUAACUUGAGGUGCUCAUCAUUUUUUCAUUUCUUCCAGCCUAAUCACUAUUAGAAAAACCAAUUAGUUUAACAGAACUUGAUUUCACAAAAUGCAUGCCAAACUCUAAGGUCCCUUUUACAUAUCUCAGAACUCUCUUGGCUGCAACAAAAUAGAUUUGAUUUGGACUUUGCAAGAACCUAGAGAUGUAAUUGACAACAAAACAAUGUCUGGACGUGUAGCAGUUAAAUACAACAAGCUGCCAACUAAACUUCUAUAGGUUUUUCCAUCAGUUUUGGGAGAUUCAUCCUCCUUCAUUAGCUUUUGUUCCAGUACCAUAGUACCAUAGGUGUACUGACUGGUUUGUAAUUUUCAAUUGCAAAAUUUUUAGUAGCUUUAUUGUAAACCUCUUUUGACAUAGAAAAUAACUUUGCUCUAACUGAGUUACUUCCAUGCCUGAGAAUUAUGACAGCAAACCAAGUUCAUUAAUCUCAAACUAAUCAUCAAAUGACAACGUGGGACACAAUCUGCAUUAUAUAUUGUAUUCUCUUCUGUUGAUGGAGGGGUGGUGUUUGCUGUAUUUGUUAGAACAAAAUAUUUUUUUAAAUUGCUCGUCCUUUUACCUUGAAAAAAAUCCUGCAGCAGGGAUGGGAUGGAUGUUUGUUGAUUUUAUCGUAAUGCACCGUGUCAAUGAUUUUGGGACGGCCAUUUUAAUACUGUUCAGACCAACCAAGCUGUUGAUAUCUUUAAUUAACAUUCGUAUCUUAAUUUGAUUAUUAUUAUUAUUUUUUUUACUCAAUCAAACAACAACAACAGGAGUCUAGUAAAUACAUGCUUAAAAUAUAUAUAUAUAUAUAUAUAUAUAUAAGUAGAAGUGCGCAUACAUUCAAUUGGAAACUCAAGAGUUAUUACAAAGUUCAAAUUAUUACCACAAUCGCUAGCCAGACACAAUCCAAGAUGUGAUCGAUCCCAAAAUCCCGACCUCUGAUCUUACUAAAGAUUGUGCUUUAUCUUGUGAUCAGAGAGCUUUCUCUUGAGAUCAGAGGGUAUAUUACGCAGCCACCACCUACUGUAAAAACAAGAAAAUUAAGUAGUAGAUAUAAUGCAAGAGCACUAGUAGAAGAACCGGGUUGCCAAAUAGCAGGAUAAUCGAAGGAAAAACAAAGGCCACCCCUGCAAUGAUGAUUGUUAACAUCCAACCAUGGGAUCCUAUUAAUGCUAUUCUCACAGAAAAAAGGAAUGCCCCGAACAUCAUGAAAAUAGCCAAACAAACCAUGAUAAUUGAAAACCCAACUGUAGAGAUUUGAAAUCUGGGAAUAUUAAAGUUUGGCACAAGAAGGAAUAGAGCUGCCGCCAGAGAGGUAGAUAAAGCCCACAUCGAGAAACAAAUAACCAUACAGAAGAUUCUCAUAAGUGCUGUAAUCGGAGGCAGUAUAAGUGACGUUAAAUUCAUGACGAUGAUCACUUGAGUUAUUGUUAUCCCUUAAUUGUGGCAAUUGUAUAGCACCCGCAAAGGUUACUCCAGCAACAAGCACUGCCACCACUAGAAGAUUCCCUGUCAUGCUCUUUGUUUCCUCUUUUGCUUUUGACAUGGGUAGUGGGUAACAUGGAAAAACCUCUUUAGGGAAUUCUUAGGUCGGGCAUUGAAGAAUAAGAUCGAUAAUGUCAGCACCUGCAUAUAUAGCACGGGGAAAAAAAACUUAAUUGUUUAAUGAGUUCUUGGCACUUCCUCAAUUGCAUCUAAAAACGUUGACCUUCGAAUGCCUUUCCCAGAACAAGUAAUUUUCUGGAAUGGUUUAGAAUUUUUUAAUAUAAUGGUUUACGAGUUAAAUCGAUUGUUUUGUUAAAAGAUUAGGGAUGGCAAGGAAAAAAGAAGAAGCAAUAAUACCAAUGGGAGAUACAAAACCGUUAUUUCGUCCUUUGGUGAUGCCUCUUUUGUAUCCAUCUUAUUUGAAUCAAUUUCUUUGCCCUGUCAAAAUAAUAAUAAUAUUAUUAUUAUAUGUGAAAAUGCAGUGCUCUCCUGUGUGCUAUGGCUAGACAACAAUCGAAGCAAAUGAAACUGGUUCAUGUUUGAAAAAAAGUCAUUUGACAUUAAAUGGUUUUGAUUAAAAUAAUAUAUUUAUUGAAGAUUUUUUAUUUCGUGUUGCGAGAUACUUUUAAUUUUUUAUUUAAUUACAUGACAAUAAAAAUUAAUUUUAUUAAAUAAUUUAAAUUCUAUUAUUGAAAAAAAAAGGUAUCUAUAUUUUUUUUAAUCAAAACCAUUUUCCUUAUUAAUACGUUCCAUUUUUUUUACUAAUGUUUUUAUAAAAUUGUUUUUUUUAAUAACAACCUAUCAUAAUCUUAUAAAUAAUUUUUAAUUUAAAAAAUAAAAUAAUUAUGGAUUGAUGAUUUUCUUGAAAAAAAAAAUAUUAAAUCAGUAAUACUCCUAAAAUAUAUAGACUUUUGUAGCUCGAUAAAUGAUGAUCAAAUUAGUAGCUUUCCAUUUCAUCUGUUUUUAAGUAUUCCUCUUCAGAUCUUUUGGAAAAUUGUUCAGCCCACUCAUAUGGUGUCCAAUUUUCAUUGUUAACAAUGAAAUGUUCGACGCGAUUGUCACGCACAAGAAGAAAUGUAGCCGCGCAUCGGCCAUAACCUGCUGCCAAGUGCAAAGGUGUAUUUCCAUCCUCAUCUAUCGCAUUUAGCAGCGGUGCGACGAGCUUCUGGUCCAGCUUGAGUAUGUACCUAACCACACUGUCAUUUCCAUAUUUGGCCGCUACAUGAAGAAUGUUCUGCCCUUUUUUAUUUAUGAAUUCGUUUGGAUAGGGGAUAACUUUCAGGAAUUCCUUUAACAAAGCAACCGAGCCUCCCUUGCAUGCAAGAUGAAUAGGAUAGUUGCCCUCUUGGUCAGUUUCAUCAGCACCGGGAUGAUACUUUUGUAAUAGGAAUUGAACUCCUUCCACAUAGCCUGUAGAUGAUGCAUAAUGGAGUGGAUUUCCAAACUCUUUGUCAUGGAGACGUAAUAACUCUGGCUUUGCUUCUUCGAUUUUCUGCAAUAUACCUGAAAAUAAAAAUAAAUUGUUUUGAAUGAAUUUAAAGAUAGGUUUGCAAGAUUGGUUUGUAUGUAUAUCACUUUUCUGAUGAGAGGAGACAAUGUGAUCACCUAUGUUACGGUUCUUGAUGGCAGCAUGAACAGGGGACUUUCCUUGUGGUAGCAUGCCAAGUGAAUCUCCAUCUUCUCUUUCUCUAGGGAUCGAAGCUUCCUCAUUCAAGAGAUCAUCAAGAAUCCCCUUCAUAUUGCGAUUUUCAACAGCCAGAUAUAAAGGAGACCUGCCAGUCUUGUUUUUGUAAUAGGCCACUUCUGGAUCUCUGGACAUGAGGAAUUUGGCAACAUCUUUGUUACCAUUGAUCACUGCAACAUGCAAAGGAGUGUUUCCUUCUCUAUUUGUCGUCCUCAGCAAGAAAGCAUUCGAAUUGACAAGGUUUCGAAUUGCAUGACUAAUACUUCCCUCUCUGGCAGCAACAUGAAGGAUUGUGUCUUGCUGGUCGUUUCGGCUGGUGAUUAGAGAAGGGAUCUCUUUAGCCAGGUAAGCAGUAAUAUUAUUACUUUCAUACCUUAUGGCUACAUGAAGUAGCGAAUUCCCACAGGGAGUCACUAGCUUCUCCGCUAAAUGUUGCUGGACACGGCUUUUAAAUUCCUCAAUAUUGUCCUGCUUCACGUACUCAUAUAACUUACUAUCUAUCUUUUUAUUUGCCAUGUCAUCUCUCGGAAUCGAGCUUCCAACUAUGUUUAUUGCUACGCUAGACAUAGCGAAAGAAAAUAUUAUUUGACCUGAAUCAGCUAUACAUAUCAGACGGCAGGACUUCUAAUUUAAAUAGACCAGACUGCAUGUCAAUGGAAUCUGAAAUAAUGUGAAUCUUACUCUUUUUUUUUAUUUGCAAGGAUAUAUACUUUGAUUACUCAAAUACUUCACGCAUUUGUUCUGGAAUCCAGAACAUAGCAAGAGAGAGAGAGAGCAGUCUUGGCUAUGGUUAAAGCAGCAUCUUGAAAAGGAAAAGGGGAAAAUCUGUCCCCUAACUCAGAAAAGAUGAGUGUUCCUAGGGAAAUUCUUAGCUUAAAUUUGUAACUCAAAAAAGAUGAUUGUUGUUAGGAAAAUUCUUAACUUGAAUAUAUAACGCAAAGGAAAUUCUUAACUUGAAUAUAUAACUCAUAUACACUAUGCAGGUGGGAGAAUCCAUGGUUUAAUGAACAUGAUGAUGCACGAUGGCAUGAGAGUCCACAUCUUAUACCUUCCGGUGAUUUAACCAAUUAAUUCAACAGUUUUAAACUCUCAUGUUAAAAUCCAAGAAUACAGUUUUAUAAUUUUUAUUAUUUUAAUGGGAGAUCUCGUGUGCGUUGGACUGCAUUAUAUAUGUAUAUAUAAACGAAUUUUCAACUAUUGAUUUGGAGUGUCGAUUUAAAGUAUUGUAAUAGCUUAAGAUGUUUAUUGAAUAAGAUGAAUCUAGCUAAGUCUUGGCUUUACCCAGCAUGAACAUUUUCUUUUUAGUUACAUACCUAAUAUGAAUUUCAUUUUGUAGUAAAAGUAUGGAACUGAUGGUAAAAAAAAUAAUAACUAGUUUUUUUAAAAAAAAAAAAAAGCUUUGGAACGUUCUGUGCCUUGCCCAGACACUUGUUGGUCGCCCAUUGGACAGCAAGACCGAUUGGUUGCCCAACUUGCCUAGCAACCAACCAACUUAUCUCUCUCUCUCUUUCUUUUUCUUAUUUUUUUUCUCUUUUUAAUUUUCUCUCCUCUGUUUUUCAACAAAUAAAACUACAUGCCACGAACUCUAUAUAUUAUUUUUUUAUAAUAUAAUUUAAUUGUCUUAAUACAAGAGUUAAUAUAUUUUCAUAGUUUUGGAGCACUAAUUAGACAUAAAAAAAAAGAUACAAAUUACAUUAAAAAGCAGGUUCGGAAGGUUCAACAAAAGUAACCUGCUAUCAAGCUAUAAGCCUGAAAAGAAUAAUAAUGAGAGGGUGAGUUCAACAACUUAGUGAGUAAAUAAUAUUCAAUAUACACACACGAGGUAAUACAACAAUGAUAAUACAUAUACAAUUAUGGCUCUAGGUUCUUAUAGGAAGGUUUCUCAAAUAGAUCAUAGCAAGAAUAUCAUAUGGUAAAGCUCGUCAAAAAAUCAAAAUGCAAUAAGCAUGAGACUCUGUACUGUGGGAUGAUCAGUCUACACAGGUUGGUGACUCCCCCGACCAACUAGGGUUCAUAUACGAUAUGCAUAAAGACUAACAUUACCCUGUUAGCAUGUGUAUUCUGACUAACAUACUAUAGGUUCAUAAUCAUAAUCAAACAAACAUAUUCAUAUCUCAAAGCUCAACUCAUGACAUCAAUCAAAUGAGGAGCUAUCAAUUUAAAAGUCAAUUCAAAAUAUAUACUGGUUCAUAUCAAGAAUUCAGAUUCAAUAAUUGAUCAUGCUUUAUCAUAACAAGGAUAAUAAUAAUCAACAUAUAUAUUAUCAAGAAGCAUGAUCCAAUUCAUAUUAACAAAUCAAAUAUUUAUAAUAUUUCUCAUGCAUAUGAAAAAUUAUCCACUCACCUGACUCAAAAGCAAACGGCACUCAAAAGUUGAUACCGAAGGAAAUCCUACUAACGUCCCGCUAGUAAAAUAUCAGGAUUAUCUAAAAAAAAAUUUAGCCUAUUUAAUACACUUAACUAAAGGUGUAUUCCGUAACCCUAUAUGUUUUGAACUAACUAGUCAAUUUUCUCAAAAACCCAAAAUUUAAUGGUUUUCCCGAAAUCUAAUCCAUAAUAAAACAACUAAUAAAAUUGGUAAUAAUUCACUAAAUAAACCUUAAUUAUUCAACAAAAUAAUCUGCAAAAGCUAAUAUUACAACUAGGGACUAAUCUGAAAUUUAUCAUUUUUUAGGGCCAAAUUGUAAUUUUCAUCUAAUUGGAGGACCAAACUAAACAUAUCAUAAAUUCAUGACUAUAGUGGAAUUAUGUCCAUAAUUCAUCCGCAUUUCUGUCCAGAACCUCUAAUUAUGCUCCAGGGACCAUUCUGGGAUUUUUUUUCCCAAAUUUUAGGGUCAAAUUGUAAUUUUUGUCAAAUGGAGGACCAAACUAAAAUUGUCAUAAAUCCAUGACUAUAUUGAAAUUAUAACCAUACUUAAUCCUCAAUUAUGUCCAGAAUAUCUCAUUAUGCUCCAGGGACCAUUCUAGAAUUUUACCAAAUUUUUAGGGUCAAAUGGUAUUUUUUUUCAAAUUAGAGGACCAAAUUGAAAGUUUUAAAAUUUCAUAACUAUACAGUAAUUCUGCCCAGAAUUCAUAUGUUAUUCUUUUCAGAAUCUCGGAAUAUGCUCCAGGGACCAAUUUUUAAUUUUCCAAAGUUUGGGGACUAAACUGUAAUUUUCACAAAUUAAGGGACCAAAUUGAAUUUUCGUCAUCUUCAACCUCCAACCCAGAAUUUUAAUAUAAAACCCACUGUUCUCUCCAAAUUUCUAACACAAAUUAACCAUUCAAACAAAAUCAUAACUCAAAAUCAUCAUCUUUCAAUUCAAUCUCUCAAAAUCAACCAAAUAAUCAAAUAUCAACACAACAAUUAACCCUGGUUUUGUUAUGUUAUUUAUUACCUCGACACUCCUGCACUUGGGAUAAGACAUUAAUCUUUUAAUCAUGUUGAAAAUUUAGAUUCCUUUUAUUUCUUAUCAUGAUCAACGACUUGUAGAUGUUUUUAUUAAGUUAUUUUCUAUUGUUUUUCAAUUCAAAUUUCGGGUCGAUUCUUCACCAUAUAUAUAUAUAUAUAUAUAUAUCAAGGAAAUAUUAAUAUGUUUAAUCACUGUUAUAUAAGGUGUUGGUUAACUAAUAAGUUAAUAUAUAAUUCCAUUCACAACAUGACACUUUGACUAUUUGUUUUUUGUUUUUGUUUCUUUUAAUAUAAGAACUUAUAUAGCCUAUCAUUGAUAAAUAAAUAAAUUAAAUUUGCUUUAAUGGAGUCAUUUUAAUUUGCUUUAACUCAACUUAUUGACAAUUUUCUCUUAAAAUUUAUUCAUUUCUGAUAAUAUAUUGAUAGAACACACAUAUUCAAUUCAUUAUUUCAACUGGAAACUCAAAAGAUAUUACAAGUUCAAAUUAUUAUUACAACAUCUAGACACACAAUAUUCCAAGAUGCUUUUUCACCCCUAACCUUCUAAAAAAAGGCGAUCACACAAAAUCAUGACAUCUGUUGAUGAAGAUCAACCUGGAUAGUUACUUGGGCUUUGUCCAGAGAUCGCGAAGUUUAUGAAGACGUGGAAGACUAUACGACGUCAGGCACCUCCAAUUGUAGACAAGCAUGAAAAACGAGAUGUAGUAGACAUAAUGCGAGAGCUUUCCUUCAAUAAUUUGAUUGACGGAUGGCGGAAGAAUCCAUUGAAUAUAAAGCAAUGUUUGAGCAACGAAAAACGCGAUCCCCACCACUAUAAGGAUGAUUGCGAACACCCCAUAAUUGGAUCCACCUAAUGCUAUGCUCACGGCAAAAAAGAAGGACAAGCACAUCAUGUAAAUAGACCCACCCACCAUUAAUGAUGAAAACCAAACUGCAAAUGGUGCAAACUUGACAUCGUUCAAGUUUGUCCAAAGAAGGAUUAUAGCUGCCACCACAGAGGUAUUUAAAGCCCACACAUCAAGACACAAAUAACCAUCCAAAAGAGAUGAACCAGUAGGACUGUCAAAAGCAGUGCUGUUCCGGGAGGCAGCAGUAGUGCUCGAGUUAUUUUUAUCCCUUAGUUGUGGCAUCUGUAUAGCACCCGCGAAGGUUACACCGGCAACAAGCACCGCUACAACAAGAAGAUUCUCUAUCCUGCUCUUUGUUUCCUGUUUCCUUGGCGGCUUGCCUUGAGUACUAGUGAAACGCUCAUAUAGGGAUUUCUUAGGGCGGGCAUGGAAGUAUAAGAUAGAUAAUGUUGUCAUCUGCAUAGCAAGGGGAAACAAACUUCGUAAUAAUGAGUUUCUGGAACUUCCUCAAUCGCAUGCAAAAGCGUUUGCCUUGAAAUCCCUUUUUUUUUUUUUUAAGAACAAGCACGAUUCUGGAAUGAUUUCUGAAUUUUGAAAAUAACUGUAUAGAAUCUAAAUUAAUCGGCCUUCAAGUAGAUGUUCAAAAGAAUAGGGAUGACUAGAAAAAAUAUAGGAAAGAAGAUGUGUAAUAUUACCGUUCCAUAAUAAUCCAGCAGCUUGUAGUCCUUUGAAUCAACUGCUUUGUCCUGUAAAAAAACAUAAUUUUAAGUUAAUGAAUAGAGCGACCUCUUUUUUCUUUCUUCCCUUCUUUCCUUUUGUGCUAUGGCUAGCCAACAAUAUAAGCCACUGAAACUGAUAAUUAACCUCGAUUUUGUGUAGUCAAUGUAAACUUGUACCUUUCCUUGAGAACCAGUCGAAGCGGUCGCCUUUUCUGUUGUAGAAUUCUUCUUUCCAUCCUUCACAUCUUCUGAAUUAACUUCGAUCUGAGGAAUGAAGACAGAAAUCAUGAAGCAACGCAGAGCAGAUAAUUGUACAAAUUACAUGACAUGAGCUCUUCUGACAAAGGAUGAUUGAGUCUAUCAAAGAACCACUCAACUCAAAAGCUUGAACAGCUAAUUGAGGUUUAAGGAUACGAUUUUAUAUUAUAUCUUUAGUCCUGAAUUUCAGUCAGCUUUUAAGAGUGUUAAGUUAUAUACUCUGUUUCCAUUUUUUCAUGACAUCAUCCUUUAUUAUGUAAAAUAUGAUAUCCUUUAGUGAAAUGGAAUCCUUGUCUACUUAAAUUGUAACAACAUUGUUUUUCAACAGAACUCUCAUACCUGGAUCUCGUCCGCAGGAAUACUGUUCUUUGAAUCAAACUGCUCUCGUUCCUUAGCAAGCUGGCAACAAAGAGGAAACCCAGACACCAAAAUAUUAAAUAAAUAAUACUCUUAAAAUAUGUACUUUUGUAGCCUCGAUAAAUGAUGAUCAAAUAGCAUACCAUUUCAUCUGUUUUGUCAUAUUGGUCUACAGCCUUUUGAGAUUGUUGUUUCGCAACAUCAUAUGGUGUAAAAUUUUCAUUGUUAACAAUUGAUUUUUCAACGCGUUUGUCACGCACAAGAACAAAUGCAACCAUGGAUUGACCAUGUCGUGCUGCCAAAUGCAAAGGUGUAUUCCCAUCCUCAUCCAUCUCAUUUAGCAGUGGUUCUACGAUCUUCUGAUCGUUUUCGAGUAUGUACCUUACCACAUUACCCUGUCCAUUUUCUGCCGCUACAUGAAGAAUAUUCUGCCCCUUUUUAUUCAGGAAUUCUUUAGGAUAUGGGGUAAUCUUCAGAAAUUCCUUUACUACAUCAACAGAGUCAUUUUUGCAUGCAACAUGGAUAGGAUAGUUGCCAUCACUGUUUGUUUCAUAAGCACCAUUGAGAAACUUCUUCAAUAGGAAUUGAACUCCUUCCAGAAAACAUAUGGAUGAUGCAUAAUGCAGUGAAUUUCCCAACCUUCGGCAGUGAGACAUAAUAGCUCUGGCUUUGCUUUUGCAAUUUUCUCCAAUAGAUCUGAAAAUCAAAAGAAAAUGUUUCAAAUGAAUAUAAAGAUGAUAGGUUUGAAACAAUUGUUUGUAUGCAAAUCAUUUUCUAGUGAGUAUAGACAUUGUGAUCACCUAUAUUACGUUGCUCGAUGGCAGCAUGAACAGGGGAUUUUCGUUUUGGUAGGGCAUCACCAUCUUCUCUUGUUAUAGGAAUCGAAGCUCCCAAAUCCAAGAGAUCAUCAAGUAUCCCGUUCUUAUUGCCAUUCUCAACAGCCAGAUAUAAAGGAGACCUGCCAUUCUUGUUGCUGUAAUAGGCCACUUCUGGAUCUCUGGAAACUAGGAAUUUGGCAACUUCUUUGUUACACUUGAUGACUGCGUCGUGCAAAGGAGUGUUUCGCUUUCCAUUUGCCAUCCUCAUCAAGCUCGGAUUCAAUUCCACGAGAGAUUUAAUUGUACGAAUAGCCGUUCUUUCUUUGGCAGCAAGAUGAAGGACUGUGUCGUUCUGGCUGUUUCGCAUGGUGAUUAGAGAAGGAAACUCUUUAACCAGAUAAGCUAUAAUAUUGUCACUUCCAUAGCUUACAGCUACGUGAAGCAGUGUAUUCCCGCAGGGAGUCACUAGCUUCUCUGUUAAAUGUUGCUGAAAACGUCUUUUCAAGGCCUCAGUAUCGUCCUGCUUCACACACUCAUGUAACUGACUAUCUAUCAUUGCAUUUUCCAAGUGAUCUCUCGGAAUCGAGUUUUCAUCUAUGUUUAUCUCAACUGCACUAGACAUAGCAAAAGAAAAUAUUAGGUUACUUGAAUCAGCUAUACCUAUCACUUAUCAGACAGCAGGACUUCUAAUUCAAAUAGGCUAGACUGCAUGUCAAUGGAAUCUGAAGUAACGUGAAUCUUAAUUACUCUUUUUUUAUUUGCAAGGAUACUUUGAUUAUCAAAUACUUCACCCAUUUCGUUCUGGAAUCUUGGCUAUGGUUAAAGCAGCAUCUAAAAAAGGAAAAGGAAAAGGAAAAGAGGAAAAUUCUUAACUUGAAUUUAUAACUCAUAUACAGAGUGCAGUUGGGAGAAUCCAUGGUUUAAUGAACAUGAUACACGAUGGCAUGAGAUUCUUCAUCUUCUCGCGGUGAUUUAACUAUUCAAUUCAAAAGUUUCGAACUCUAACGUUAAGCUCGAGUGGUUAGCGCCUGAAGCAAGCCGAAGUCGCGGGUUUGAUCCCCCCUGGACGCACAAUUUUUAGUUUUCUAAAAAAUAAAACACAUACAAGUUCCCCCCCCCCCUCAAAAAAUAGGUUUCUAUUGAUUUUUUUCAUUUAGUAUUGAUUUCAAAGUAAAUUAAUUUUUUUAUUGUAUAAUAAAAACAAAAAACUCAAUGUAAUGUAAUUUUGAAUAGUAAAUGUAGCGGAUUAACUAUGGUGAACUUGACUUGAUUCUUUACUUCUUCUAGUUUUUUUUUUUUUUUGUUUUUUUGCAUUUAUACAGUCAAUAAGAUCAUGUCGAGAUAAUUUUUAUAAAAUUUAAUUUAAAACUAGAGUUGAGUAAAAUGUCGUGUCAAGUGUUUUUGACAUUUUAAUUUUUAUACCAAAUUUAAUAUAAAGCUGAAAAAUUGAUACAGUUUAGUUAUUAUUUUUAAUGUUUAAAAAGAAUUAGUGAUGAACUAUAUAUGGUAAUAUACAAUACAAGUUGCUUGUUCUGAAGGGAAAAAAAGAAGCACUAAAUCAUCUCCGAAUUUGAAUUCAAUGAUUUAAACUUAACGAACAAAAAGAUGAUAGAAGAAAACAUGCGAUGAUCUCAAUCCAAAAAUAAAGAAAUAAAGGUUCAAAUUUAUAAUUCUCUUAGAAAAAAGUUGAAUAAUUAAAGGUUUAUGAGCAAUUUCACUACAAGAUUUCACAGUUUUACCGAUGGCAAUAUUCUGUUGGUGUGUGAUAGAAUGUUCGUCGGUAAAUUAUUUACCGACUAUAUUACCGACGGAAUAUGUCCGUCGGAAUACCUUUUGUCGGUGAUUCCACAUUCCGUCGCUAUAUCGGUUGGAAAUACAAAAAAAAAAAGUUUUCCGCUUGGAAUAUACCGACGGAAAAUAUUCCGUCAGUGAUAUGUAAAUACCGACGGACUAAAUCCGUCGGUAAAAGUGUCGGUGAUAUUUCAUGCCGACCGAAUAUUUCCGUCUGUAAAUUCGUCGGUAAGUUUAUGCCGACGGAUUAUUUCCGUCGGUGAAUAUGUCGGUGAUGGGAUGGAAUACCGACUGAAUCUGUCCGUCUGAAUAUUCGUCGGUGAUGGUAGCAGACACUGUCCAAUGCUGACGGAGUUAUUCCGUCGGUAAAUCCCUAUGCAAAUUUUUUUUAAUUUUUUUUAAUUUUUAGAAAAAAUAAUAUAAAUUAAUGGUAAUACAAACCAAUUAUGCAAAUAAAAUUUAUAUUAAGCAACAAAAACUCAAAGUUAAAUAAUAUUCAUUACAAAAUGAAUGUGUUUCAAAAAAACAUUAAACGAAAUUUUAAAUGUAAAUAAUGUUUAUUAAAAAUUAAUAUAAAGGUGGAGGAGGAGGAGGAGGAGGAGGCUGGGGGUUAGGCGGCCAAAAAGGAUUAGGCGCACAUGUUCCACCUUGUGUCAUGUUCAUGACCAUUUGACGAAGCUCUUCAUAGGCCGCUCUUUGUUGUUCAGACUCUGCUCUGCGUUGUUCGUUCGCCACUCUAUGCUCUUUUUUUAGUUGUGUGUACGCCUCUGAUAGGUGGUCGCACCUUUGCUGCAAGGCCACGAACUCCUUAGAUUGGGAACUCGAUACUGAUUGGGAGCUCCCGGCGGUUGAAGCAGUACCGGUCGACCGCAAGUUGGCGGCGGUAGUGUUGGAGAGCCCGUAAACCCGAUUUUUAUCGGGUCUACCUGACGAUCCAGCCUCCAUCCACAAAUUCGGAUCGAAUUCCGGAUGGGUCAAAGGAUCGUCCCCGUAUCUCUCCCUCAACCGAUUAUUAUAGGUCUCCUGAAAAAAAAUCAUCAUAUUCAAUUCAAUAAACAUAAUAAUAACUUACAAAAUAAAAUGGUUGAACAAACAUACCACAAACUGUUGAGCACGGUUGUCAACGAACUGUUGCGUCCCCUUUUGGCGGUCAUGACUCCGCACGUGCGUCUCCACAAACAGCUCCAUAGGGCUCGGCUCACGUCCAAGAGACGUAGCCUAUAAUGAAAAAAAUUUAUUAACAACAAAUUAAUUGAACGAUAUAUUUCAUUUAAAUUAAUCUUACCAUCCGUUUCGCAUGUGCAGCAAACGGAACGGAGCCGCUGGUGUGCGUUGUCACCGAGCCAUGAAUUGGCCGAUUCCGGUUGCCAGCACCGAACUGUGAGCGUCGAGUGAACCGCUCAGACGUCACGUGCUGAAGAUAGUGCGGCCAUAUAUCUUUCGGGAUGUAUAUCGGUUUGAAAUCCCUCCAAACCGCAACAUCGUUCCAGCCUUCGAACCCCUUAUCCCUCGCUGUUUUUUUUUGCCUUUUUCUGGGUGUCAUACCAAAAAUCACGCAACCUAAUUCACGCACGAAAAAAUUACAUUUCAAAACAUAAAUAAUUAUGUAAAAAAAAAGUCGUAUUGUUUUCAAUGUUACCUAAUUGCUGCGUGAUUUUCCCACACCCUCCUCACAACAGUGUCAUGUUCAUCGUCCCAGCUGAAUCGAUGCUGUGUAUAAAAAAAUAAUUUUUUAAAAUGUUAAUAAUUUAUUUACAAUUAUAACUAGAAUUUAUUAGAAAUAAGCUGAAAAUUAUAUAUUAAACGAACCUCAAAUCUACGAAACCAUGCAUUGAUUUGAGGCAUCCAUUCAGGAUGCCUGGAUAUCUGACUCCAUUGAAACAAUGGAAUCUCCAUCGACGCUUUAAACGCCGAUGAUAUUACUCGGGCGGCCUCAAUGUUUGUGAACCUGAAAAGAAAUGAAAUUAAUGAAAUAGUGAUUACUUCAUAAAUUAUGUUUUAAAUUUUUUUUAUAUAUAUAAAAAAAACUAAAACCUUAACAAACUUACAUUGAAAGAUCGUCCUUCCACUGUGCCUCGUACUUGCGGGUAAAUUGAUUCCGCUGCGAAGGCACGCCGCUUCUGCGAUGUGAAACAUCGCUGGAAGAGGCAGCAUCGGUUGACGGUGCAGGUGGUGUAGGUGCCUCUUCUUGAGAGGCACCUAAGGAAACAUUAGCAUCGCUGCUAGACGAACUUGAUUCGACUGGACGUGAACGACUAGCUCUGGUUUUCAUUUGCGCAUCUAAACAAUUUUAUAUAAAUAAUUGUAUAAUAAAAUUCAAAAGUUAAAAAAAAAUCGGCAGCACCUCCCCUAUACUGGAUACUACCCAAAUCCACAAACCUGCAAAUAUUAACAAUAGCCACAACCAAUUAACCCAAUCUAUACUAAUUAUUCCAACAUAUUCAACUAUUAAUCCUAAGAUAAAUUCAACGUUAACAAUUACAAUUCACAAAUUAUUCAAUAAUUAUGUCAAUACAACAAAACUAUAAAUUCAAAAUAAAUAGAAACAAUUAAACACAAAUCAUCAAGUUAGAGUAAAAUUAAUAAUUCUUCCAACAUAUUCAAUUAUUAAAUCUAAGAUAAAUUCAACAUUAACAAUAUUAAUUCAACAAAUUAUUAAAUAAUUAUGGCAAUACAACAAUAAAAUAUAUUCAAUAAAAUAAAAAAGAAUUAUAGCCUAACAAUUAAAAUCAAUGGAAACAAUUAAACACAAAUCAUGCAAUAAUAUAAAAAAAAAUACUAAUUAUUCCAACAUAUCCAAUUAUUAAUUCUAAGGUAAAUUCAACAUUAACAAUUAUAAUUCAACAAAUUAAUCAAUAAUUAUAUAUGGCAAUACAACAAUAAAUUGUAUUCAAUAAAUUAAAAAAAAUAUAUAGACUAACAAUUAAAAUCAAUGAAAAUAAUUAAACACAAAUCAUGCAAUAAUAGAGUAAAAUUAAUAAUUAUUCUAACAUAUUCAAUUACUAAUUCUAAGUUAAAUUCAACUUUAACAACAAAUAUUCAACAAAUUAACUAAUAUGUUAUUAUAACAACAAAACAAUAAAAAAUAUUCAAAAAAUUCAAAAACAAAAACCUACAUCAAGAAAAGGAACGAAAUAUACAUACCUUAAUAAUGUGACAAAUUCAAAACGUUAUCUACAUUACAAAAAAAAAAACAACUAAAAUAAAUUAAAAGUAAAUAAAAUAAAUUGGAAAAAAGCACAUACCUUUUAAUAUGAGGAAGAUUCACACCACUAGGUGAAAUUCUUGAAGGAUUGAGGGCAAAAAAAUAAAAAAUCUAAGGUGCAAAAUGGAGGAGAAGAGAAGAGAAGCGGCGCGGGGAGAAGAAGAAAAAAUAAGGCAAAGCGACGGGGCUGGAACUUAUAGGGCAGUUUUACCGACAGACUCACCGACGGACUUAAUAUCCGUCGGUAAAAUGUCAAAAAUUUCGCACCGAAUUUUUAAAAGCCCUCCAUAUUUUUUGAUGUCCGUCGGUGAUUCCGUCGGUAAUAUGACAAGUUCAGAGGCGCAUUAAUUCACAUACUUUGGAAAUCGUGCGGUCCCUCGGUAUUUCUGUCGGUAAUAUGUGUGACCGACAAAUUACCGACGGAAAUAUUCCGUCGGUAUUAGCGUCGCAAAAUCGGUCGGUGAAUCCGUCGGUGAUUGUGGCAUUUUGUUGUAAAUAUUUUUGAACUCUCUGUGAGAUAUCGACGGUCGGUGAAUCCGUCGGUAUACCCGUCGAUGAUUGUGGCAUUUUGUUGUAAAUGUUUUCGAACUCUCUGUGAGAUGCCGAUGGAUUUAAUUUUGUCAGUAUGCCCGUACCUAGAUACAUCCACGAACGAUCAUCCAUGACUUCUAUCAAACCUCUAUAAAAAGGACCCAUUAAGCAAGCUCUUAAUUAUUUCAAAACAUAACAUGUAAUUCGGUAAUUCUACAAAUUAAGUUUUAACAAUUUACAAACAAAUACAAUCUUACAAAAUCUAAAACAAACCAUAACAAGUAUAAAAUUAUACAUUCAUAUACUACAAGUUUGUUUGAGAAAUAACAAUAAAACAUGUACAUCUAGUAAAAAAAAAUACAUAUACUAAAAAAACAAUAAAAUUGACAUUUAAAUGUUAAAAUUUUAAAAGAUAGAAUUACUUAUAAAAAAUGAUAAAAUCCGUUGGUAAAUCAGAACACGGAUGCUGUGACCACAAAACUUCAAGAAAUACAACUUGUUGUGCUGAGAUGAGGAAGAUUUUUGUUUUGGGGCGAGAGGGGGCUGAUUAUUUGCAGAUGGAGAGGGUUAGGAUUAGGAAGAACAAGGAGAAAUGGGGGAGGAGAGUGUCGGUAGAGUACUGGCCAUAUAUUCACUUUUGCCGACGGAGUUACCGAUGGUUUUAUUCCGUCGGUGAAUACGUCGACGAAACCGUCGGUAAUUCUGAUGGGCAAUCGACACGUCACCGCACGGACCUGCUCUUCAAAUCCCUCGGUGAUUCCGUCGGUAUUUUUAACGGUGCACCGGUCACGUCACUGGUACGGAUCUGGCAUUUCAAAUCCGUCGGUGAUUCCGUCGGUAUUAUUGACGGUGAACAGGUCUCAUCACGCGUACGGCUCCCUGGUUUUCAUUCCGUCGGUGAUUCCGUCGGAAAAAUCACCCGCCAAAACCUCCACGCCACCUACCCGCUCUUUUUUCAUUAAUUCGGAAUCUAUUCGUCGGUAAUUACCGAUCGAAUUACCGACGAACAUAGUCCGUCGGUGAUUUCGACCGAAAAAUACCGACAGAAAAAAUUCCAUCGGUGAGUCCGUUGGUAUUUAGCAAAUUUCUGGUAGUGUUUCAUAUUUAAAAGGGUGUUUUUGAAAGUAUAGAAUAUAAACUUAUUGAUCAAAGAAAAUUUUGAUUGAAAUCAUUGGUCUUUUACUUCCUAAAACUCAACCUAUUGAUAAUUUCCUCGUAAAAUUUAUUCAUUUCUGGGAACAUAUUGAUGGAACACAUCAAAUUCGUUAUUUCAACUGGAAAUCGAAAAGUUAUUACAAGUUCAAAUUAUUAUUACAGUAGUUACACAUGUUGGGUAUUUCCAGAACUCAAACACGCACAAAUUUACGUGGUUCGGCAACUUGCCUACUCCACGGAGCUACUGGUUUGUAUUAAUCAAGCUUACAAACAAUACAAACAACAAACCAAGGAGGAGGAGAAAAUUCUUCUCUACUCAACUCAACUCUCCCUAGCUCUCUCUCUCUAUUUCUCUCUGUAUUUCGUGUGUUCUACAGGCUCUCAUUAGCAGCCUCUUCUUAUAGCUAAAGUGGGAGACAAUUCUCUCCACUUUAGUCAAUUAUGACAACUACUUUUACACCACCAUUUGCAGCCAUCUUUCACUACUAAAAAAGGGGACUAUUAGCAUCUGAUUUUAGCAACGGAUAAUUUCGUUGCUAAAUUCAGUUGCGAUUGCAUAUUUAUUAUUUUUUUAAUAUUAGCAACGAAAAAUCCGUUGCUAAAGACUAUAAAAAUUUGCAACGGAUUAUCCGUUGCUGAUUGACAAAAUAAAUAUUUAAAUUUUAAUAUAAAGCUAAAAUUACACAGACCGUUGAUAAGGUAUUUUACUUUUACAAUCUCAACCGUUAAUUAGCAAUCCUAAACUCACACACUCUCUCCCUUUCAGAAACGUAAACAGAGCAAUAAACGAAGAACCCAGAAAAUGCUAAUUAACUUGCAGUGAAUCUCUUCAUCCCCUUCGUCCCCUGAUAAUAACAUCCAUAACAGUAGAAAAACAAUUAACUUAGCACUCUCUCUUCAUCGAUCUGAUCUUCCUUUGUCUAAACAUUUCUCUUGGAAAAGAGGGCGGCCCGCCCUCACCUUAGGCAGACAAGGGAGACAGAAGGGAGGAGAAAGAAGCCACUCUCUCGACGAUUAACGGCUUUCCUCAUCCCGGAUCUCAUCAAGCUAUGCUUUCGCCUUGUUCUUUCUCUUUUGGUGAGCCAACAAUAGAAGGUGCGGCUAGCUUCACAGAAAGAGUAAUCCUUUGGCAAUUCUUCUUUCUUGGUUUCCGUUCCCCUGCCACCUUCAAUCCGUCCUCUGGGAAUGCUAAAGCAAAGGUAAGAAAGCAAUUGGAUUGAAUAGUGUCAGGUUAUGAGCUCCUUCGUGAGCAGUAAGAGGGCAUUCUAACAAAGCAAAGAGAGACCCUAAAGUCAGUCAAGCAGUAACGGGGCGAAUGGUUUACCGUAGAUCGGCCUUUGCCUUUUUCGGGUAUCCAUCUUUUUUUAGACCUGAAGAGUUCUUAUUCUUCAAUAGCAGUCCCUUGCCCAGCUGGGUCGAGGUACCAUGCCUUCUCCUUGCCAGAUGGAGAGGUAAUUAAUUUUAGGAAUUAUUUGUUUCUCUGUUGCAAUUAAACUUACAGUUAAAUUUUAGCAAAUGUUCUGUACUGUUGGAUGUCCAUUUGCCCCAUUAUUGUAUGGACUCUGGUGAGAUAAACCAUAUCAUUGUGUUGAACUUACCUCUGGUUUUCUUUUGUUUGGUUCAAGGUGGACUCCUCUGAUGGUUCUCGUUCAUGGCACAGAAAUGAACUUGAGGUGAUUCUUACCACACAGCAAGAAAACCAGUCUCAAAUAUGUCCUUCUCCAUAUAAUAUCCAUUCCCUUUAUGAGCAUUGUCAAAAAUUGCCAGGUAAAUACAGGUUGUCAUAUUUUGUUGCAAACUUUACAGGAAUGCAUUGACAUAUGGGCUUGUUCCUUUGAAACCAUUUCUUAUUGAUAUCAUAUUUUUCGUAUUGAUCAUCACUUUGAAACCAUUUCUAAUAAACUGGUAGUUCCUGCUUACAGGCAGUAUAUAUACAAAGAAUUUUGUUCUUGCUUAUAGGCUUGUUCCUGCUUCCCUAAUAUAAUCCUCCUAUUGCCGGUCAUGCAUAGACAAACAGGUAUAAUGUUGAUUCGCAAGACAUGUUAUCCGUUAGUCCAUAGGGCAAUAUAGUGUUGGUGUUGAGUUAUGUUUGUGAUUUUUUCGAUCUAGCUUCUACUGAUUUUUUUGUCAAGGAAAUGAAUUCGAGCUGGGGAUCAUUGAUUGAACGGCUCUGAGAUAUAGAUAGAAUGCACAGAGGAGGUGAUCCCAUGGUGUCUUCUCUUAGCUUAGCGUGAUGCACAAGAAUUACGCAUAGCAAGUGAUCCAGUCUUAUUAGAAGUAGCAGUAGCCAAUGAACACUGGGUCAAUGAAAGCAGAAAGCACCAAACAAUGAGACCCUUGAAACUUCUGGAGAAUGGUUCACCCAAGGAGUUACAAGGUGCCACCAUCUUCUUAUUUUUUCAAUUCAUUAUAAAUUAUGGAUUUUAUUGUUAUUUUUUUUUAAAUUACUGAUUAGAUUUAUUAAAAUCAAAAUUUGAAUGACAUAGCAAGAAAUGCUAAUUGAAACACUUUUAUUAAAUCAGAAUUUAGAACCACUAAUUAAUUCAUAUUGUUUUUAUUUUUAUGCUUAGCUUAUAUCCAUGUUUGUUUCUUCAAUGAUAUAUAUGUACCUGUAUGAAGAACAAAGGAAACAAUUUUGCAUUCCUUCUUUAUCUUCUUGUUGAUAUUUCGGUACUCACUAAUGCAUUUCCAAGAAAGUGAUUUUUUUUACUUCAGCUUUGCUUAGUAAAAGUACAGAACAGCAAUGAGAAAUAGGAAAAAAGUUUUAAACUAUUAAUAGUGUGAUAUUUUGUUGAUCCUUGUAGAAUUUUAACAAUGAAACUGUCCUUGAAUUCUAUUGAGACAAAAUGUAACUUCUGAGGUUCAUGAUGCUAACAUCUCUAUGUAGGACUGGAUAUGUUGAACAAACCUACUAAGAAGCUAUUGACUUCUUGAUUCCAUAACAUGUAACUUCUGACUCCUUGGUCUGUUUUAGGUGUUUUGAUUUAACGGUUCUACUCUAAGAAUUUGAAGGGAUAAGUUUCUGCCAUAACAGAAUUACUGCUGUUAUUUUCACUUCCAUGUGCUUACUGGCUCUCUGUAAUCAAUGUUUUCCCACAAACAUAGUUUAGUAGAAAUCAGGGGACUAGGGUGGCAGGGGAUUAUACCUUGAUGCCUUCAAUUAUUGUGCCUUUUACACUAAACACUUCUUUGGUAUUUAGCAAUUAUUUUUACGAGAUUUUGUGGUUUGUAAGAGUACAUACUGUAUAUGGUGUCUAAUUUUGCCCUCUCAAUUGAAGGAUUGUGCUACUUAUACUGGGAGUUCCCCGAGUGUUAGGUGUAGGAGUCCUGGGAAUGAGAGAGAUGACCGAGGUAGGGACAGAAAAGGCCAUAAAGAUGAUGCUAGGGAUGAAAGCAGGAGGGGGAGAAAUGGGCACAACAGUGAUCGUGAAGAACGGUAUCGUGAAACGGCAGAUGGAUUCUUUUUAUUGUAUCUUUUGUUGUUUCUUUUUAUUGUAUUUUGAUUUAUUUGUAUUAAUGCAAGUUUAACUAAAUUUUUAUAAUAUGAAUAUUAUUUUUAUUCCAUUUUUUAUUAGUGAAUUAAUUUAUGUUGGUUAUAUUCUACAACUUUUAAACUAUCCAUAAAUAAUUAAUUAAACAAAUUAAAAUUCAUUUUAAUAAAUAAAAAAAAUUAAUUUAAUAAAAAUAAUAUAGUCAGCAACGGAUUUCCCGUUGCUGAUUGUAAAUAAUUAUUCAAUCAGCAACGGAAAUCCGUUGCUGAUUGAAUAAUUAUUUACAAUCAGCAACGGAAAAUCCGUUGCUAAAAUCCGUUGCAAAUCUGCAUCCGAUAUUUGCCGUUGCUGAUUCCGUUGCUAAAUUAUUUUAGCAAUGGAUUUUAGUUUUAUUUGCAACGGAAUGGUUAGUUGCUAAUUACUAUAUUUUUUAGUAGUGUUUGACGCCACCAUUGCAGCCAUCUUUGACGCCAUUAGGUCGGGAGUGGACCAUCAUCAAGACAGGAACGACCCACAGGUGGAGCAGGUAGGUGACUUGCACCUUCCUUUUUCUUAUGUUGAAUCUUGAAAUAUUUUAACUUGAGUACUAUCUUAUUGUUAGAACUGAUAUUAGAUUGUUGAACGCUUAAAUGUUGAUUAAAGAUUGAUUAGCUUCAGCUAAUGGCAUCCGAAUGGAUGGCCGGGACAAAAGAGUGAUUAGCUUCGGCUAAUGGCAUCCAAACGGAUGGCCGGGACAAAGAAUGAUUAGCUUCGGCUAAUGGCAUCCGAAUGGAUGGCGGGGACAAAGAAUGAUUAGCUUCGGCUAAUGGCGUCCGCAUGGAUGGCCGGGACAGAAUGAUUAGCUUCGGCUAAUGGCAUCCAAACGGAUGGCCGGGACAAAGAAUGAUUAGCUUUGGCUAAUGGCGUCCGAAUGGAUGGCCGGGAUGAAGGACUGAUUAGCUUCGGCUAAUGGCAUCCAAACGGAUGGAUGGCCGGGAUAAAAGAGUGACUUCGCUGCCGAUGCAGAAAUCGGCAGCGACGCAGUUUCCGCUGCCGAUUCUGGAUCGGCAGCGACACAGUAUUUGCUGCCGAUACAGAAAUCGACAGCGACCCAGUUUUCGCUGCCGAUACAGAAAUCGGCAGCGACACAGAUUCCGCUGCCGAUUCUGGAUCGGCAGCGACACAGAUUCCGCUGCCGAUUCUGGAUCGGCAGCGACGCAGAUUCCCCUGCCGAUACAGAAAUCGGCAGCGACGCAGAUUCCGCUGCCGAUACAGAAAUCGGCAGCGACGCAGAUUACAGUUUUCGCUGUCGAUUCCUUGAUCGGCAGCAAUGCAGUUUCUGCUGCCGAUUUUGGAUCGGUAGCGACGGAGCUUUCACCAUGGAAUCCGUGUUCAUACACAAAAACACACACAAUAUAUAUCCCAAGAUGUUUAUUCAUCCCGAAACGUUUUAAAAGAGGCCAAUUCCACAAAAUCCUGACAUCUCUUAUGAACAUCAACUUGGAUAGUUACUUCGGUUUCUCUUGAGAUCAGGAAGUUUAGGAAUCUUAAAGACCUACCUCCAACUGUAGAAAAGCAAGAAAAACGAGAUGAGGUAGACAUAAUGCGAGAGCAUGACUACAAGAAUUUGGUUGAGUAUAGAGGGUGGAAGAAUCCAUUGAAUAUAAAGCAAUGUUUGAAUAUUAUAUGUGUGUAUAUUUAAUUCUACUAUAUUGUACAAGUUUGGAACCUUAUUCUUACUUACAAAAUUAUCUCAAUUAAAAAAUUUAUGGAACUUUAAAUUCAAGAAUGAUUUUUUUUAUUCCAAUAUAUUUUUUAUAAAGUUUUUUGUGCCGAAAUCUUCUUGUCCAAGCAUUUAAAAGUUCAAUAUCACUCUUAUUCUUUUAAAUAUAGUUAUAUAAAUUUGAGUAAUAGAUUUGUGGAAUUUUCAAACUUGAAAAACUUUCAUUUAGUAUACUAUGGCAUAGAGUUAGCACAAAAUCAUUUUUAUGGCUACCUAAAAUUUAAAAUUUUGAUUGAUAUAGUAUUUGAUCGUCUUCACCAAUAUAGUGAAGCUGUUGCUAGUUUCUUUUGAAACAUUGAUGUUACUAUUCUGGCCUAAAUGCAAGUCAAAGAAUGAUGAACUAUAUAAAUGGUAGUUGUUGCUACCCAAUUUUUGACCCAUGUUUUGAUAUAUUUUCAAAAAAUCCAAAAAAAUUGAGAAAAACAAAGAAAAUCCAAAAUAAUGUUUUUUUAUAUAUUUUCGUCAUUUUAGCAUUUUCAACGUCGUCUAAAAAAGAACUUAAAUUGUUAAAAGAUUUUUCAAACGCGUUCGACUUUUCACGCGUCAUUUUUUAAAUCAUUGAUUUUUCGCAUUUGAGUCGACGUUGAUAUUGCUCGUUUUCAAAAAAUAUAAAAAAAUAAGAAAAAUCAAAAUUUACAAAAAGAAAGAAAUUGAGGGACCAAGUUGAAAAACCUAGCAACAUUUUUGCCUAUAAAUACUGGUCUUUAACUCACACAAAGGGGGGGGUUAAUUUUGGAAACACCAGAAAAAUACAAAAAAAGAAAAAACCCUAAACCUAUCUUCUCCCCCCAUUUUUCUCAAGGCAGCAGCACCCACCCUUGACAUUUUUUUUUUCUUUUGAAACCAGCCAAACAGCCCCUUCCCCCCCGAAACCGCCGCUCAUUUUCCUCCUUACAGAUCAGCCGCCGCCUCCUCCAGCUUGGAAUUUUUUUCUCUGCACCGUAGCCCUACCUUCUUCUCCCUCAGUCCCGCAGCCUUUGGGUGGGACUUUCCCGGGCAUCUCAUUUUCUCUUCCAGCCUCCACCCUCACUGCAACCUUAAGCAUCGAAACCUUCCCCCACACCAUUUCAGAUCUGCCCCUUUUCCCCCGUCGGCGGCUCGUUCAUCCCUUCAGCCCACAGACCAGCGGCUAGGCCAGCAUCACCGAACAGCCCCAUCUCCACCGAUCAGAGAACGGGCAAAGCCGUUCUCCAUUUUCGCAGACCCAUGGUCUCCGUCGGACAGCAGGUCGUUCCUUCAUCAGCCUCGUUUCCGCCGGCCAACAACAGUUUUUCUUUCUCCAGCAGCGCCGCCAGAUCUGGCACCCGAAGCUGAGGAGAAGAAGAUGAAACUCAGCCGCCACCAGCAGGGUUGAAGGCCAUCCUCACCAGAAAUCGAACAGACCCGAAACGGGCAGAAGAACAAAUUCAAAAUCAGAUCUAAAACAAGGACUAAAAUCAAUUGCUGCUAUGUGUUGGCUUUGUUUUGCAGGUGACGGACAGCAGGAUAUUGAAGAGGGGAGGAACAUGUUUUCAGCCACCCCCUUGCUGCUGUUUUUUUGACGGCGGCGCGUGAACCCACGCGCCGCCAGUGACGGUGGCGCGUGGGAAGACGCUCCGCCACUGUUUUCUGCCCCCGGAAGCCUUCCCAGUACUGUUCCCGUGCACUGUUCCUGCAUGUUCUAGAAGCUUUAACUUUUUUUAGGGUUUAUUUUGUAUUUUUUUGUAUUUUUAUUUGUUUGAUGUAAUAUUUAUUUAAUUUGAAUUUUUAUUUGUAUGUUGUAAAUGUGGAAAUACCAAAAGAAAAAGAAAAGAAAAGAAACAAAAAAUAGUAAAAGUGAAUGUGUGUGAUUGUAUUUGUUUUAUUUUUUAUAUAUUUUCUAUGAUGAAAUUGCAAGGACUAAAAAAGAAUUUAAUAUUUUGAUUGGAUCACGAUACAGAUUUAUUAACUUAUACGUAAGUUGUAUUUCUAACAUCCGAUGAAAAGACAAUUUUAAAACUUUUUUAACACGUCAAAAAUCACGAAGUAGCUUACCUCAGGUAGUGUGUGUUAGGGGUGCUAAUACCUUCCCUAACCACAACCAAUCCCUUACCCGCAAAUCUCUGACAAGACCAGUACAUCUGGUUUCCUAGUAGCCCGCAAUCAAUUACUAGGUGGCGACUCCAACGAACCAAAUUCAAGCAAACAACAAAUAAACUAGAUUUAAAUCGCCAGCCGAUGCCGCGCGCCGACUGAUUUUUUUGGGGUGCGACAGAAUGGCGACUCCACUAGGGAAGGUACUGUUUCUGACAUUAUUGGACUAAGCUUUGGGUAUUUGAUGUGUUUAAAUUUUUGCAUUUUUAUCUUGUUAAUAUUUUUUCCAUGCAUUUUUUAGAAUUGUCUCAUGCAUCACCUGUAUUUAUUUUUAAAAGCACACACAAGCUUCUAGGUUAGGUGGGGAACUAGCGAUCUGCCCUAAGACUAUUGGUCAGGGUUCAGAUGCGUGAAACACCCAACUCAUAUCUGAGUGCCUGCUUGGUAAUGGUGGGUAUACGUGCCUUAACUAUUCCUUGCAACGCCCCCACACUGUCUUUACGAAGAACGUCACUGGGCAGAUAUGAGACCCUUUUGAGACCAGAUAGAAAACCUACCCAUGUUCACAUAAUGAAUAGAACUUGUCCUUAGGUUGUAUGUGCUAUCGUUUUUUUUGCAUAAGGGCAAACCCUUCUUGAAGCAUCUUGACCUCAAGACUUGUGGGUGACACAUUGGCCGUUGCUCCGAAAAUUUUCAUUGUAGAGUUUGGGCAAAAAUCACGAUUCUUGUCCAUCAUACAAGAGUUACGACCAUAUUGUCACCUCUCGAAGGGUGAGUUCAUCAUAUAGAUUACAUGUUCAUACAUUUGUCAUGCAUGCACCAGAAUGAAAGGUAGGUCCCCCACACAAGCUGUGCUGCACGUGAUUGGAGAAAAAUGAUGGAGGUGAAGAAAGAUGUCAGAUAGAGGCUCAUUAUCAGAUUAAGGUUGAGAGCAUUAAAUGUGAAGUAGCUAGACUCAGAUCUGCUCGAACAAGUGUUGAGCAUCAAAUGGAAAGAGAAUAUCUGCACAGUCUUCUGUGGGAACAAAAGACUGUAUCUCUCCUUUUUCGUCAUGAACAAAAGCAACAACGCCUUCAGUCAUCAACUAAUGACAACUCUGGUUCUUAUCAAGUUGCAUUGUUAAAUGUUCAUCGCCUCCACAUCAUCUAAUGGAACCAAAAAACUACCGGUCUCCUGUACAUGACGCAUUAGUCUUCUUGGAAGCUGCCCUAAUUAUGAGCUUAAUUCCAUUUCAGCAGCACAAGAUGUUGGCUUGAUUAGACACUGAAUUUCUACAUGUGGCAUGAGCAAAACUUUGUAGUAGACAGAGAAGUCAAGCCUGGUCUGAAAAUAUGAGUAGUCGUCAAACUUCAACGUGGUAGAGCUCUCUCUACAAAAAUCUGUUGAUGAUGCUGCAAGGUGAGAGUGCAAGAGGGGAUUUACUAAUUGCAUAUGCUACAAAUAUUUCUCUCAUCGAUUUCAACGUGAAGAACUUGUAGCAGGUUGAAGAGCCAGACUUGGUUUGAAAAAACAUGAGCAGACAUCCAAAUUCAACGUAGCAGAGAUCUCUUGACAUGAAUCCGUUUGGGGAUAUGCAAAUGGGAAAUCCAAGAAGGGAUGCAUUGGUUUCAGAUUGUCCAUAAUUUUCUUUUUCCAGUAUCGGCAUUAAAACACAAAAGUGGUUGUUUGUUGCACCAUCAGUGAAGAAUCAAAGAGGAAAUAGAAGAUGUUGUAGAUUCAUCGGGUUCUCUUCCAAUUUUGACAAUGUGUGAUUCCACACGCUUUUGUUUUUGGGCGCUGCCAGAAUUACCUAGAUAUUAAGAGGGUUCCAACAAUCCUCAAACCACAACAACAUUGGAAGAUUGACAUGAUGUUGUGAGGAUUGUUGACGAAAUUGAACAAGUUAUGAAGAGAGGAAAGAUUGAAGGAUCUGCCAUGAAUUCUUAGAACAAUGAUGAGAGGUGAAUCAGGAGAUGACUUUGACGGUGUGAACCCUUAAUUAUGUGGUAUAGCCAGGUCUCACGGUAGCAUCAAUUGCCCAAAUAUCUUUGCCAAGAUGGGACAUUCCUCUGCCGUUUAAGUUUGUCGACCAGCAUCCGCAAGAUUCCAGAAUUUUGCUUGACUCCGACAAAUCCCAUGCAACCACCAAUUUCUCAGUGGUAUAAUCCAGAUAAGAGAUGUGAUGUCAUGGUGGGGUCCUCAACCAUUUCAAGUGAAAGUUUCAAGAAUUGCAAGAAUGGAGUCUGAAAGUUGGUGAGCAAGAGACAGUGGAGUCGUUGAAGAAGGGUGUCACUGGCUAUAUUGUUCCCCGAACAACUUCAGAAUCACAUGUGAUCGAAAAUGCUUUGCUAAACACAGAUAUUGCCAGAAAAACUGAUUCGAGAAUGGUGAUGAACAGUCAAUCAUAUUGUUAUGGAAUUCUGCAUUUUGUUUUGGGAUCACAUCUCAUCCUUCAACGAAACAUGCCUCGCUUUUGUCUCUUUGUUGUUUUGAAAUCAACAGAUGUUUAACAUUUUAUUUGACAAAAUAUUUUGAUCAAACUCCAACAUGCGAUAAAGGUUAAUCAAUCCUGAAGAUUAAAAGUGUUUUGAUUACAGAAAUGACUCUAUGCUUGAAAAUGACAUGAGGUGACCAAACAAUUUUGAACUCAUACCUUUUGAAACUGAACCACACAUCAUAUAGCUAAGUUUUAGCAGUAUGCAUAAUGACAUGUAGUGGAUUCGGUAGUUAUGGACUCGUGAAUCAUGAUUCUUACAAGUCUCAAUCAUUCAUUGGAUGAGGUCAAAAUUUAUCGGUUCUAACUGACUUUGCUUGAAAUGAGAAAAGGCCAUCUUUGAUAUCCCUUCACUUUCUAAAGAUUAUAUCCCUUGUAGUCCCAUUUUGAGCCUGGUGAAAUAUUUUCUUUCAAAAGGAAACCCUGACUAGGAUCACACCCCACACUGGGGGCAAAUGAGAAAUAUUUUGGAGACACUGAUAAAAUCAAUGGAUCAAAGAAAAGCUUAGAACAAAAGUCCAAUGUUUGAGAAAGGGCUAGAAGAAGAAAAUCCAUAGAUUGAGGGCCAUCCAAGAAAAACUUUGAGGAAGGCUAUGCAAAAAAAUGUGUAAAGAAAAUGGAAAGGAAAGAAAAUGCCUAUCAAUUCUAAGAGAGGCAAGACAGUUUUCAAUUGAGAAAAGACAAUAAAUGCCAAAAGUCAACACUAGAAAAAUCGAUGCUUCAUAUCUUUUGGUGUGUCUUGGAUAGAGCCUCUAAUGUCUUCAAAAUUAGAUUAGUUAUUCAUCAAAGAAAAAGUUGGAUUACAACCUAUGUUAAGAAAAUUCUGAUCUUUGAGGUUAACAAGGUUAUAUGUUGUUUCCUUUACAAAGACAACAAUAGAAAACAAGUUGAUGAAUAAUUGAUGUUGAUCCUAGGUCUUUGAAACCCUCAAACACCUUUUGAGCCUUUGAAAUUCCUUUCUUUCAUAGCCAUGAACCAUAGCCUGCAUUACGUGCUUUUAAAAGCCCUUUUUAAUCAAGCAAGCAAUCUGAACCAAUAAAUGGCGAUCUCAAAACUUGAAGAGUUUUUCUAUAAGAGUCGUGGCUUCAUUGAAUUAGGCUACUGGUUAUUAUGCAUGCUGAUAAAAAAAGUUAUAAGAAGAGAAACAACCUUUCUUGAUAAAGCCUGAGCAUCUUGUUUUUGAAAUUCAUAAAAAUGUCAUCUCAUCACAGACCAUCAAAAGAUAUACCCAAAAUCAGAGUUUAAAGUGGAUAGAAAGAACCAUGGGAAAAACCAUUUUAAUCUUACAACAGGUCGAUUUCUGUUUUCAAAAUACAAAACAAUCAAAGGACUGCGUAUUUCGAAUAACGUGUGUUGGGUCUUUGAUAAAAAAAAAGCUUGAUUUCCAAAAGAUUUUCAAAAAGGACAUCUCUGAUUUCAUUUCAACAAACUAGACUUUGAAUAUACAUGAUCGUUGAAAUGUUGAGAUUUGAUUCCAAAACAAGAAAGAUUUUCAAACAAGAACAUCAAUUGAGUUUGCAAAAUUCUUGACAAAAAUGACAUCAACAUUUCUCGACACUCCUGGAAACGUUGACCACCUGGGGGCAAUACAGUGGACCUUAAGGAGGAAAGCAAACAGUAUCCAGAUCAGCUGGGGGCAAAGAAAGAAUCCGAUGAUGAAUCGUCAAAGUUCAUCAAAGUUAUGUUUAGCAUCUGACAAUGACAAAGAAAAAACCUUCUUGAGUAUAAACCGUGAACGAACCUUCAGAUCAUACUGGGGCCAAUGUUGUUCAAAGACAAUCCAUGAUCUAGUGCACUUCAGCAGUAAUUGAUGAGCAACGCUGCACUAGAAAGAUAUUUUCGUAUCUUCAUCUUAGAUGACUUUGUAAAACAUGGAUAUGACUCCGGGCAGAUGUUAUCGGGUGGGUGCAUUUGGAUGAACAUCGAACAUAUGCAUAUCACCAAGAUCUACGACGGGACCAUCUAUUCUGAAGCUCAAAUGCGCACUUCACCGCAUGAAUAUGGGUGAUAACAUGAACAUCAUUGAUGAUGCCAAAGCAGAUAUUUUCACGAUCUGAUUUGACAAGCUAAGAGGAAUCCAUAGAGAAAUACAUCGCGCUUACAAUGAUGAGCUGUUUACUGCAAAGCAUGAGAUACAUGUCUGGAUGACUUGGCAGUUCCAUGAAGGCUGGUGACCAUACAUACGUGAAUGGUGUUUCAACCGAAGGCAAGUUCAUGACUGAUUAACAAACGUGAUGGGUGUUGGCAUGAUGCACACAAUCAAUUAGAGGAUAAUUUCUCAGAAGAAGCCAGGAGAGAAAAUCUCUCAUGAUGAAUCAAGCAGUACCACACUUGGGGGCAGGGUCAAGCUUGAUGAACGAUGCAAACAGUAAUUGUCGAAGACAACCCGGGAUGGGCACUGCAUUUACAGCUGAAUAAUGGCCAGUACAUGAAUGAGUCAAUGCAUUGGAAGAACAAAGAAAGCUUUGGGAUACAAACAAGGGCACCCUAUGACGAUGGAGCAUCAAAUAGGGGGGGACCUAUAUUUCAAAUCAGGUAAGGAUGCAUGCAUAUCAUCUAACCUAAAAAAAAAAAAAAAACAUUUGCACGUAUUUUUGAAUUGUUACAGGAAAAUCCCUAAUGGGGUCCAGCAAGACGGUGGAAAGAGAAAGAAGCAUUGUGGUGAUGAUAAUAAAGAAUCGGUUUUGAUCAUGGAAUAAAAGGACGAUGGGAUGAACCCUACCAUUAGGAAAAUCCCAAAGAAAUGAAAAUCAACCUUGCAACGGGAAGCCUCGAGUUUUCAACCCUUGCAGUCAGGAAACACCGAGUUUUCAAACCCCAUGAUCGGGAAUUAUCAGGAAGCACCAAGUUUUCCAGCCCUUUUUUCUGUCAUCCCUUCAGAACUUCGCCAGGUAAGUCCUAUUUUUCACACUUGUCAUAUCACAUUUUUUCCAUCUGGGUAGGUCGCCCAUCAUAAUAAGACCGUUUUUCACAUUUUGUCCAUCUGGGUAGGUCACCCAUUACAAUGAGACCACACUUCAUAUUUUUUCCAUCUGGGUAGGUCACCCAUUACAAUGAGACCACACUUCAUAUUUUUUCCCAUCUAGGUAGGUCACCCAUUACAAUGAGACCACACUUCAUAUUUUUUCCAUUUUUUGGGUAGGUCACCCAUUACAAUGAGACCGCACUUCAUAUUCUUUCUAUUUGGGUAGGUCGCCCAUCACAACGAGACCACUUUUUCAUAUUCUUUCUACGUGGGUAGGUCACCCAUUACAAUGAGACCGCACUUCACAUUUUUUCCAUCUGGGUUCGUCACCCAUACAAUGAGACCAUCAUUUUUCUGGGGUUCGUCACCCAUACAAUGAGACCAUCAUCCAUCUGGGUUCGUCACCCAUACAAUGAGACCAUCAUUUUUCGGGGGUUCGUCACCCAUACAAUGAGACCAUCAUAUUUCUGGGGUUCGUCACCCAUACAAUGAGACCAUCAUUUUUCUUGGGUUCGUCACCCAUACAAUGAGACCAUCAUAUUUCUGGGGUUCGUCACCCAUACAAUGAGACCAUCAUUUUUCUUGGGUUCGUCACCCAUACAAUGAGACCAUCAUUUUUCUGGGGUUCGUCACCCAUACAAUGAGACCAUCCUUUUUCUGGGGUUCGUCACCCAUACAAUGAGACCAUCGUUUUUUCUAGGGUUCGUCACCCAUACAAUGAGACCAUCAUUUUUUUUCUGGGGUUUGUCACCCAUACAAUGAGACCAUUUUUCACACAUUCUUGUGUUUUGGUUAAAUGAGGUCGCCAGAUGGGAUCUCGGGUAGCUUUGGUUAAAGGGAAUCGCCAGAUGGGAUUUCAGGUUAACCGAGUUACGCAUUUUUCGUUCCAAUUGAAUGAGGUCGCCAGAUGGGAUCUCAUGUAGCUUUGGUUAAAGGGAAUCGCUAGAUGAGAUUUCAGGUUAACCGAGUUACACAAUAUUUUCGUUCCAGUUGAGUGAGGUCGCCAGAUGGGAUCUCAGGUAAACCCAAUGUGUGGGCAGGUCGCCCGUGAAAAUAGACUAUUGGGAGAGUGUGGGUCGGUCGCCCGUGAAAAUAGACUAGAGUGAGUAUGUGUGGGCAGGUCGCCCGUGAAAAUAGAUCGGUGUGAGUGUGUGGGCAGGUCGCCCAAGAUAAUGAAAUCAUUUUUCUUUUGUUUUCUUUACAAAGCUUACUAUGCAAAAAUUUGAGGAUUUUCGCUUCGUAAGCAUUGUAAAGAGGGGGCAUCUGUUGCUACCUAAUUUUUGACCCAUGUUUUGAUAUAUUUUCAAAAAAUCCAAAAAAAUUGAGAAAAACAAAGAAAAUCCAAAAAAAUGUUUUUUUAUAUAUUUUCGUCAUUUUAGCAUUUUCAACGUCGUCUAAAAAAGAAUUUAAAUUGUUAAAAUAUUUUUCAAACGCGUUCGACUUUUCACGCGUCAUUUUUUAAAUCAUUGAUUUUCCGCAUUUGAGUCGACGUUGAUAUUGCUCGUUUUCAAAAAAUACAAAAAAAUAAGAAAAAUCAAAAUUUACAAAAAGAAAGAAAUUGAGGGACCAAGUUGAAAAACCUAGCAACAUUUUUGCCUAUAAAUACUGGUCUUUAACUCACACAAAGGGGGGGGUUAAUUUUGGAAACACCAGAAAAAUACAAAAAAAGAAAAAACCCUAAACCUAUCUUCUCCCCCCAUUUUUCUCAAGGCAGUAGCCCCCACCCUUGACAUUUUUUUUUUCUUUCGAAACCAGCCAAACAGCCCCUUCCCCCUCGAAACCGCCGCUCAUUUUCCUCCUUCUUACAGAUCAGCCGCCGCCUCCUCCAGCUUGGAAUUUUUUUCUCUGCACCGUAGCCCUACCUUCUUCUCCCUCAGUCCCGCAGCCUUUGGGUGGGACUUUCCCGGGCAUCUCAUUUUCUCUUCCAGCCUCCACCCUCACUACAACCUUAAGCACCGAAACCUUCCCCCACACCAUUUCAGAUCUGCCCCUUUUCCCCCGUCGGCGGCUCGUUCAUCCCUUCAGCCCACAGACCAGCGGCUAGGCCAGCAUCACCGAACAACCCCAUCUCCACCGAUCAGAGAACGGGCAGAGCCGUUCUCCAUUUUCGCAGACCCACGGUCUCCUUCGGACAGCAGGUCGUUCCUUCAUCAGCCUCGUUUCCGCCGGCCAACAACAGUUUUUCUUUCUCUAGCAGCGCCGCCAGAUCUGGCACCCGAAGCUGAGGAGAAGAAGAUGAAACCCAGCCGCCACCAGCAGGGUUGAAGGCCAUCCUCACCAGAAAUCGAACAGACCCGAAACAGGCAGAAGAACAAAUUCAAAAUCAGAUCUAAAACAAGGACUAAAAUCAACUGCUGCUGUGUGUUGGGUUUGUUUUGCAGGUGACGGACAGCAGGAUAUUGAAGAGGGGAGGAACACGUUUUCAGCCACCCCCUUGCUGCUGUUUUUUUGACGGCGGCGCGUGAACCCACGCGCCGCCAGUGACGGUGGCGCGUGGGAAGACGCUCCGCCACUGUUUUCUGCCCUCGGAAGCCUUCCCAGUACUGUUCCCAUGCACUGUUCCUGCAUGUUCUAGAAGCUUUAAUUUUUUUUAGGGUUUAUUUUGUAUUUUUUUUUUAUUUUUAUUUGUUUGAUGUAAUAUUUAUUUAAUUUGAAUUUUUAUUUGUAUGUUGUAAAUGUGGAAAUACCAAAAGAAAAAGAAAAGAAAAGAAACAAAAAAUAGUAAAAGUGAAUGUGUGUGAUUGUAUUUGUUUUAUUUUUUAUAUAUUUUCUAUGAUGAAAUUGCAAGGACUAAAAAAGAAUUUAAUAUUUUGAUUGGAUCACGGUACAGAUUUAUUAACUUAUACGUAAGUUGUAUUUCUAACAUCCGAUGAAAAGACAAAAUUUUAAAACUUUUUUAACACGUCAAAAAUCACGAAGCAGCUUACCUCAGGUAGGGUGUGUUAGGGGUGCUAAUACCUUCCCUAACCACAACCAGUCCCUUACCCGCAAAUCUCUGACAAGACCAGUACAUCCGGUUUCCUAGUAGCCCGCAAUCAAUUACUAGGUGGCGACUCCAACGAACCAAAUUCAAGCAAACAACAAAUAAACGAGAUUUAAAUCGCCAGCCGAUGCCGCGGGCCGACUGAUUUUUUUGGGGUGCGACAGUAGUAUACAAUACAAGUUGAAGAAUCUAAUUAAAGAAAGUGAUUUGGAUCCAUAGACUAGUCAUACACUAAAUCUCAAUAUUGAUUCUGAAUUCCAUGAUUUAUAUUAGUUUAGGAACAAAAAAUAAGUAAGAUUUAAAUUAUUGUUAUUUUUAUCGAGCACUACAUCAUGUCCAUUCCAUUAGAAUAUAAACUUAUUGAUCAAAGAAAAUGAACUCAACUUGACAUUUUUCUCUUAAAAUAUAUUUAUCUAUGAGAGAACAUAUUGAUAGAACACAUUCAAUUCAUUAUUUCAACCGGAAACUCAGAAGUUAUUACAAGUUCAAAUUAUUAUUUCAAUAGCUAGGCACACACAAUAUUCCAAGAUGUUUAUUCAUUCCCAAAAAUAACCUUUUAAAAGAGGGCAAUCCCUCAGAAUCCUGACUUCUCUUGAUGAAGAUCAACCUGGAUAGUUACUAGUUCUUUCUUUCUACAGAGAUCAGGAAGUUUAUCAGUCAGCCACCUCCAACUGUAGACAAGCACGAAAAACGAGAUGUAGUAGACAUAAUGCGAGACCAAUCCUUCCAUAAUUUGGUUGACGGAUGGUGGAAGAAUCCAUUGAAUAUAAAGCAAUGUUUGGUUUAAUGAACAUGAUGAUGCACGAUGGCAUGAGAGUCCACAUCUUAUACCUUCCGGUGAUUUAACCAAUUAAUUCAAGAGUUUCAAACUCUCAUGUUAAAAUCCAAGAAUACAGUUUUAUAAUUUUUUUUAUUUUAAUGGGAGAUCUCGUGUGCGUUGGACUGCAUUAUAUAUGUAUAUAUAAACGAAUUUUCAACUAUUGAUUUGGAGUGUCGAUUUAAAGUAUUGUAAUAGCUUAAGAUGUUUAUUGAAUAAGAUGAAUCUAGCUAAGUCUUGGCUUUACCCAGCAUGAACAUUUUCUUUUUAGUUACAUACCUAGUAUGAAUUUAAUUUAGUAGUAAAAGUACGGAACUGAUGGUAAAAAAAAUAAUAAACUAAUUUAAAAAAAAAAAAGCUUUGGAAUGUUCUAUGCCUUGCCCAGACAACCUUGUUGGUCGCCCAUUGGAUAGCAAGACCGAUUGGUUGGCCAACUCGCCUAGCAACCAGCCAACUUAUCUCUCUCUCUCUCUCUCUCUCUUAUUUUUUAUCUUUUUAAUUUUCUCUCCUUUUUUUUUCAACAAAUAAAACUACAUGCCACACACUCUAUAUACUAUUUUACUUGUAGCACAUACUUUUUUAAUCUACGCACACACAAGAUCAUUGCAGGACAAGCGUUGUAUUAUCAGCCACUUGAAGGUCAAUCAAAAUAAUUAAACCUGGUGGCUUCAUUUUGUGUAAUGCCUAUCAUUUCAAAGUUAUCUUCAAACUUCUUUUUAUUUAUUGUAUAUAAUUUUAUAGAAUUAACUCUUUCUAGAUCGAUCCUGAUUUUAUUAGGUUAUUUAUUACUUGAACAAUCCUGCAUUUAAAAUAAAACAUUAAUUUUUUAAUUAUAUUAGAAAUUUAGAUUUCAUUUAUCUCUUUUCAUGAUCAACUUGUAGAUGUUUUUGCUAUGUUAUUUUUUAUUACUUUUUCAUUCAAGUUUUGGAUUGAUUCUUCACCCUUAUUUUGAGAGGCAUAAUAUAUAUCAAGGAAACAUUAAUAUGUUUAAUCACUAUUAUACAAGGUUGGUUAACUAAUAAGUUAAUAUAUAAUUCCAUUCAAAACAUUACACUUUCACUAUUUGUUUUUUAUUUUUUUUCUUUUAAUAUAAGAACUUAUAUAGCCUAUCAUUGAUAAAUAAAUAAAUUAAAUUUGCUUUAAUGGAGUCAUUUUAAAUUUGCUUUAACUCAACUUAUUGACAAUUUUCUCUUAAAAUUUAUUCAUUUCUGAUAAUAUAUUGAUAGAACACACCUUUAAUUCAUUAUUUCAACUGGAAAGUACUUAAAAGAUACUACAAGUUCAAAUUAUUAUUACAACAUCUAGACACACAAUAUUCCAAGAUGCUUUUUCACUCCUAACCUUCUAAAAAAAGGCGAUCACAUAAAAUCAUGACAUCUGUUGAUGAAGAUCAACCUGGAUAGUUACUUGGGCUUUGUCCAGAGAUAACGAAGUUUAUGAAGACGAGGAAGACUAUACGACGUCAGGCACCUCCAAUUGUAGACAAGCAUGAAAAACGAGAUGUAGUAGACAUAAUGCGAGAGCUUUCCUUCAAUAAUUUGGUUGACGGAUGGCGGAAGAAUCCAUUGAAUAUAAAGCAAUGUUUGAGCAACGAAAAACGCGAUCCCCACCACUAUAAGGAUGAUUGCGAACACCCCAUAAUUGGAUCCACCUAAUGCUAUGCUCACGGCAAAAAAGAAUGACAAGCACAUCAUGUAAAUAGACCCACCCACCAUUAACGAUGAAAACCAAAGUGCAAAUGGUGCAAACUUGACAUCAUUCAAGUUUGUCCAAAGAAGGAUUAUAGCUGCCACCACAGAGGUAUUUAAAGCCCACACAUCAAGACAUAAAUAACCAUCCAAAAGAGAUGAACCAGUAGGACUGUCAAGCAGUGCUGUUCCGGGAGGCAGGCAGUGCUGUUAAGUUCAUGAAGAUGCUCACUCUUGUUAUUUUUAUCCCUUAGUUGUGGCAUCUGUAUAGCACCCGCGAAGGUUACACCAGCAACAAGCACCGCUACAACAAGAAGAUUCUCUAUCCUGCUCUUUGUUUCCUGUUUCCUUGGCGGCUUGCCUUGAGUACUAGUGAAACGCUCAUAUUGGGAUUUCUUAGGGCGGGCAUGGAAGUAUAAGAUAGAUAAUGUUGUCAUCUGCAUAGCAUGGGGAAACAAACUUCGUAAUAAUGAGUUUCUGGCACUUCCUCAAUCGCAUGCAAAAGCUUUUGCCUUGAAAUCCCUUAUUUUUUUUGAAGAACAAGCACGAUUCUGGAAUGAUUUCUGAAUUUUGAAAAUAACUGUGUAGAAUCUAAAUUAAUCGGCCUUCAAGUAGAUGUUCAAAAGAAUAGGGAUGACUAGAAAAAAUAUAGGAAAGAAGAUGUGUAAUAUUACCGUUCCAUAAUAAUCAAGCAGCUUGUAGUGCUUUGAAUCAACUGCUUUGUCCUGUAAAAAGACAUAUUUUUAAGUUAAUGAAUAGAGCUACCUCUUUUUUCUUUCUUCCCUUCAUUCCUUUUGUGCUAUGGCUAGCCAACAAUAUAAGCCACUGAAACUGAUGAUCAGCCCAUGUUUGGAAAGUAGUUCUUUGAGCUUAGAAGAGAUAAUUAACCUCGAUUUUGUGUAGUCAAUGUAAACUUGUACCUUUCCUUGAGAACCAGUCGAAGCGGUCGCCUUUUCUGUUGUAGAGUUCUUCUUUCCAUCCUUCACAUCUUCUGAAUUAACUUCGAUCUGAGGAAUGAAGACAGAAAUCAUGAAGCAACGCAGAGCAGAUAAUUGUACAAAUUACUUGACAUGAGCUCUUCUGACAAAGGAUGAUUGAGUAUAUCAAAGAACCACUCAACUCAAAAGCUUUAACAGCUAAUUGAGGUUUAAGGAUACGAUUUUAUAUUGUAUCUUUAGUCCUGAAUUUCAGUCAGCUUUUAAGAGUGUUAAGUUAUAUACUCUGUUUCCAUUCUUUCAUGACAUCAUCCUUUAUUAUGUAAAAUAUGAUAUCCUUUAGUGAAAUGGAAUCCUUGUCUACUUAAAUUGUAACAACAUUGUUUUUCAACAGAACUCUCAUACCUGGAUCUCGUCCGCAGGAAUACUGUUCUUUGAAUCAAACUGCUCUCGUUCCUUUGCAAGCUGGCAACAAAGAGGAAGCCCAGAAACCAAAAUAUUAAAUAAAUAAUACUCUUAAAAUAUGUACUUUUGUAGCCUCGAUAAAUGAUGAUCAAAUAGCAUACCAUUUCAUCUGUUUUGUCAUAUUGGUCUACAGCCUUUUGAGAUUGUUGUUUCGCAACAUCAUAUGGUGUAAAAUUUUCAUUGUUAGCAAUUGAAUUUUCAACGCGUUUGUCACGCACAAGAACAAAUGCAACCAUGGAUUGACCAUGUCGUGCUGCCAAAUGCAAAGGUGUAUUCCCAUCCUCAUCCAUCUCAUUUAGCAGUGGUUCUACGAUCUUCUGAUCGUUUUCGAGUAUGUACCUUACCACAUUACCCUGUCCAUUUUCUGCCGCUACAUGAAGAAUAUUCUGCCCCUUUUUAUUCAGGAAUUCUUUAGGAUAUGGGGUAAUCUUCAGAAAUUCCUUUACUACAUCAACAGAGUCAUUUUUGCAUGCAACAUGAUAGGAUAGUUGCCAUCACUGUUUGUUUCAUAAGCACCAUUGAGAAACUUCUUCAAUAGGAAUUGAACUCCUUCCAGAAAACAUAUGGAUGAUGCAUAAUGCAGUGAAUUUCCCAACCUUCGGCAGUGAGACAUAAUAGCUCUGGCUUUGCUUUUGCAAUUUUCUCCAAUAGAUCUGAAAAUCAAAAGAAAAUGUUUCAAAUGAAAAUAAAGAUGAUAGGUUUGAAACAAUUGUUUGUAUGCAAAUCCUUUUCUAGUGAGUAUAGACAUUGUGAUCACCUAUAUUACGUUGCUCGAUGGCAGCAUGAACAGGGGAUUUUCGUUUUGGUAGGGCAUCACCAUCUUCUCUUGUUAUAGGAAUCGAAGCUCCCAAAUCCAAGAGAUCAUCAAGUAUCCCGUUCUUAUUGCCAUUCUCAACAGCCAGAUAUAAAGGAGACCUGUCAUUCUUGUUGCUGUAAUAGGCCACUUCUGGAUCUCUGGAAACUAGGAAUUUGGCAACUUCUUCGUUACACUUGAUGACUGCGUCGUGCAAAGGAGUGUUUCGCUUUCCAUUUGCCAUCCUCAUCAAGCUCGGAUUCAAUUCCACGAGAGAUUUAAUUGUACGAAUAGCCGUUCUUUCUCUGGCAGCAAGAUGAAGGACUGUGUCGUUCUGGCUGUUUCGCAUGGUGAUUAGAGAAGGAAACUCUUUAACCAGAUAAGAUGUAAUAUUGUCACUUCCAUAGCUUACAGCAACGUGAAGCAGUGUAUUCCCGCAGGGAGUCACUAGCUUCUCUGUUAAAUGUUGCUGAAAACGUCUUUUCAAGGCCUCAGUAUCGUCCUGCUUCACACACUCAUGUAACUGACUAUCUAUCAUUGCAUUUUCCAAGUGAUCUCUCGGAAUCGAGUUUUCAUCUAUGUUUAUCUCAACGGCGCUAGACAUAGCAAAAUAAAAUAUUAGGUUACUUGAAUCAGCUAUACCUAUUACUUAUCAGACAGCAGGACUUCUAAUUCAAAUAGGCUAGACUGCAUGUCAAUGGAAUCUGAAGUAACGUGAAUCUUAAUUACUCUUUUUUUUAUUUGCAAGGAUACUUUGAUUAUCAAAUACUUCACCCAUUUCGUUCUGGAAUCUUGGCUAUGGUUAAAGCAGCAUCUAAAAAAGGAAAAGGAAAAGGAAAAGGAAAAGAGGAAAAUUCUUAACUUGAAUUUAUAACUCAUAUACAGAGUGCAGUUGGGAGAAUUCAUGGUUUAAUGAACAUGAUACACGAUGGCAUGAGAUUCUUCAUCUUCUCGCGGUGAUUUAACUAUUCAAUUCAAAAGUUUCAAACUCUAACGUUAAGCUCGAGUGGUUAGCGCCUGAAGCAAGCCGAAGUCGCGGGUUUGAUUCCCCCUGGACGCACAAUUUUUAGUUUUUAAAAAAUAAAACACAUACAAGUUUUUUUCCCCCUCCAAAAAUAGGUUUUUAUUGAUUUUUUUUAUUUAGUAUUGAUUUCAAAGUAAAUUAAUUUUUUUAUUGGAUAAUAAAAAAAAAAAACUCAACCUAAUAGAAUUCAUGACUUCAAGAAUUUGGUUGAGUACAGAUGGUGGAAGAAUCCAUUGAAUAUAAAGCAAUGUUUGAAUAUUAUAUGUGUGUAUAUUUAAUUCUACUAUAUUGUAUAAGUUUGGAACCUUAUUCUUACUUACAAAAUUGCCUCAAUAUUUUAAAAAUUUAUGGAACUCCAAAUUCAAGAAUGAUUUUUUUUAUUCCAAUACAUUUUUUAUAAAGUUUUUUGUGCCGAAAUCUUCUUGACCAAGCAUUUAAAAGUUCAAUAUCACUCUUAUUCUUUUAAAUAUAGUUAUAUAAAUUUGAGCAAUGAAUAUGUGGAAUUUUCAUUUUUAUAGCUACCUAAAAUUUAAAAUUUUAAUUGAUAUAGUAUUUGAUCGUUUUCACCAAUAUUGUGAUGUUGUCGCUAGUUUCUUUUGAAACAUUGAUGUUACUAUUCUGGCCUAAAUGCAAGUCAAAGAAUGAUGAACUAUAUAUGGUAGUAUACAAUACAAGUUGAAGAAUCUAAUUAAAAGAAAGUGAUUUCAAUCCACAGACUAGUCAUACACUAAAUCUCACUAUUGAUUCGGAAUGUAAUGAUUUAUAUUAGUUUAGGAACAAAAAAUAAUUAAGAUUUAAAUUAUUGUUAUUCUUAUCAAGCACUACAUCAUGUCCAUUCCAUUAGAAUUUCAAUCAUUUAAACUUAACGAAUGAAAUUAAAAUACAUGAGAUAUAGAAGAAAAAAAAAACAUGAGAUAAUCUCCAUCUAAAAAAAAAAAGAAUGAAGAAGUAAAGGUUUAAAUUUAUAAGUUCAAUUAAAAAAAAAGUUAAACAAUUAAAGGUAUGUGAACAAUUAAAAAAAACAUGAGAUAGUUACUAUUUCUUUCUACGAAGAUCGGGAAGUUUAUCAGUCAGCCACCUCCAACUGUAGACAAGCACGAAAAACGAGAUGUAGUACACAUAAUGCGAGACCAAUCCUUCAAUAAUUUGGUUGACGGAUGGUGGAAGAAUCCAUUGAAUAUAAAGCAAUGUUUGGGCAACGAAAAACGCGAUCCCCACCACUAUAAUGGUGAUCGCGAGCACCCCAUAAUUGGAUCCACCUAAUGCGAUGCUCACGGCAAAAAAGAAUGACAAGCACAUCAUGUAAAUAGACCCACCCACCAUUAACGAUGAAAACCAAAGUGCAAAUGGUGCAAACUUGACAUCAUUCAAGUUUGUCCAAAGAAGGAUUAUAGCUGCCACCACAGAGGUAUUUAAAGCCCACACAUCAAGACAUAAAUAACCAUCCAAAAGAGAUGAACCAGUAGGACUGUCAAAGGCAGUGCUGUUCCGGGAGGCAGGGGCAGUGCUGUUAAGUUCAUGAAGAUGCUCACUCUUGUUAUUUUUAUCCCUUAGUUGUGGCAUCUGUAUGGCACCCGCGAAGGUUACACCAGCAACAAGCACCGCUACAACAAGAAGAUUCUCUAUCCUGCUCUUUGUUUCCUGUUUCCUUGGCGGCUUGCCUUGAGUACUAGUGAAACGCUCAUACAGGAAUUUUUUAGGGCGGGCAUGGAAGUAUAAGAUAGAUAAUGUUAUCAUCUGCAUAGCAAGGGGAAAUCAACUUCAUUAUAAUGAGUUUCCGGCACUUCCUCAAUCGCAUGCAAAAGCAUUGGCCUUGAAAUCCCUUUUUCUUUUUCUUUUUUCAGAACAAGCAAGAUUCUGGAAUGAUUUCAGAAUUUUGAAUAUAAUUGUAUAGAAUCUAAAUUAAUCGGUCUUGAACUAGAUGUUUAAAAGAUUAGGGAUGGCAAGAAAACAAUAGGAAGGGAGAAAAGAAAUAAUACCGCUCCAUAAUAAUCAAGCAGUUUGAAGUCCUUUGGUGGUGACUUUUUUGUGUCAUGCUCCUUUGAAUCAACUGCAUUGUCCUGUAAAACAGAAACAAUUUUAUGUUAAUGAAUAUAAGCCACUGAAACUGGUGAUCAGCAAAUUUUUGGAAAAUAGUCCUUUGGGCAAAGAAAAUUUCAACACAACACUUAUACCUGGUUCUUGUCCGCAGGGGUACUGUUCUUUGAAACAAACUGCUUUCGAUACUCAGCAAGCUGGCAACAAAUAGGAAUCCCACAAUACCAAAAUAUUAAAUCAAUAAUACUCCUAAAAAUAUGCUUUUUUAGCUCAAUAAAUGAUGAUCAAAUAGCGUACCAUUUCAUCUGUUUUUUCAUAUUGCUCUACAGCUAUUUUGGAUUGUUUUUCAGCAAUAUCAUAUGGUGUCAAAUUUUCAUUGUUAACAAUCGAACUAUCAACGCGUUUGUCACGCACAAGAACAAAUGCAGCCACGGAAUGACCAUGAUUUGUUGCCAAAUGCAAAGGUGUAUUUCCAUCCUCAUCCAUCUCAUUUAGCAGCGGUUCUACGAGCGUCUUCUCUUGUCUGAGUAUGUACCUAACCACAUUGCCAUUUCCAUUUUCCGCAGCUACAUGAAGAAUGUUCUGCCCUUUUUUAUUGAGGAAUUCUUUUGGAAAUGGGGUAAUCGUCAGAAAUUCCUUGACUACAUCAACAGAGUCAUUUUUGCAUGCUAGAUGGAUAGGAUAGUUGCCUUCAUGGUUUCUUUUAUAAGCACCAUUGAGAAACUUUUGUAAAAGGAAUUGAACUCCCUCCUGAAAACCUCUGGAUGAUGCAUAAUGCAGUGAAUUUCCCAACUCUUUGUCAGUGAGACAUAAUAGAUCUGGCUUUGCUUUUUCUAUUUUCUCCAACAUAUCUGAAAAACAAAAGAAAUUGUUUCAAAUGAAUAUGAAGAUGAUAGGUUUGCAACAACUGUCUGUAUGUAAAUCAUUUUCUACUGAGUAUAGACAUUGUGAUCACCUCUGUUACGUUGCUCGAUGGCAGCAUGAACUGGUGACUUUCCUUUUGGUAGGGCAUCACCAUCUUCACUUUCUAUAGGGAACGAAGCUUCUGUUUUCAAGAGAUCAUCAAGUAUCCCGUUCUUAUUGCCGUUCUCAACUGCCAGAUAUAAAGGAGACCUGCCAUUCUUGUUGUUGUAAUAGGCCACUUCUGGAUCUUUGGAAACUAGGAGUUUGGCAAGUUCUUUGUUGCCCUUGAUCACAGCAUCAUGCAAAGGAGUGUUUCCCUUUGUAUUUGUCUUCCUCAUCAAGCUCGGAUUCGAUUCCGCAAGAGAUUUAAUUGUAUCACUGGCCUUUCCUUCUCUGGCAGCAAGAUGAAGGAUUGUGUCCUUCUGGCUGUUUUGGAUGGUGAUUAGAGAAGGAAACGUUUCAGCCAGAUAAGAUGUAAUAUUGUCACUUCCAUAGCUUACAGCUACAUGAAGCAGUGAAUUCCCAGCGGGAGUCUGUAGCUCCUUUGCUGAACGUUUUCGAACACAGCUCUUAAAUGGAACAACGCUGUCAAGCUUCACAAAUUCAUAUAAUGAAGGAUCCAUCAUUUCAUUUGGCUCAUGAGGCUCAUCGUCUAUUUUUAUGAGUAGAGUACCCAUAGCAGAAGAAAAAUAAUUAUGUUAGCACUUGAAUCAGCUACAAAUCGGGGCUGGACUUUUAUUUGAAUAGAACAGAGUGCAUUUACUUUGAUUUCACUUGCAUGAAUAUAAUUGGAGUACUCAAAUCCUUCUCCAAUUUGUUGUGCGCAGGCAGGACUCACCAACAUGAUAAUAAUUAAAUAGCAUCAAAGAAUAAUAUAAAUAAUAUUUUAAAAUUUAAAUUUUUUAUUUAAAUUUUUAAGUUAAGAUAAUUCUUUAAUAUAAUAUUAAAUUUUUAAUAAUUAAAAAAUUUCGAGUUUAAAUCUCAUCAUUUUUUUUUUGAUUUGUACUAAGAUGUAUUAGAUAAUAAUAUAAUUUAUAUUUUAAAAUUUUAUUUAAUAAUUUAAAUUUUAAAUUAAAUUAAAAUGAUUCUUUCUUGUAAUAGCAACCAAACCCAUAAAAGAAAAGGAUAAAAAUGUUCCAUAGUCUUUAUUCUUAACUUGAGAAUAUAACUCACUGUGCGAACACUCGAAGAUUAAAGGAACAGGAUCCACAAUGGCAUCAGAUUGUAACUUAGGUUUAGGUAAAAAGAUCCAAAAUUUUUAACUGUUUAUCAGGAAGUCCAAGGGAUGUUUUAUGUUAUUUUUUUAUAAAUAAAUAAAUGUUUUGAAUUAUUUUGAUGUGCUGAUCUUAAAAAUAUUUUUUAUAAAAUAAAAAAAAAUAUCAUUUUAAUACAUUUCAGUAUAAAAAAUACUUUGAAAAGCAACCGCAAUCACAUUAUCACACACCAAAACCUACUUAAUUUAAAAUCAUCACUUGUAGAAUGGUGAUCAAGUAGAACGUUGAUUGAAUAUACAAGACCAAUAUUUAAGUAUUUGCUUUUACACAGUACGAGUUUAAUUGCCUUUGUGUCACACGUUUGGAACCUCAUUCUUUCCAAAGUGAAGAUGUCGGUGGUUCUUUUUUUUUCUUUUUACAUGUGCUUGUCCCCGUUUAUAGAAAACAUAAUGACAUGGGAAACAAUAGAAUGUGUGAAAUUCUUCUUACAUAAUCAUCAAAAUCCAUAGGUUAUAAAUCUAUCCAUUUGUAGUACAGUCAUAACGUCUGUAUCCAAUAAACUGCAAUUAAUCAUUAGGGACUAAACUUCAAAUCUGAUUCAACUCUUAGGGACCCAAUUUAAAUCUGAUUAUCAAAAUUAAGGACCAAAUCAUGACUCCAAGGACCAGGCUAUAAUGAUUAUAAAUUUCCAUGGAUUAUAUUGUAUCUUUACCUUCUCCUUCUCGAGAGUUUCUGCCGAUUCUCCAUUACCGACAGUGGCUUAAUCCUUUCUGAAUCAUCUUCUUAUUUCUUUGGGACAUGCUAAUCUUGUGCGGUAAACGUAAAUGCACAUGCAAUUAUUUAACCAUUUCUAUCUUUUUUUUAUUUUAUUUUUAUCUUAAAGUUAAUUUUAGUUGCUAAGAAAUGAUUAUUAAUCUAUAAAUAUGUCAUAUAAAUUCAAUUUAUUUAUAUAAAUUAUAUAAAAAAACAUUUAAAGAUAAAUUACAAUAAUCUCUUUGAAGCAUUAUAAAAUAAAUAAAUAAAUAUUAAUUACUUUUAAAAAAAAUACUAAAAAAAAAAAAAAAAAAAAAAACAAGAUAGAGUAUUAAUUAAAAUUUAAAUAAAAAUUAAUGAAAUGUUUAUUAAUAAAAGUUAAGCGAUGCUGGGAAUACCAUACCAAGCCCACGCGCUUGCCCAAGGAUCAAAAAACAUAAGUGUUCUUGAUACUAGAAGCCCAAGCCAGCAUUCCCGGCUAAUUUUUUUCUUUCUUUCUUUCUUUUGAAGUUUUUUCUUGAAAUAGAUAAGAUGUUUAUUAUGCAAAAAUUAUUUGUUAUCCUCUCCAUCUUUUUACUCUUACCUCCUGUGUUUGAAAAAUAAAAGCUGAAGUUUUAAACUAUCACCUUAAUUAAACUUUCAUUACAAAAAUAAAUUCAUUAACACCAAUUUUAAUUUUUUUUAUGAUUGAAAUCUAUCCUUUAAAGCAUUUUUCUCUCUUUAAUAUUUUUUGCUAACUUUUUAUCUUCUCUCUCAAUAUCCAGACACUAAAUUAUUAUUAUUUUUAAAAAAAUAUUGGACUAAAAUAUGAAUUGCUAUAACAACAAGGAUCAAAUAAUAGAUAAGUUGAAACUUUAUAUAGCAAAUUAAAGUUUUCCAUACCAAUAUUCAAAUGGGGUUUUUUUUUAUUAAAUUUGGUCAAGUUCUUAAGUUUUGUUUUAACUAAACAUAAAAUUUUACUUUGCAAAAUCAAUUUUUAAUUCAUUGUUGUAAAAUUCGUUGACAUUUUGUAUAUGUAAGACAAUGAAAAUUAAAAAAACAAAUCUUAACAUGUAAAACUGUUUUAAUAUAAUUUUGAAAGAUUAUAUUUUAAUUAUAGUUUCAUGAUCAAAAUUUAAAAAAAAAAUAACAUUUGCAUGAAUAGUGCAAUAAAUAAUGAAUCUCGAUCGAGAAGAAGAGUAACAAUACACAAUAUUAAUAUUAAUAUUAAUAUUAAUUCCAUAAAGUAAUAACUCAUAAUCCAUUUUAAUUAUUCAAUUAAUCUAAACCUCAUAACAAUGCAUACAAUCCCUUUGAGAGUGCUUUUAUUUAUUUGCGAAAUUGCAAAUAAGUGAAUAACUACGAAAUGAGCAUUGUACCUCUAAAUCAACGUAAAGUAUAUUAAUAAAAAGAUAAAUCUUAAUUUUGUUUCUUAUAUUCUUAAAUAUAAUAAUGUUCAUUGUAUUAUUUGAACCUUUUAAUUAGAAUGGAAGUUUAAUUUCAUCACUUUCUUAUGAGGUUUUUUCUUCAGUGGAUAAUCUGAAAAAAUCUAAGUAAGAGAAGCUAGAUUCGUUUCAGAGGGUAAAUUUAUGCAUGGAUAUACAAAGGAGACCAACUUCCUCAAUGCAUAAGAAAUAAAGGUAUCGAAAAAAUGAAGUGAGGCUCACUUUCCUUCACCAGCAUAUACCAUGCGUUUACCUUUCCAAUAAUUAGAAGAAAGCGACUUGUAUGGAGAGAGCUCUCUGAAUUUCUUAUAUUGAAAUUUUAUAGGUGUCUUUACAUUUUGAUUCUCGUACCCGAAAAAAAUAUUCCAAUAUGCGGGUUCGACUGGCGAAAUUUUUUUUAUUAUUUGGUUUGAUUUGGGUCUUUGGAGUCGCCACCUAGUAUUUUGGUCACUAGGAACCCUAACUGGUCUCAGAGAUCGGGUACGGAGACUGGUUGCGUAAAGAGAAGGUAUUAGCACCCCAAAUACGCCCUGCCUAAGGUAAGCUGCAUUGUUUUAUUGUCUGAUAAAAAAAAACUAAGGUGUUAUUGUGUUUUUCUAGUUGUUGGUCUGUCUAUGGUUCAAGAAAAAUCCUCCUCGGUAAGGAGAUCUUUAUCUUAUUGGGUAAAAAUCCUAACCGUUCUAACGUCCAUACCAAAAUUUUAUUAAUAAUAUUUAGGAAUACGUUUUACGUAUAAAUUCGUAAUCCCAAAUACUAAAAGAAAACAAAAUUUUUUUUGAAAUAUUGGCCUAGUUCUCAUGGCUUUAAUAAACUGGUUAUUAAAGCCAAAGUGCAUGCUAAUACAUAUAUUGUUUUGAAAAUUUUCUUUGUUGUGUGAAAAUAUGAUGUUAUAAUAUUUAUAUAUAUAUAUUGGAGAGACUAGGCCAUAUUUUAAAACAAAAACAAUUUUUGGAAAAUAUUAUUUUUUUAUGCUUUGACGAAAAUCGGGUAUUUUAAUACUAAGCUUGUAUCCUUACGGUAUAAAAAUACAACCCAAUAUUAAUCCUCUUUGCUAAAAAUAUGCAGAAAAAUCAACAAUAUUUUUAGGGAUUUUUAGAAUUUUUUUUUGAAAGCAAAAACAUUUUUUAUUCUGAAAAAUCUUUGAUGUUUUGAUGAAAAUCGGGUAUUUUUAACACUGGUUUUGUAUCUUUAAAGUAUAAAAAUACAAACCAACAUUAAACCACUUUGACAAAAAAUAUGCAGAAAAAUCACAAUAUUUUUUUAAGAUUUUUCAAAAUAUUUUUUUUUUAUAUAAAUAUAUUUUAUAUAUAUAUAUAACAUAUAUACACACAUAUAUAUAUAUUAUAAUAAUAUAUAAUAUAUUAUAGGGCUGGGCCGGCCCAAAUAAAUGGGCCAGACUCAGCCCAAAAAAAAGGGGGUGGGCCGGUCUCGGCCCGCAAUGAUAUUGGGCCGGUCUCAGCCCGAAACUAAAGUGGGCCGGUCUCGGCCCCAAACUAAAGUGGGCCGGUCUCGGCCCCAAACUUCUACAGUCUGGGCCAAGACCGGCCCAGACUUGCAAGGCUGGGCCAGCAUUGGGCUGGCCCAGCAUCUUACGACCCGGGGGGGGAGAAUUAUUUUUCUCCCCCCGCCUCCUGCAUGCUACAUGCAGGAAGCAAAACGACUACGAUGCGGAAAAAAAAUGCAGGGGGGGGAAAUGUGCACCUGGCGCGGAGGCGAUCGCUGGUGGAGCUGUGGUGUCGCUGCGGUGUCGUGGCCUCGAGGACGACGGCGCUGUGACUGUUCCCUCUCUCUCGUUGGUUCUCUCUCUCUUCGGUCUCCUCUCUCUCUCCUCCCUUCGGUUUUUUUCUUUUUGUUUUUGGUUUCGUUUUUUUUUUUUGCUUUCGGUCUGUUUCUGUUCUCCCCUCUCCUUCGUGCGUUAUUUCUCUUCUCCCUCUAUCCUCGGGUCCCUCUCUCUUUCGGUCUCUCUCUAUUUAUAGAGAAAAAGGAACCGGCGUGCCUUUUGUUAGUGCGCCUUCAAUCACGCAACGGCUGGUCGGCCAUUGAUGCUUUCAGUGGUGGUGGUGGGGGCGAGGAGAGAGAGGGGGGAAGUUUUGAAAAAAAACAAAAAAUGAUUUUGUCUUUGUUUCUGUUUAUGCGGGGGAAAGGAGGAAGAUGAACAGUGUCGUUCAAAACGACACCGUUCUGGUCUUCCUUCUUCUUCUUUUUUUUUAUAUAUAUAUGAAACGGCGUCGUUUUGGAUAAAACGCGCCGUUUCAUUUAAAUGGGUCAAACUUCAAAUCAGUCCUCCAAAUUCGGUCCCUGCCCCUCUUGUUGGCCGCCUUUUUCACUUUGGUCCUUGGCAUCUGAUUUAUGCAAUUUAGCCCUCAAUUGAUUAAUAAACCUUUAAUUUCUUCAAUUAGGCCCUUGAACCGAAUAAUUGCAGCCCCUCCAUUUACGCGCCUCUUCCAAUUUGGUCCCUGGUUUCGGAUUUUCUUAAUUAAAUCCCUAAUUGGCCCUUAAACUUCAAUAUUUAUGCAAUUAAGCCCCUGAUUUGACCCAAUAAAUUCCUAAAAAAUAUAUUUUGGCCCCAGAACUUAAAUUUCUUCUAAUUAAAGCCCAAAUUGACUUAAAAAUUAAUUUUUCUUGCAAUCAAAUCUCCUAUAAAUUCAAAUUUAAAUCCAUAAAAAUCCAAUUAAGUCCAUAAACAUCCAAAUUUGAGUUUUUCUCCUCAAAAAUCAAAUUUUCCUUCUCAAUAGGGCUUUCAUCCUUCAAGAAUAUACUGUCAAAAAUUCAAUCCUUGUAUUUUUAAAUUCCUUGACCAAUUUUCUGACUGUUUUCCGAGCGCUUCUGACUCCUGUUAUUUUUCUAACCUCUUUUGGCUAUUUAUUUUAUUUUUUAUGGGGACCCAAAAAUGGGUUACAACAUUGAUUACAGUUUUUUUAUGCUUGCUUCAGUUAAAAGAAUUUUAAAUUUUAAAGUUAGAUAUUAAAUUUGAUGCUAACGAUCUACACUUCAGACAUUAUCCAUGUAAGUCUAAACUUGUAGUUCUAGGCUUAAAAUGAUGUUUCUCAAAUAUAAAUUUAAAACUUAGUGAUCUUUUUAUAUACAGAAAGCAAAUUAAAACUUGUGGAGUAGUCAAAUAACCUAAAUAUUUUGAAUACAAAAGAUAACAACUCAAGAUUAAAGAAUUUACAUUCAUUGGAUGAUUCUUCAACUUUGGCUAUCAAGGUUGUGCAAAAAGAUCAACUAGAUGUUGCUAAAGAUUUGAAAAUUAGAUAUACAAGGAAUAUUUGUGGUAUUACUGACAAUAACUUUAUAUUAUGGACCAUCAUAUCAAAAAGACCAUCAUGGACCAAAUAGAAAUUUCAGUUUAACCUUUAUAUUAUUAUGCAAAGCCAUACACAUAAAAGUUGAGCUAUCAACCACUGAAGGUUCAACAAUUAGAUAGCAAAAGGAAUCUAAGGCAACAUGUGGCUCACUUUAUAGAGGCUUGUAACAAUACUAUACUUGAUGGUGAUCUCAUGGUAAAACAAUUCAUUCAUUCUUUAAAAUGCAAUGCAUGACUUGGAGUCUUUUUUAACUUAUAAUUGGGAGAAAUUGAAAUAUAUGUUUCUUCAACACUCAUCACAUGGUUAACAUGAUUAAACUUAUCAAUGAACAUUAAUAAAUAGAGAAGCAUGUCAUUGACUACAUUCAUCAAUUGUAAAGAUCAACUCAUCAAAAGUUUUACUCUAAAUAUAUGCAUUGAAGGGAUGCAUAGGGGCUAUGCUGCAUUCUAUAAAGCAUUAAAACCCAAAUCUUUUAAAGAAUUAGCUACUAGACACACAACAUAGGACUUAAUAUUGCUACAACGAAACCUUAUCAUUACCUAUGUAAGAGCCUAAAAAAAAAUAAGUCUUAAAGUCAUAGAUUUGAAAAGAGCACUUCAAAGGUUCAAGGAAAACAAUCUUUGGUAAUUAACUUCGUUGUCAUAAAUGUACCUACUAGAGGUAAAAAGAAUGAUUGUGCAACCCUAAAUACUUUUUAAAAGGGUGAAAAGAAAAGUCAUCCUUUAAAGAAUGAUAAUAAAAAAAGUAUCAAUUCCCCAACUUGGAUAUAUCAAGUACACUAUAUGAUUUGCAAAGUAAAUUUCAUUAAGCUAUCAAAGUUGAAACAUCAUAAAAAAGCAAAUCAACAUCAUUGAGUUCACCUACGCACUAAGCCCAAGUAUAUAUGGGUAUGACAAGCUGUUAGAUCAAACACAUUGGAUUCACCUACAUGUUGAGCCCAAACAAACAUGGAUUUAUCAAGUUGUCAAACCCAAUAUCCUAGGGUUCAACUAUAUGUUGAACCCAAGUACAUAUAGAUCUAGCAAACUCAAUGAUAUUAGGUUCAACUAUACACUAAGCAAAAAAAAUGGGUUUACAAGUUGUUAGACCUAAAAUCUUGGGUUUAACUAUACACUGAGCUCAAGCAUAUAUGAGUCUGGCAAGCUACCAAAUCCAACAUCCUUGUUGCUAAGCCCAAAAAAAAUAAUUAUGUGGCAAGCUUUCAAACACAACAUCAUUGGAUCAGCUACGUGCUAAGACCAAGUACAUAUAGGUCUGUCAAACUACCAAACCUAAUGACCAUGGGUUCAACCACGUGUUGAGCUUAAACAAACAUAGGUUUAGUGAGUUAUCAAACCCAAUAUCCAUGAGUUUAACUAUAUGCUAAGCUUAAGUACAUAUAAGUUUGGUAAAUUAUCAUACCCAACAUCUUUGGGUUUAAUUACAUGUUAAGCCUAAACAAAUGUGGGUUUGGCCAUCUGCAAGACCCAUUGCUAAUGGACUUGACAUCAUGUGAAGCCUAAGUGGGUAUGGGUCUAAAGAUCAUUAUAAGCCUCGUAUUGGGCUAUAAGGCUUUCUUUGUUUAUUCUUAUGAUUUUUAAUAUUAAAUGUUAAUGUUAAGAAUACUCAUCUCUCUAUACUUAUAAAUAUAUAAAAGUCUUCUAAGAACCUACCAUAUUUUCAUCAGUAUUAAAUAUUAUGUAAUAGAUAUUUAUCCCUCAUUAAUGAUGUGUAAGGGAUAUGUAUCCAAUGUCCAAACACUCAAAAACCUCUUUCUUAAACAUAUUAGAUUUUUGAAAUAUCAUAAACUGAUGAAUAAGAAAUAGAUCUUUUUGCCAAGAGAAGAGUAGAGAGGAAGGAAAGGAUUAAAAAAUAAAAAAAGAAUCAGCUACAAAACAUGAACUGUAUGACAAAAGUUGAUGCUUUGCCAAGCCAUGUUCACCUAGCAGCCGCAUCCUUGCCUAUAACAGAAACCCUAUCCACUCAAUUAAUUAAGGAAAUAGAAGAGGUUUAGCAAACAUGCAUAGAGUAAAUUUUAUAAUUUACACUUUGGUCCCUAAAAUCAAUAAUUGCUUUAAAUUAGGCAUCAAACAUUGAUUCUAUAAUUUGAUUUGAUAAAAUUUAAUUGAAAUUUAUCCCUAAAUUUUUAAUUUUGACUAUUAUAUUUUAUUUUACAAUAAAAAUAUCUAUAUUAAUUUACUUUGAAAAUUUAAUACGAUCAAAUCAAGUUUUAGUUAAAAAAUGAUAUUCAAAGUUCAAAAAUCCUCUUAACCAUAUUUUUCAAGACAUGUCUACUUAUUUUAAGGCUAAGUGAACUUGUAUCAAAGGGGCAACAUUUGUAUAAACAAAAAUAUUGUACAAAUUCAGUUUUUUCAUGUCUUUAUUUAUUUAUCUUUUAUUUUGACCUAAAAAAUUAAAAUAAUUGACAUGGAAAAUAAAUGGGCCAUUAUGUAUUUCUUGGCCUAUAAAAAGUUGAAAAAUAGGAUGAGAUAUUUAAUUUAUUUUAUCAUUAAUGCAAGAUUUUAUAAUUGAAAAUCAACCAAUAACUGAUAAUAAACUUUAAGUAAAAUUGAACAUUAUUAUUUUUCUAAUGAUAUGGUGAAUUUAAAUAUCCAAUAAAAAUUUAUCUAUAAAUGUGUUCACAUAUUUACCCAUUUAAACAUACUUAUUCAACAUUAUUAAUUUUUAAUUAAAAUUAUUUAUGAGAAUUAUUUAAAAAUAAAAUAAAAAGUCUUAAUGUAUAUUUGAUUUAAAUUCUGAAUUAUACUCAAUUUUUGAAAAUAAUAAUGCAAAUUAUGUCAUUAUUUUUUGCUUCAAUCGAUGUAUCCAAUUAUCGAAUAAAACUUUAUUCAUGAAUGUGUUCGCACAUGUACCUAUUUUGUUUUUUAUGAAUAUGUUCAGUACUAAUGUACCUACAAAGCAUAUCUAUUCAACAUAGUUAAUUUUUUAUAGAAGAAUUUAUUGAUUAGUUUAAGAAAUCACAUCCUAUAAUAAAAUUAAAACUCUAGAUGCAUAUUCAAUUUAAAUUUAUAAUUAUGCUAAAUUUUUUAAAGUACUAAUUUAAACUAUAUCAUUGAUUUCGUUAGUUUGUUCUCAACAAAAGAGCUCAAUUGAAAAUUAAUAGAAUAAGAUGUAAUUUAAAUCUUUUAUUAUAAUAAUAUUUAAAGCAGCUUAAAUGAUAUGAUCAUUAUUUAUAUCAUUUUAUCUUCUUUUUUUUUUCUUUUUUUAUUAAAUUAUGAAUUAUUUAAUAUAAAUAAGGGAGGAGAUGAUUAAGUUAAAAGAAUUACACUGAGUUGUGAUUAGAAUGUAACAAGAAAAUCUACAAAAUUAAUUUUUAAAAAUUUUGAUAAUUAGGUCUGGUAAACUGUCAGACCCAAUAUCUUUGGGUUCAACUACAUGUCAAGUUUUAACGGAUGUAGGUUUGGCAAGUUGUAAGAUUUAUUGCUAAUGAACUUAACAUCGUGUCAAGCCCAAGUGGGUAUUGAUCUAAUGAUCAUUAUAAGCCUCAUGUUGGGCUAUAAGGCUUUCUUUGUUUAUUUUUAUGAUUUCUUAACAUGAAAUGUUAAUGUUAAGAAUUUUAAUCUCUCCACACCUAUAAGUAUAUAAAAGUCUUAUAAGAGUCUACUAUAUUUUCAUCAUUAAUGACGUGCAGUGUAAGAAAUAUUUAUCCAUUCUCUAAACACUUAAAAAAUUUAUUUGUAAGCAUAUUAAAUUUUAAAACAUCAUCAACUACUGAACAAGAUAUCAAUCUUUUUGCCAAGAGAAAAGUAAAGAAGAAGGAAAUUGUUAAAACAUUAAAAAUUAAAAAAAAUCAGUUGCAAAACAUGAACCCUAUGACAAAAGCUUAUGCUUUGCCGAGUCAUGUUCAGCUAGCCGCCACAUCCUUGCCUAUAACAGAAACCCUAUCCACACCAUUAAUUAAAGAAACAGAAGAGGUUUAGCAAACAUGCAUUGAGUAAAUUUUAUAAUUUACACUUUGGUCCCCAAAAUCCAUAAUUGCUUUAAAUUAGGCAUCAAACAUUGAUUCUAUCAUUUGAUUUGAUAAAUCUCAAUUGAAAUUAAUCCCUAAAUUUCUAAUUUUGAUAAUUAUAUUUUAUUUUUACAAUAAAAAUAUCUAUAUUAAUUUACUUUGAAAAUUUAAUACGAAGUUGGGAAAAAAAUUAUCAAAGUUCAAAAAUCCUCUUAACCAACAUGCCCACUUAUUUUAAGGUUAAGUGAACUUACAUUGAGGAGGCAUUUAUAUCAACAAAAAUAUCAUACGAAUCAAAAAAAUUUAUAUGUCUUUUAUUAUUAUUAUUAUUAUUUACUUAAAAAAAAUGAAAUAAUUGAGAUGAAAAAUAAGUGGAACAUUAUAUAUUUUUGAAGACAUGUCCACUUAUUUCAAAUAUUUUAUUAUUAUAAAAUUUAAAGCAGCUCAAAUGAUAUGAUCAUUAUUUAUAUUUUUUAUCUCUUUUUUUAACUUUUUAUUUGAUUAAAUUAUGGCAUAUUUAAUAUAAAUAAGGGAGGAAAUGGUUAGAUUAAAAGAAUUGCACUGAGUUGUGAUUAGAAUAUAACAAGAAAAUCUGCAAAAUUAAUAAUUAGAAAUCUUGAUAAUGAACAAAGGUUUUGGGACAAACAAGAUAAGGUAGACAAAUGAUCACAACGAGCCUGGUUUGGUUGGAUCGAGUAGAUAACGUGAUUGAGAAUGUUUAGAGCGAGCCACAAAUGAUAUGAGCUCUCACUUAUAUGAAGAUGUUACAAGGGAUGAAGUGAAAGAAGUCUUAGAUUAGAUGGAACCGGUACAAGUUCCAGAACCAAAUGAUAUCCUAGCUUUAAUAUUGUUGUCCUUCGUCCAUAAAUGAAACAAUUUAGGACAACAAUGUCUUUAAUUUGGAUCAUUAAAGAUAUCAACUUGGUUCGUCUUAACAGUAUUAAAAUGGCCGGCCUUAAAACAAGAAAAAAGGACAUGGCCAGGCAUUGACACGUUGGUGAAUUGUUGAAAUACCAACAGAAUAUACCGUCUGUAAAUUCGUCGGUAAGUUAUAAUACCGACAGAAUUAAUCCGUCGGUAAAUCUGUUGGUGAGUCAUGAAAACACCGACCGAAUUUAUCCGUCUGGAAAUUUGUCGGUGAUGGUCGCUGCUACUGUCUAAGGCCGACGGAUAUAUUCCGUCGGUAAAUCCGUUUGUAAUUUUUUUAUAUAUAUAAUUAUUUAGAAUACAUAAUAUAAAAUGAUAUAAAUUAAUGGUAAUAAAAACCAAUUAUGCAAAUAAAAAUUAUAUUAAGCGUCAAAAACAAAAAAAAUAAAAGAUAAAUAAUAUUCAUUACAAAAUGAAAUUGUUCAAAAAAACAUUAAAUGAAAUUUUAAAUAUAAAUAAUGUUUAUAAAAAAUUAAUAUAAAGGAGGUUGAGGAGGAUCAGGAGGAGGAGGAGGCUGACUGUUAUGCGGCCAACUUGGAUUGGGUGCACCUGUUCCACCUUGUGACAUGUUUAUGACCAUUUGACGAAGCUCUUCAUAGGCCGCUCUUUGUUCUGCAGAUUCUGCUGUGUAUUGUUCUUUGAGUUGUGUGUAUGUCUCUGAUAGGUGGUCGCACCUUUGCUGCAAGGCCACCAACUCCUUAGAUUGGGAGCUCAAUAUUGAUUGGGAGCUCCCGACGGUUGAAGCAGUACGGGUCGUCCUCAAGGUGUCGGCCCUAGUGUUGGAGAGCCCGUAAACCCGAUUCUUAUCGGGUCCAUCUGACGAUCUAGCCUCCAUCCACAAAUCCGGAUCGAAUUCCGGAUGGGUCGAAGGAUCGUCCCCGUAUGUCUCCCUCAACCGAUUAUUAUAGGUCUCCUGAAAAUAAAAAAAAGUAAUCAUCAUAUUCAAUUCAAUAAACAUAAUAAUUACUUACAAAAUAAAAUGGAUGAAUAAACAUACCACAAAAUGUUGAGCGUGACUGUCAACGAACUAUUGCACCCCCUUUUGGCGUUCUUGACUCCGCACGUGCGUCUCCACAAACAGCUCCAUUGGGCUUGGCUCACGUCCAAGAGACGUAGCCUAUAAUGAAAAAAAAUUAUUAACAACAAAUUAAUUGAACGAUAUAUUUCAUUUAAAUUAAUCUUACCAUCCGUUUCGCAUGAGCAGCAAACGGAAUGGAGCCGCCGGUGUGCGUUGUCACCGAGCCAUUAAUUGGCCGAUUUCGGUUGCCAGCACCGGACUGUGAGCGUCGUGUGAACCGCUCAGGCAUCACGUGCUCAAGAUAGUGCGGCCAUAUAUCCUCCGGGAUGUAUAUCGGUUUGAAAUCCCUCCAAACCACAACAUCGUUCCAGCCUUGUAACCCCCUAUCCCUCGCAGUUUUUUUUGCCUUUUUUUGGGCUUCGUACCAAAAAUCACGCAACCUACUUAACGCAAUCAAAAAUUACAUUUCGAAACAUAAAUUUUUUUGUAAAAAAAAGUUGUAUUGUUUUCGAUGUUACCUAGUUGCCGCAUGAUUUUCCCAGACCCUCCUCACAACAUUGUUAUGUUCCUCGUCCCAGCAGAAUCAACAUUGUUAUGCCGAUUCUACGAAGUGAAGCAUCGCUGGAAGAGGCAGCAUCAGCUGACGGCGCAAGUGGUGUAGGUGCCUCUUCUUGAGAGGCACCUACGGAAAUGUCUUCGUCGCUACUAGACGAACUAGAUGCGACCGUACGUGAAGCUCUGGUUUUCAUUAUGUGCAUCUAACCAAUUUUAUAUAAAUAAUUAUAUAAUUCAAUUGAAAUGUUAAAAAAUAUUCAGCAGCACCUCCCCUAUACUUGGAUACUACCCAAAUCCACAAACCUGCAAAUAUUAAUGUCGCACCCCAAAAAAAAUCCGGCGCGCCAUCGGCUGGCGAUUUUUUCUCGUUUUUGUGUUUGCUUUGAAUUUAUUCGUUGGAGUCGCCACCUAGUAAUUCAUUGAGGGCUACUAGGAAACCUGAUGUACUGGUCUUGUCAGAGAUCGCGGGUAAGGGACUGGUUGUGGUUAGGGAAGGUAUUAGCACCCCUAACACACCCUACCUGAGGUAAGCUGUUUUGUGCUCUGAUGUGAUUUGAAAAUUUAAAAUAUUAAUUAAAUUCUAAGGCUUGAUUAAAUCAGUUAUUAAAUCCCCGAAUAUAUGUAGAAACUUGUUCUUACAUUUUCAUGGAAAAUACAACUUGAUUUUAUUUGUCCUUGAGAUAUUUAACCAUAUUUAAAUUAACAAUUAAUUCUUUUUGUCCUUUUUGAUUUUUAAUUCAAUAAUAUAAAUAAAUAAAAUAAAAUAAAAACAAACAUACAAGCACACACAAACAUUUUUUUUUUUGUUAUUUAUCACUUUCUCUUUUCUUUUCUUUUCUUUCUUUUCCUUUUUCUUCCAUAUUUACAAAAUACAAAAAAAAACUCAAAACUAAAUAAAUAUUACAUUAAACAAUUUGGAAAUUACAAAAAUGACCCAAAACAAAUCCAGGAACAAUUCUGGGCUAGAUUCUAGGCUGCGUGAACACUGGCGGCGCGUGGAUCGCAGAAAAAAUGGGCAACCGGUGGAUCCGGCUCGUCUCUGUUUCCUCUUCCUUUCCUCGCCGGUGUUACCUGCAAAAACAAACCAAAACGCAACAAGCAGUCGAUUUUAUUAAGAGUUUUUUUUUAUUUCUUUUGUUUGCCCAAUCUGCCUCUCUUCUCCUUCAAAUCUGCUUCGGUUUUUUGCUUCUUCUUGUCCGAUCUGGCUUCUCCUUCCUAUUUCAGGCGGCGGUGGAGUUGUGGGUGUCACCGCUGCGGUCCAGGCGUUGAUGAAGGGGCUCGACCGGUGCUUGGUGAGGAAGAAGAACUGCUGCUGGCUGGGUCGGUCGAGAAAGGAGAAGGAUGGCGCUGAGAGGCAAGAGACCGGUUCUGCUUGUUCUGCUUUGGCUACAACCGAGAGAGAGAUGUGCGAAAAAAUGGAGGCCGGUUUAGGAGAUGAGUGAAGGAGCUGGGUCUGUUGAGAGAUGAGAGAGUGAGGUGGCCGGGGGGAGGAAGAAGAGAAAACGAAAUCAGAUCAGCAACCGGGGAGGCUGGCCGUGGGAUCGUUGUUGGGGAAAAGAGAAACGAAAAUGGUCGGGGGGGGGGGUCUGUGUGCGAUUGGCUAAAAAAAUGGGGAGAGUUGGCGAUUAAGAGGCGGAGGUGGGGCUGUCUUGUGGUUGAAAGAGGAGAGAACCGGCUGUGGUGGCUGCUCCGGUUUUGUUGGCUGCAAAAGGAGAAGAAAAUGGGGCUAGGACUGGAAGAGUGAGGGGGCCGGAGAUGGAGAGGGCUGUGUGGGGAAGAUGAGGUCGGCUGAGAAGGUCUGUGUGGGGGGAAAAAAAAAUCAACGUGGGGGCCGACAACUGGUUUUUCAUAGAAGAACACUAGGGAGAAAAAUUUAAAACCAGUGGGGGGAGUUGCCGCCGACCCCUUUUUUUUUAGUGGGGAGAAAGAGUUGGGUUUUAGGGUUUUUGUGUUUUUUUCUGAAUGUGUCAAAAAUGCCCCCCUUGUAAAUGUUGGAAACCAGUAUUUAUAGGCAAAAAAUAUUGCCAAGUUUUCAAAAUUGGUCCCUUAACUUUCUUUUUUUGUAAAAUUUGAUUUUUCUUGUUUAUUUGUAUUUUUUUGAAAACGAGCAAUAUCAACGUCAACUCGAUGAGGAAAAUCAAUGAUUUUAAAAACAACGCGUGAAAAGUCGAACGCGUUUGAAAAUCUUUUGAAAAAUUAAAUUCUUUUUAGACGACGCUGAAAAUGCUAAAAUGACGCGAAUAUAUUAAAAAAACAUAUUUUUUGGAUUUUCAUUGUUUUUCUCUAUUUUUUGGAUUUUUUGAAAAUAUAUCAAAAACAUGGGUCAAAAAUUGGGUAGCAACAAUUAACAAUAGCCACAACCAAUUGACCCAAUCUAUACUAAUUAUUCCAACAUAUUCAAUUACUAAUCCUAAGGUAAAUUCUACAUUAACAAUAUUAAUUCAACAAAUUAUUAAAUAUUCAUUAUGGCAAUACAACAAUAAAAUUAUUCUAAGGUAAAUUCAACAUUAACAAUAUUAAUUCAACAAAUUAAUCAAUAAUUAUAUAUGGCAAUACAACAAUAAAUUAUAUUCAAUAAAUUAAAAAAAAAUAUAGACUAACAAUUAAAAUCAAUGGAAAUAAUUAAAUACAAAUCAUGCAAUAAUAGAGUAAAAUUACUAAUUAUUCUAACAUAGUCAAUUACUAAUUCUAAGUUAGAUUCAACUUUAACAACAAACAUUCAAUAAAUUAACUAAUACCAAUUAUAACAACACAACAAUAAAAAAUAUUCAAAAAAUUCAAAAAAAAAACCUACAUCAAGAAAAGGAACGAAAUAUACAUACCUUAAUAAUAUGUUCAAUUCAAAACUUUAUCUACAUUAGAAAAAAAUACACCAAAACAACAAAAUAACAAAAAUAAAAACAACUACAACUAAAAUAAAAGAAAAUAAAAUAAAAUAGAAAAAACCACAUACCUUUAUUCAAAUCUUGCAAGAGAUUCAAGGUGAAAGCCUUGAAGGAUUGAGAGCAAAAAACUGAAAAUUACAGGGUAGCGGAGCAGAAGAAAAACGGAGGAGAAGACAAAAUGAGGGGAAGCGGCGGGCGCUGGAAGUUAUAGGUUAUAUGGCAGAUUUACCGACAGAUAUUAAAAAAAUAUUGAUUGAUAAAUUCCGUCGGUAUGGAUGUCGAUAAAGUUAUCGGUAUGGACGUCGAUGAUUGUGGCAUUUCGGUGUAAUUAUUUUCGAACUCUCUGUGAUAUGCCGGUGAUUGUGGCAUUUCGGUGUAAUUAUUUUCGAACUCUCUGUGAGAUGCCGACGGACGGCUGUCAGUCGGUAUGGACGUCGGUGAUUGUUCAAUGUAGAAGAGGUGUUGUGUUUGUAUUUUCUAUUUACCUUCUUGCAAAAAAUUCAAUGAUAAACUGUCCAUCGCACAAAACAAUAGCAACAAUGCUUAAACAAUAAAUAAAUAUUUCAUGUUUCAAAAUAUAUCAUCCAUAAUGUAAAUUACAUGAAGAAAAGGGUUUUACACAGGGCUUCGUUUUGAUAGUUAGUCAGAAUUAUCUUCUUCUUCGUCAUCAAUUGAAUAGUCUUCACCUUCAUCGCAAUCUUCAAUAUGGAUAUCAUCUUCUUCAUCGACAUUUGCUUGUCCGCUAGAGCUCAAAACAACGUUCAACUCCUCUCGUCAACAUCAACAAGACUAUCAUCGAAACACGAAAAUUUGAAUUUUCUUCCAAUUCAAUCGAAGGAGCAACUCGAUAUGGUUCAACCAACUCACUAACUUGAAAGACUUCAUUCGCACACUUGUGUCUUCGUUCUCAUCCUGAACAACCUCGACACGACCCCGUGGUUUCGUUUUUAAAACGGACAACCAAUCAACUCUUGAUCGAUCCUUUCUAAAUGAAGGGGUGUAUGUGUAAUAAACUUGUUGACAUUGCUUUGCGAAAACAAAGACAUCGUUUAUGUUGCGGAGUCUAGCUUUUGAGUUGAUUUCGACCAGACCAUGGUGCGGAUCAACUCUGAUUCCUCUGUCCGUCGUGUCAUACCAAUAGCAUUUGAAUAAAAACACUUUAUUCUGCUCGCUAUGAUAUUGCAGUUCGACGACCUCUUCUAAUCUACCAUAGUAGUCAACUUCUAACUCACUACUACUGUGGAUCCUUAACACAAACACCGCAGUUGUAUGUCUUUCUUCCUUGCCCGUAUUCUUCAGUAUGGAAAACAUAUCCAUUGACAAAAUACCCGUUGUAGCACUUAACUUUUCUUUCAGGCCGAGGCUUAGUGAAGACAAUGACUUAGACGCACUCCUUCCCAUUUGAUAAACCUUGUAUAUGUAAUGUACAUCAAUAAACGGUAAAUGAACGAGAAUCUCGUAAUGCAUGCAUACGUACAUAAUUUUGCAAGUUAGAAUGAGUUUGUGAUAGUGCUUACAUGUGUUCUGAACCAUGUGGCAAAUUGUUCAUCUUGUAAUUGAAAGAUCUGGGAUCGGUCAGCUGCGAGUUAUUGGAGAGCAAAUAUUGUCGAUGUUGCCUGCAAGUGAUAAUGAGUGUAUGAUAUUACAAUAUAUAAUUAACAAUAUUACUGACAAAGUUUAAUUAGUAUUACACAUAUAUAAACUUACUGAAUAAAUGGUCUCAGCUCAUCACAGUUAAAUAGAACAUAGUUGUGUGCUUGUUUGAAUUCUAUUUCCGACAAAUAUCUUCCUCUUACGCAUUUUUAGGUGUGGGUCGUCCAGUUUGGAGAAUAUUGACAAGUUCCCACUGGAAGGCACUUCACCGCCAUCGUCAUGCCGUGGAACGCGAUUGAUUCUUGUUCUCAGAUGAGGUUCGAAAUAGUACGAGAUAAAUGUUGAUAUCUCUUCAACAAUAUAGGCCUCACAUAUCGAAGCCUCAACAUGCGCCUUGUUCUUAACCUUUUUCUUGAGAUUAAACAAGUACCUGCAUUGAAUUACAAUUCAAGUAUUUCAAUUAAGAAAAACAUAGAAAAUACUUUAGAUAUGAAUUCCAUUGCAACUGUAAUAUCUCACCGUUCGAAUGGGUACAUCCAUCUAUACUGGACCGGUCCUCCAGCUUUUGCCUCGAACGGUAGAUGUAUAGGGAGAUGCUCCAUUGAGUCAAAAAAUGAAGGAGGGAAUAUCAUCUCAAGUUUGCAUAGUGUCUCGAUGAUAUUCGUUUGAAGCCUCUCAAUGUGCUCAACAUUCAACUUGCUGGAGCAUAUAUCUCUGAAGAAAUGACUGAUCUCCGUCAGUGCAUCCCAUAUUCCCUUUGGCAACAAAUCACGAAAAGCUAAUGGGAUGAGUGUUUGCAUAAACACGUGGCAGUCAUGACUCUUCAUUCCAUACAAUCUGCAGUCCUCUAUGUUAACAAGCCUUGAUAUGUUCGAUGCAUGUCCAUCCGGAAAACGCAGACUCUUAAGCCAUUUGUAGACUAGCAGUUGUGCGUUUUUCUCUAACACGAAGCUUGCCCUUGGUUUUGCGACCCGUGACUCCUCAUAAACCAACUCCAUAUUUUUACGGUUACAGUAUAAAGCUAUAUCCAAUCUAGCCUUGAUGUUGUCCUUUGUCUUCCCCUUCACAUCCAUGACGGUGUUGAAAAUAUUCUCAAACACGUUCUUUUCGAUGUGCAUGACGUCAAGGUUAUGGCGGAGAAGAUUGGUCUUCCAAUAAGGAAGCUCCCAAAAGAUACUUCGCUUUACCCAAUUAUGGGUCAAACCAAAACCAGGAAACUUUUGCUUACCUGAUUGAAGGCCAAACACAAUGUCACCGUACUCUGAUACAACAUGAUGCAAUUCUUCACCAGAAAGACGCGGGGAUGCAACAUCUUUUUCAACUCUGCCAACAAAGAAAUCUUUUGUUCUUUCUGAACCUGUGAUUAAGUGGCAAGAAGCGACGGUGACAGUCAAAAAAAGAAGCUUUACCUCCGUUUGCUAGCGUGAAUGCCUUGUUGUUUUCCAUGCAGUAUGGACAUGCGAGUUUCCCAUGCGUGCUCCAACCAGAAAGCAUUCCAUAAGCUGGAAAAUCAUUGAUAGUCCACAUCAAAGCCGCCCUCAUAAGGAAAUUUUGUUUCCUCGAUAUAUCAUAAGUCAGAGCUCCGGAGGACCACAACUGCGCCAACUCAUCAAUCAACGGUCGAAGACAAACAUCUAUAUUCCGCCCCGGGCUGCUUGGACCGGGUAUGACAGUAGAUAAAACAUGAACUCCGGCCUCAUACACAUUCCCGGUGGCAAGUUAUAAACUGUGAGUAUGACCGGCCAACAAGAAUAGGGAGCAGCAAAUGACCCAAAUGGGUUGAAUCCGUCUGUACACAACCCAAGACGACAUUCCUUGAUUCAGCUGAAAAGUCAGGAUGCACACACUGUUAAAGCGUUUCCACGCUUCGCCGUCAGAAGGAUGCACCAUCACACCAUCAACCGCAUCAUGUGUUUGGUGCCAUGUCAUGUGCUCAGCAGUCCUUGGUGACAUGAAUAACCUCUGCAGUCUAGGUGUGAUCGGGAAAUAUCUAAGUUUUUUAUACGCCACUAGAGUCUUUCCCCUGCCAGUUCUGGGUUUGUAACGGGAAUGCCCGCAUGUCAUGCACUCGGUCAUCUCAGCAUUUUCAAGGUAGUAUAACAUGCAGAAGUUAGGGCACAUGUCAAUUUUCUGGUAUCCUAAACCGAGGGGUUUCAUCAUGGACUUCGCAGCAUAGAAGUUCUCUUUCAGCCUGUUCCCUUCAGGUAAAAUGCUUCUUGCCCAAUCAAUAAUUUUGUCAUACCCGGCCUCACUCAGCCCGUGAUCUGACUUGAUGGUGAACACCUGUGCCACAGCCGAUAAUUUACUGUGGUUUGUGCAGCCAUCCCAUAAUGGUUCGUCAGAAUCUUUCAACAAAUCAAAAAACCUAGCUGCCUCUGCAUUAGGUUCUUCUUCUACGAUUGGACAUUGAUUGACAUUACCUUGAUUCAUUCUCAUUGCAUCCAUAACCAUGUUUCUGUAAGGAUUAGUGUUGUCAUUUGCCGCUUCAUGCACGUUGCUACCACUAGAAGUUGACCCAACCACCGUUUCUCCCAUUCUCCUAUUACUAACAAAUACCUCUCCAUGUGCAUACCAACACUGUAAUCCUCCACAAACCCUUUGUGUAGAAGAUGCAUCAUUACAACAUCUGGAUGCAGAUACUUUUUAUUUUGACACUUCCUGCAUGGACACCUAAUACCGCCUCCAGUAAAAUUUCUGGGAAUAGAUGUUGCGAAAUUAAUAAAACCCUGAACUUACAAUAAUCCAUCCUCCGCAAUCCUUGGGGUGAAUCUAGAUACAUCCAUGAACGAUCAUCCAUGACUUCUAUCGAACCUCUAUAAAAUUAUGACAUCAUGUAUAUAUUAAUUAACUAAGUUAGGUAAAUAAACUUGUAAUAUUUACUUUACCUCGAGAUUAUCCAACAAACCAAUCACAACUUCUCAUAAAUAUUAAAUAUUCAUUAUCAUUUAUCAACGUCCAUACAAAUUAAUAUAUAUAUAUAUAUAAAUUAACAGAAAUUACCACUCUGCAAUACCAUCGAUAAAACUUAAAAAGGACCCAUUAAGCAAGCUAUUAAUUAUUUCAAAACAUAACAUGUAAUUCGGUAAUUCCACAAAGUUUUAACAAUUUACAAACAAAUACAAUCUUACAAAAUCUAAAACAAACCAUAACAGGUAUAAAAUUAUACAUUCAUAAACUACAAGUUUGUUUGAGAAAUAACAAUAAAACAUGUACAUCUACUAAUAAAAAUACAUAUACUAAAAAAACAAUAAAAUUGACAUUUAAAUGUUAAAAUUUAAAAAGAUAGAAUUACUUACAAAAAUUGAUAAAAUCCGUCGGUAAAUCAGAACACGGAUGCUGUGACCACAAAACUUCAAGAAAUACAAUUGCUGAGAUGAGAAAGAUUUUUGUUUGGGGGCGAGGGGGGGCUGGUUAUUUGCAGAUGGGGAGACUUAGGAUUAGGAAGAAGAAGGAGAAAUGGGGGAGGAGAGUGUCGGCAGGGCGGCCAUAUAUUCACUUUUUUUGACGGACUCACCGACAGAAUAACACCGUCGGUGACUCCGUCGCUAAUUGUGACGGGGAAUCGACACGUCACCGCACUGACUGCUUUUUCAAAUCCCUCGGUGAUUCUGUCGGUAUUUUUUGACGGUGAACCUAUCAUGUCACACGUACGGAUCUGGCAAUCAAAUCCGUCGGUGAUUCCGUCGGUAUUUUUGACGGUGAACCGGUCACGUCACCCGUAUAGGUCCUAGGGUUUGAAUCCGUCGGUGAUUCUGUCGGAAAAAUCACCCGCCAAAACCUCCGCCUCAGGUACCCGCCGUUUUUUCAUUAAUUCUGAACUUUCCGUCCAUUAUUCGGUCGGUAAUUAUCGACGGUUAUAUUCCGUCGGUACUUACCGACGGAAUUACGGACGGAAAAAUUCCGUCAGUAAUUUCGACCGAAAAAUUCCGUCAGUAAUUUCGACCGAAAAAUUCCGUCAGUAAUUUCGACCGAAAAAUACCGACAGAAAUAUGCCGUCGGGGAAUCCGUUGGUACUUUUGCAUGCUACAUGGAUAGGAUAGUCGCCUUGAUGGUUUGUUUCAUAAGCACCAUCGUGAAACUUCUUUAAUAGGAAUCGAACUCCUUCCAGAAAUCCUAUGGAUGAUGCAUAAUGCAGUGAAUUUCCAAACUCUUCCUCGGUGAGACGUAAUAGCUCUGGCUUUUCCCUUUGAAUUUUCUCCAAACUAUCUGAAAAUCAAAAGAAAAUGUUUCAAAUGAAUAUAAAGAUGAUAGCUUUGCAACAAUUGUUUGUAUGUAAUUCAUUUUCUAGUGAGUAAUGAAAUUGUGAUCACCUCUGUUACGUUGCUUGAUGGCAACAUGAACAGGUGACUUUCCUUUUGGUAGGGCAUCACCUUCUUCACUUUUAUAGGGAACGAAGCUUUCGUUUUCAAGAGAUCAUCAAGUAUCUCUUUCUUAUUGCCGUUCUCAACAGCCAGAUAUAAAGGAGACUUGAAAUAAUUGAAAUAAUUGAGAUGAAAAAUAAGUGGAACAUUAUGUAUUUUUGAAGACAUGUCCACUUAUUUUAAAUCUUUUAUUAUUAUAAUAUUUAAAGCAGCUUAAAUGAUACGAUCAUUAUUUUGUAUCUUUUUAUCUCUCUCUUUUUUUUUAACUUUUUAUUUGAUUAAAUUAUGGAUUAUUUAAUAUAAAUAAGGGAGGAAAUGGUUAGAUUAAAAGAAUUACACUGAGUUGUGAUUAGAAUAUAACAAGAAAAUCUGCAAAAUUAAUAAUUACAAAUCUUGAUAAUGAACAACGGUUUUGGGACAAACAAGAUCAGAAAGGUGGACAAUAUGGUUGAAAUGAUCCCAAGGAGCCUGGUUUGAUAAGCACCGAAGACAAAUCCAGAGUUGUGUUUUAUUCUCAAGUAGCAGGAUCGAGUAGAUAAGUUGAUUGAGAAUGUUUAGAGCGAGCCACAAAUGAUAUCCUAGCUUUAAUAUUGUUGUCCUUCGUCCAUAAAUGAAACAAUUUAGGACAACAAUGUCUUUAAUUUGGAUAAUUAAAGAUAUCAACUUGGUUGGUCUUAACAGUAUUAAUAUGGCCGUCCUUAAAACAAGAAAAAAGGACAUGGCCAGGCAUUGACACGUUGCAAAGACGAUAAAGUCAACCAACAUCGUCCCACCCUUGCUCUAAUUUGAUGCAAUAAUGUUUAAGGGGGCGUUUAUUUCUGAAAAGUAAAUUUUAAAAAAAUUAUUUUUAAAAUUUUUUAUAUGUUUAUUUGUUAUUAAAAAAAUUGAUAAAUAAAAAUUAAUUUUUAGUCAACCGGGAAAAUAUUUUCCUAUUAAAGAAAAAUUUAACUUAAUUUUCAGAAAAAAUAUUUUUCUUUAUCUUGGAUGGAAAAUAAUUUUUAAAAGUAGACAAUCACUGUGUCAAUAGGAGUUUUUUUUUUUUAAUAGAGAGUUGUUUAAGUGUAUAGUAAUUUUUUUUAAAAAAAAAUAUAUUAAAAUAAUAUAUAUUUUUUAUUUUUAAAAAUUUAUUUUUAACAUCAAUAAUUAAAAUAAUUUAAAAAUAUAAAAAAUUAAUUUUAAUAAAAAAUUUUAAUUUUGAUAACAUACUGUUUAUAUCGCAAUUCUAAAAUGGAAUACCUAUAGACAACAAAAAAAACCUAUCAUCAAAUGACAACGUGGGACACAAUCUAUUGUGUUCUCUUCCGUUGAUGGAGGGGUGGUGUUGGCUGUAUUUGUUAGAACUUAGAACAAAACAUUUUUUUAAAUUGCUCGUCCUUUUACCUUGAAAAAAAUCCUGCAGCAGGGACGGGAUGGAUGUUUGUUGAUUAUCGUUAUGCACCGUGUCAAUGAUUUUGGGACGGCCAUUUUAAUACUGUUCAGACCAACCAAGCUGUUGAUAUCUUUAAUUAACAUUCAUAUCUUAAUUUGAUUAUUUGAUUUUAUAUUUUUUAACUCAAUCCAACAACAACAACAACAGGAGUCUAGUAAAUGCAUGCUUAAAAUAUAUAUAAAAGUAGAAGUGCGCAUACAUUCAAUUGGAAACUCAAGAGUUAUUACAUAGUUCAAAUUAUUACCACAAUCGCUAGCCAGACACAAUCCAAGAUGUUAUCGAUCCCAAAAUCCCGACCUCUGAUCCUACUAAAGAUUGUGCUUUUUCUUGAGAUCAGAGAGUUUAUGAGGCAGCCACCAGCUACUGUAGACAAACAAGAAAAAUAAGUAGUAGUAGAUAUAAUGCAAGAGCACUUUCAGAUGAACUGGGCUGACAGAUAGCGGAAUAAUCGAAGGAAAAACAACGGCCACCCCUGUAAUACUGAUUGUUAACAACGAACGAUGGGAUCCUAUUAAUGCUAUUCUCGCAGAAAAAAGCAAUGCCCCGAACAUCAUGUAAAUAGCCAAACGAACCAUGAUAACUGAAAACCAAACUGUAGCGAUUUGAAAUCUGGGAUACGUAACGCUUGGCAAAAGAAGGAGUAGAGCUGCCAGCAGAGAGGAAGAUAAAGCCCCCACGUCGAGAAACAAAUAACCAUACAGAAGAUUCUCAUAAGUGCUGUAAUCGGAGGCAGUAUAAGUAGUGCUGUUAAAUUCACGAUCACUUGAGUUAUUGUUAUCCCUUAAUUGCGGCAAUUGUAUAACACCCGCAAAGGUUACAGCAGCAACAAGCACUGCUACCACUAGAAGAUUCCCUAUCCUUGUUGUUGCUUCCUUUCUUAGUUUUGACAUGGGUAGUCCAGUAGCAGGGAAAAUCUCCUUUAGGGAUUUCUUAGGGCGGGCAUUGACGAAUAAGAUCGAUAAUGUCAUCACCUGCAUAUAUAGCACGGGGGAAAUUAAAAACUUAAUUGUUUAAUGAGUUCUUGGCACUUGCUCAAUUGCAUCCAAAAGCAUUGACCUAAUUCAAAUGCCUUUCCCAGAACAAGAAAUUUUCUGGAAUGGUUUAGAAUUUUUUAAUAUAAUGGUAUACAAGUUCAAUCAAUUGGGCUUGAACUAGAAGUUUAAAAGAUUAGGGAUGGCAAGGGGGAAAAAAAAAGGAAAGAAGAAAAGCAAUAAUACCAAGUCAAAAUACCAAACCACUAUUUCGUCCUUUGAUGAAGCCUCUUUUGUAUCCAUCUUAUUUGAAUCAACUUCUUUGCCCUGUAAAAAAAUAAUAAUAUUAUUAUAUGUUAAAAUGCAGUGCUCUCUCUGUGUGCAAUGGAUAUAUAUAUAUUGAAGAUAUUUGAUUUCCUGCUGCGAAAUACUUUUAAUCUUUUUAUUUAAUUAUAUAAUAAUAAAAUUAAUUUUUAUAAAUAAUUUAAAUUCCAUAGGAUAAAAAAAUAAUUUAAAUUGAUUUGAAAUAAAAAUAAAAAAGGUAUCUAUAUUUUUUUUAAACAAAACCAUUUUCCUUAUUAAUACGUUCCAUUUUUUUUUACUAAUGUUUUUAUAAAAUUGUUUUGUUUUUUUUUUAACAACAACCUAUCAUAAUCUAUAAAUAAGUUUUAAUUAAAAAAUAAAAUAAUAAUGGAUUGAUAAUUUUCUUGAAAAAAAAUAUUUUUAGCAAUGUUUUUAUUGCAUAAAAACUAAAAGCAAUUAAAAUAAAUAUGGACAAAAAAUUUCAUGAUUUUAUUGCAAUAUAGAUAAAAAAAAAAAAAGAUAUCUAUUUGAUAAAAAAAAAAAGCUUUUUUUUUUUAUUAAUCCAUCCUCUCUUUCUUUUUUGGGGUAGUAUUUUAUAAAAAAUAUUGUUUCUUAAAUAAAAAACUUAUCAUAAUCUUAACGUAAAUACCUUGAUCUCGUGCGCAGGGGUACUGUUCUUUGAAUCAAUCGGCUUUCGUUCCUUGGCAGGCUGGCAACAAAGUGGAAGCCCAGAUACCAAAAUAUCUCGAUAAAUGAUGAUCAAAUGAAUAACAUACCAUUUCAUCUGUUUUGAUGUAUGUCUCUUCAAUUCUUUUGGAAAAAUCUUCAGCCACCUCAUAUGGUGUCCAAUUUCUAUUGUUAACAAUGAAAUGUUCAACGCGAUUGUCACGCACAAGAAGAAAUGUAGCCGUGCAUCGGCCAUAACCUGCUGCCAAGUGCAAAGGUGUAUUUCCAUCCUCAUCUAUCGCAUUUAGCAGCGGUGCGACGAGCUUCUGAUCCUGCUUGAGUAUGUACCUAACCACACUGCUAUUUCCAUAUUUGACCGCUACAUGAAGAAUGUCCUGCCCUUUCUUAUUGAGGAAUUCUUUUGGAUAUGGGAAUAUAUCAAGAAAUUCCUUCACUACAUCAACAGAGUGACUUUUGCAUGCUACAUGGAUAGGAUAGUCGCCUUCAAGGUUUGUUUCAUAAGCACCAUCGUGAAACUUCGUUAAUAGGAAUCGAACUCCUUCCAGAAAACCUAUGGAUGAUGCAUAAUGCAGUGAAUUUCCAAACUCUUCCUCGGUGAGACGUAAUAGCUCUGGCUUUUCCUUUCCAAUUUUCUCCAAAAUAUCUGAAAAUCAAAAGAAAAUGUUGUAAAUGAACAUAAAGAUGAUAGCUUUGCAACAAUUGUUUGUAUGUAAUUCAUUUUCUAGGGAGUAAUGAAAUUGUGAUCACCUCUGUUACGUUGCUUGAUGGCAGCAUGAACAGGGGACUUUCCUUCUGGUAGGGCAUCACCAUCUUCACUUUUUAUAGGGAACGAAGCUCCCAAAUUCAAGAGAUCAUCAAGUAUCCCGUUCUUUUUGCCUUUCUCAACGGCCAGAUAUAAAGGAGACUUGCCAUUAUUGUUGUUGUAAUAGGCCACUUCUGGAUCUCUGGAAACUAGGAGUUUGGCCACUUCUUUGUUAUCGGUGAUCACUGCAUCAUGCAAAGGAGUGUUUCCCUUUGUAUUUGUCUUCCUCAUCAAGCUCGGAUUCGAUUCCGCAAGAGAUUUAAUUGUAUCACUGGCCUUUCCUUCUCUGGCAGCAAGAUGAAGGAUUGUGUCCUUCUGGCUGUUUUGGAUGGUGAUUAGAGAAGGAAACGUUCCAGCCAGAUAAGAUGUAAUAUUGUCACUUCCAUAGCUUACAGCUACAUGAAGCAGUGAAUUCCCACAGGCAGUCACUAGCUUCUCCGCUGAACGUUGCUGGACGCGGCUUUCAAAUUCCUCAAUAUUGUCCUGCUUCACAUACUCAUAUAACUUACUAUCUAUCUUUGUAUUUGCCAUGUUAUCUCUCGGGAUCGAGUUUUCAUCAAUGUUUAUUGCUUCGUAGCCUACGCUAGACAUGGCAAAAGAAAAUAUUGUGUUAGUUGAAUCAGCUAUUCAUAUCAGACAGCUGGACUUCUAAUUUAAAUAGACCACACUGCAUGUCAAUGGAAUCUGAAAUAAUGUGAAUCUUACUUUUUUUAUAUUUGCAAGGAUAUAUACUUUGAUUACUCAAUUACUUCACCCAUUCGUUCUGGAAUCCAGGACAUAGCAAGAACGAGAGAGCAGUCUUGGCUAUGGUUAAAGCAGCAUCUAGAAAAGGAAAAGGAAAAGAGGAAAAUAUGACCGCUAACUGAAAAAAAGAUGAUUGUCCCUGGGGAAAUUCUUGACUUGAAGUUAUAACUCAUAUACACUGUGGUGCAGAUGGGAGAAUUCAUAUUUUAAUAACAAUUUUUGUUAGUUUUCUAGGACAUCUAGAAAUUAUUUUGCAACCUGAAACAUCUACGUAUCACACAACAAGACCUCUAAUUCAAAUAGAACUUACUCUGGUUUUAUAUGCAUGGAUACUUUGAUUGCUCAAAUACUUCACCCAUUUGUUAUGAAAUCCAGGACAUAGCAAGACAUAGCAAGACCAGUCUUGGCUAUGGUUAAAGCAGCAUCUAGAAAAGGAAAAGGAAAAGGAAAAGAGGAAAAUAUCUCCCCUAGCUUAAAAAAAGGAAAAUUCUUAACUUGAAUUUAUAACUCAUAUACAGAGUGCAGUUGGGAGAAUCCAUGGUUGCAUGAACAUGAUACACGAUGGCAUGAGAUUCUAUGUGAAAUAAACAUUCAAUUCAAAAGGAAAAUUCUUAACUUGAAUUUAUAACUCAUAUACAGAGUGCAGUUGGGAAAAUCCAUGGUUUAAUGAACAUGAUACACGAUUGUCGAUACACGAUGUCGGGCGACGGCUCCACUUUUUGUUUAUUUAACAAAUAGUUUUUUUUUUAUUGGGGAAAAUGAAGAUUUUAUUGGAGUCGCCAUCUAGUAAUAUGAGGGAACUAGAAAUCCCAAAUUAUACAGUGGUCCCAGAGAUUCGGGUAUUGGGUUAGUUAUGUUUAAGGGAAGGUAGACAUCACCCUUAAAUCAUUCUUUCAAAAGAAAGGUUACCCUUACUUGUAUGCUUUUAUAUUUGAUUUAAAUGCUAUUACCUUUUGAGCUUAUUUGCAAUUUGUUUCUUUUAAAGAUGGUUAAAGUCGGUCCCUAAAAAUAAAGACACUUUAAAAAUGAUAUUAAUCCCUAAAAAUAGAAGACUCGUCUAAAAUAUCGAUGUUUAACCCUAAAAAGAAGAUUUACGUAUGAGUUACCAAAAGGAAAUAAUGGACAUAAUCCAUAUUUGGUAUAAAUACCCUUGACAUCGGUCCUUUUCUGUAAAAGGAGACGUGUCGAAAAACAACAUUCGUAGGAGAUGCGUUAAAAAAAUGGAUGACAUCAGUUCCUAAAAAUAGGUGACUCGUCUAAAAUAUUGACGUUUAACCCUAAAAAGGAGAAGUACGUCUGAGUUACCAAAAAAAUUAUGGAAAUAAUCCAUAUUUGGUAUUUAAACUUUUGACAUCUGUUAUUUUCUGUAAAAAGAGACCUGUCAACAAACAAUAUUCGUUUAUAAAACAAAAAUUAUUCUGAUAUCAUUGAGAAAUGGGUAUAACCAUAUUCGAGAAUUGGGCUUUGGACCCACAAACGAUAACAUUAUAAGAUGGGUGUUGGACCCGCGUCGUUAUUCCUUUUAUACUUGUUUUUUGGUUUUUUUUGUUUUACAACAUGCAAGAAAAUUUACAAAUACUUGUAUAUAAAAAUAAAAUAAAAACUGUUACGAAUCUCAAAAACUUACCUGAGUGCCACUGUAUAUGUAAAAGACUGAAAUACCCUUGAAUUUCUCUCGAAAAAUUACAAAAAUACCCCUUGUGGUGCAUGUGGCUCACGCACAGUUACUGUUGGAGGCGGCAAAAUUUUCCGGCAAGAUUUCCAACCAACGAAUGGUUGAUUCUGGUGGAUCUGAGGGAGAGGAUUAUGAUGAAGGAGGUUUCGACGGCCGUUAAUGGCUGACGAGGUAGAAUCGUCGUUUUGAAGCUUCGGGGUGGCCGACGAAAUCGUGGUCGUUUUCCGGCUAGAUGAGGUGGCGAAAACGUUGAAAACAACUGGGGUUUUGCUUUAUAGCAGGGUAGAAACCUUUCUGUGGUGGUUUGGUAGCUUCACACGGCCGGAAAUGGGAGAUCAAAUGAGAGAGAGAGAGAGAAUCGCCAGCGAGAGGAGAGACAGGCUCUGAGAUUGUGCUACGGUGUGAACACGAGCACAGUGUACCUAUACAGCUAAAGGUUGUGAGUCGUUCGAUCGCGGAUGUACCGAUCCUUCGGCUGUGAUUGGCUUGAUCUGCAAGUUGAUCGAAGGAUCCGGAUGAGCUGAUCUUUGAUCUGGUGUGGCGCGGUGGACCGAAAGCUCGGUACACAGGGUGACGUGGCACAACAGGAUCAAAGGGCAGAUUAUUUCAAAGGCUAAGAUGGAUUUGGGUUUUAAUCUAGUGUGGUAAGCCCUAUUGUAUCUUAUUAAUUCAAAGGUCCAGAACUAACACUAUUAGAUCUAACGGUUAGGAUAUUUUUAGUAUUUUUCAAAUUGUUUAAAAAAAAAACAAUAUCUUACUCGCAUGAAGAAAAACUAAAAAAAAUUCAUAUAAUAAUACUCUACUUUUCUUUUUUUCUUUUCUCCUUUCCCUUUCUCCUCCGGUGUUGUGGCUAUUUAUAGCCAAUAAGCAGGGACAACAUAUUUAUUUCAAAGAAAAAAAAUGCAUCCCCGCAACUAACCCACCUACUAUAAUAAAUUACUAUAUUAUUAAUUUUGUUUUAUUAUAUAUAAUAAUAAAUAUUUAUAUGGGUAAAACUAAAAAACUUAAAUCAGUAUUAUAAAAAAGCUCGUUUCAACCGCGAAAAAAAUAUUUUAAUUACCGAAAAUUGUAUUGGAACACAAAAAAAAAAAAAAAACAUUUGAUGGGUAUCAACCCGGUGAAUCGUGUUUUGAUCGAAAAAUAAUGAUUUUGACCCGAAACCUCAUUUUUUACCCUGGUCGACAUGGUUUGACCUGUAUUGAUCCGGUGGACUCAGUUUUGAUAAAAAAUGAUGGUUUUGACCGAAAAUGAUGGUUUUGACCCGAAACGUCAUGAAAACUUAUUUUUUACCCUGGUCGACAUGGUUUGACCCGUAUUGACCCAAUGGACUUUGUUUUGAUAAAAAAUGACGGUUUUGACCCGAAACCAAGGUUGUCAAUUCCGUUUCGGUAGGUAUUUCAUUUUUUCAAUUGGAAUGAAAUGUUUCAGUUUCUGAGUGUUUCGGCGUGCCGUUUCGGGGUUGUACUGUUUAUAUAUAUAUAUAUAUAUUAUAUAUAUAUAUAUAUAUCAACAAACAUAAUUCAAAUUCAAGAUAAAUUAAUUAUAAACUAUGCAAUACAAACACAAUACCAAACAAAUAUAAUUUCAAAUUUUAAAAUAUUUCUAAAUAGUUAAAAAUUAAAUAGAUCUUUAUCUUAAAGUAAUUCAACUUAAACAAAAUAUCAAAAUAUUAUGAAAGUAAAAUAUUUAAACAAAAAUAUUUAAAUAUAAAGUUAGGUCAAUGUUAUCGAGUGACUAAUGGAAUCUAAAACAUCCCUUGUUUUGUUCAAAUUCCUACAAAGUAUAAACAUGAAAAAAAACAACAUAAAUAUAAACCAUUUAUAUUAGUGAUAAAUCUAAUUUUAAAAAAUUAAUAUCAUUGCUAUUAAAAAUAGUAAUGAAAAAGAGUUUUUUAUAAUCGGGUGGUUUAAUUAAUGAAAUGGAGCAAGGUUCAAUUUGAUUCAUUGGCUUUUCAAGAGCGGAAUGGAACAUGUGGAAUGAAACAGGAACGUUUCGGGCGAAAUUUAACCGAAAAAUCCGGAACAGACCGAGAUUUAAAAUGAUAUCAAAUUUGUUCCGUUUUUUGAACUGGUAUGGAAUGUUUCGGCCAUUCCGGGUGGAAUGGAACGGAAUUGACAACCCUGCCCGAAACGUCAUGAAAACUCAUGUUUUACCCUGGUCGACAUAGUUUGACCCGUAUUGACCCGGUGGACUCGGUUUUGAUAAAAAAUGACGGUUUUGACUGAAAAUGACGGUUUUGACCCGAAACGUCAUGAAAACUCAUUUUUUACCCUGGUCGACAUGGUUUGACCCGUAUUGAUCCGGUGGACUCGGUUCUGAUAAAAAAUGACGGUUUUGACCGAAAAUGACAGUUUUGACCCGAAACAUCAUGAAAACUCAUUUUUUACCCUUGUCGACAUGGUUUGAUCCGUAUUGACCCGAUGGACUCGGUUUUGAUAAAAAAUGAUGGUUUUGACUUGAAACAUCAUGAAAACUCAUUUUUUACCCUGGUCGACAUGGUUUGACCCGUAUUGACCUAGUGAAAUCGGUUUUUAUGGAAAGAUGCGGUUAACUCGAGAAAAUAUUUUUUGAAUUUUAAACUUUUUUUCUUAAUUUUUUUGGAUUUUUAUGAAUAAUAAUAGAAAUAAAAUAACAUUCAAGAAAAUCUUAGUGAAUCAAAAAUUGGGUUAUAAUAGUUAUCCCCUCUUUACAAUGCUUACAGUGCAAAGACAUUGGAAAAUUCAUUUUCUUUUGACUUUGCAUAGUAAGUUUUGUAAACAAAAACGAUGGAGGUGUUGAAAAAUACACAAAUUGUUCAGUUGGUCAAUUCUUGUGGGCGACUUGUCCAAGUGAAAAACAUGAAAGUGUUUUCAAUAUUGAUUUUUGUGAAAUACAUGAAAGUGAUUUAAGCAUUGGUCUUAUUUUCCAGGUGACCAACCUGUUUGUGAAAUACAUGAAAGUGAUUUCAACAUUGAUUUUUUGUGAAAUACAUGAAAGUGAUUUCAACAUUGAUUUUUUAUGAAAUACAUGAAAGUGAUUUCAGUAUUGGUCUUAUUUUCCAGGUGGCCAACCUGUUUGUGAAAUACAUGAAAGUGAUUUCAACAUUGAUUUUUUUGUGAAAUGCAUGAAAGUGAUUUCAGCAUUGGUCUUAUUUUCCAGAGGACCAGCCUGUUUGUGAAAUACAUGAAAGUGAUUUCAACAUUGAUUUUUGUGAAAUUCAUGAAAGUGAUUUCAGCAUUGGUCUUAUUUUCCAGGUGACCAGCCUGUUUGUGAAAUACAUGAAAGUGAUUUCAACAUUGAUUUUUGUGAAAUUCAUGAAAGUUAUUUCAACAUCAGUUUCAGGGUUAAUGAAAACUUUUAAAGGAAGUCAUACUUGCAUGGUUGAGAUCUGAUUUGUAAAUCGAUCUCAAAGAUGAUGUAAGCUUCUCAAGAAAGUCUUAUAUGUACGGCUGAGAUCUAAUUCACAAAUCGAUCUCAAAGAUGAUGAAAGCUUCUCAAGAAAGUCUUAUAUGUACGACUGAGAUGUGAUUUGCAAAUCGAUCUCAAAGAUGAUGAAAGCUUCUCAAGAAAGUCUUAUAUGUACAACUAAGAUUUGAGCUUCUAUUCAAAAUGAUGGCCGGAGCAAAUUCCCUAUAAAUCACGCAAUAUUUGGCAAAAGACAUCAUCAACUUCUCGCAUGUUCAAUACUUUCAAAGUUCUCAACUUUUGACGUUUUAACCAUGUCUUCUUUUUCUUUCAAUGCUAAUCCAAACCUUGUUCCUGCGGUAGAGCCUGUAGUUUGGCGUACUACCUUUAAAGUGAAUGGUCGCCCAGUUACAAUAGAGGAUACUCUAAUGGACAAUGAAGAUCUUGAUGUAGUCGUGGUUAGAGACAUGACCUUUCAUCGUGAUGAAAUAAUGCUGGCAACCAGGACCGUUAUUUAAGUAGUGAAUUAGUCAUUUGCUCUUAGUAUCAGAGCUACUUCGUCUUUGGUGAACCUUGCGGAGCGUCUUCAUGCCAGAAGACUUAAGUUGAAUACUUAAAUUCUUGAUCUCCAUCAUCAAAUUGAGAAUUUAAGGAAUAGACUCCGUGAUGAGAGACGUCACAGAAAUGACUUGGAGAGGAGAAACCAAGAGCUCAACACGCGUGUUGACUUUUGGAGGGACUAUGUUAACACACGACACCUCGAGUUCGAGGAAGAGAUGGAGCGCAUGCAUAAGCAAUUUGAGGAAUUUUGAGUAAUGAUUGAUCAUCAAGAUGAAAAUAUCCCUAAUCAUCCCCGUAGUUUUAACGUUUGUACUUGUAAACCCUUUUCAUGAAUAAAAAUCCAUUUCUUGUCUACAUUCAUGAAUUUUGCUUUUGUGGAAUUGCCAUAUUUGAUGUGAUUUAGAAGAACUUCAUUUCAUCUGAAUCUCGUUGGAUCCCGUUAGGAAUUUUGUUUCGUGAAAUAUCUGCAAAACAAAUAUGCAAUGCUCGUGAAGUUAGAUGAUAUGCAAUGCAUCUUACCUGUUUUUGAAAUAUAGAUCCCCGUUAUCUUGUUUGAGGAUCUUGACUUUAGUGAGCUCUUUUGAUUUCACGCGUACUUCAAUCUACUCAAGCCGACCCAUGUUGUUCAUUUUCUAAGAUAAGCUUUGUUUGAGUUUCCCAACAGUCACUGCACUUUUCUCUAUUGGUAACUUCACUGAGAAAUUACUUCUCCCUGGCCCGACAUUGUUCUAUAGGCAACAUUCCCAUUAUUGAAGAUUCUUUAACCAAUUCAUAUGGUCAAUAUAUGAGGAUUAUCCCGCUUCACCUAGGAUUUCAUAUGCAUUCUCUUACUGAAGAUGUAUCAGUUAUCUUGUUGUCUAACUGAUCAUAUUGAGAGUCAACAAUCUCCUUUCAUAGAUACUGCAAAUCAUACUAUUUCAGUCCUCAUGCUGGAAGAAGUCCACAGUUUUAUCAUGUGUAUUUUCCACUAGGGAAGCAAAUUUCUUUGUGCCAUUAAGGAUCUAGUAACUGCUUCUCUCCCUGGGAGAAUUAACUGCCUCAUUCAUUUCCUCCUUUGCUCUUGUUGUCAUUAGAAUCUCUGAUUUUCUAACGGUGCCUCGUAGUGUGUCAUAUAUUCAUUUUUCUUACAAAGAAAAUCUUUUUUCAAAAGAUCUGUUUUGUUCUCGAAAACUGAAACUCUCAAUGUCUGUUUAUAACAAUGUUCAGGCAACUCUGGGCUUUAUGUCAAAUCUCUUAGUAAAAGUAAUCUAAGAUGAAGGUAAGUGAUGAGAUGACCUUCUGCUUUGGUUUUCAAAGUGUUCAAGCGAUUGCUUGAAGGUAUUUUGAGAGAAAAGAAACAAUUUGCCUUUUAUUUUUAGAAACACUCUUUUUAACAGCAUGAAUAAUAAUGAGUAAUUAUUUGCUACGCCAUGACUCUUUAUGGAAAAGUCUCUUAUAUUUUAAGAACGUUGUUUAUUGAUCCAGGUUGCUUACUUGAUUAGAAAGGACUUCAAAGACAUGUAAUGUAUUUUAUGGCUCAAGGUUAUAAAAGAAAGAGUAUUCCAUAAGCUCAAAAAAAUGUUUAAGGGCUUAUAAACUAUAGAUCACUAUUAUCUUGUCUUGGCAUUUUCUUUUUCUACCUUGACAACAAAAAUGAUGCUAAAUAUUUCAAAUGAAGAACUUCUGUUUUUUUUUUUGUUAUUCCCAUAUUUGUUAGGAAUUCUCUCAAUUGUUUGGAAUUUAUUGAAUUAUUUGUUGUCAGACUUUCUUUAUAAGCUCACAUGCCUUCAAGACUUUUUUUAUUUGGUUGUUGAGGAACAAAAUUGUUUUUAAGGAGAGAACUAUAAGCUUGUUUGAUUAUUUUUCCACCAUCCUUCAUCGGGUUGCUAUUUGUUUGCAUACUCUGGAUUCAAACUUCACUUAUACAAGAAAUGACCUCUUAAGAUCUUCUGAUGGCAUCAAAUUGUGAUGUAAUAAGAAAUCUUAGGUAGUCUCUUUGUUGUUUGCUAUAGUAGAUUAAUUUUUUUCCUUUUUUUUUUUCUAAGUUUGUUUUCUUUUUUUUUUCUUUUUUCAUAUCCUUAUAUUUCACUUUGGCUAUUAGCUUUAUGGACUUUUCAAUAUACUCUUGAUGAUUAUCCAAAAAAAAUAAAUUAGUUGGUAAUGGUUGCGGGCUUGACAAUUCUUGUCUUACUGUACAGUUUCCAAGAUUAUAUAUAUUACCUUUCGGAAGACAAAACCUCUUCAAUUGCUAAUAUGGGUGUGUGGGAUCGAUGGCUUGUCUUGGAUUUGGAAUUUCUAUGUUUGGUAUGUUGUCCAAAUUAACGUUGUCCAGCAAGGUUUUGGACAAAUUGAGUUAGAAGUCAAUCUCUAAUGGGAUGUCAUCUUUCAUUUCCUAGUCAGCCUAGUUCAUGCAUUUCCUUCAAUGGUGUAUGAAAAGGAUUGGUCCCUCCUAAAGUUGAAUUUUUUUGUUCGAUGGCUAUCCUUAAUAAAAUCAACACCAGAGGUAUUUUGGCUAGAAGAGGUAUUAUAUAUUGAGUCUGAUGAAGCAACAUGUUUUGUCUAUUUGUUGGCUGAGGAGAUUGUUGAUCGCCUUCUCCUACGUACAUCAACACCGGAGGUGUUUUGGCUUAAAAUGUUAAGAAAAACUAGGUAGGACAGUGCAGCAUAUCCCAUUCAUUCAGCAUAAAAAUGUAUAAGCACUGAAUUGAGAAUUUGAAUUUGAAUUAGUAAUGAUAAAAACGUAUAGUCUUGUGCUUAACAUUCAAUCAAAAUGCCCAUCCAAAUAAUUUGUCCAACCACUUACAUAAACAUUAACAUAUCAAACCUUAAAAGAUAUAACUCAACUAAUCAAAUUUAUAUUUGUAGAGAUCAUCAGUUUGAGUUCCACAAACCUUAAAAUCACUAAAAAUUUAUAUGAUUAUUAAUUUCAAAACUCGUGUGAUUAAUCGAGAUAUGCACAAAUUAACUUAAACAUCCAUUUUAAUAAAUAAAAAAAACAUAUCAUUUAAAUUUUAUCUAUUACACGUUAUCCUUCAUUAAUUAUAAUUAUAAGAAAAAGAUGAUUCUCUAUUACUUCUCUUUUAGCAGCAUAUUUAUUGGCACCGUGUGAAUUUGAACAGUGUCAAAAACAUUCAUUUUUCUUUUUUCGUAGAAUUUUUUUUAAUUUAAUCCUUUUAAUUCAAGGGAAAGAAAGAAAAACAAAAAACAAAAAAAAAAGGGAAAUUGGUUGUCAUAUUGGGAAAUAGCCGCCACACGCCGCCUAUAUUGAAUGGCCUUGCUUUAAGCACUUCCAGAAACACCAAGAAAGAUUAUUUUUUAAAGCAAAGGGGAUUUUGAACGCGCCAUCAUAAUGUGGCAGGUCCUCCACAUGCUGGUGUGUUCCCAAUAUUUGUCAUUUUCGUAAACUUUGGUCCCUAAUUAUAUAAAUAUUUUUCAGUUUAGUUUCAAAUUUCUUCCCACCUAAAUCCAAGUUUUUUUUUUCAAUUUAAUCUCUAAUUUUUUUUUAUAUAUAUAAAAAAACCCUAAUCAAUCUAAUAUACAGAAAAAUGAACAAAACCCCCCACCAAGAUUCCUAAAUUGACAACUCAAAUUUCCAAAUUAGCAAAAUUCAAAAAGAAAUAUUUAUGGAAAUGACAGUUACAAAGAAAAAGCUGAAAACACCUAAUAAUUCCAAUAAAACAAAGUUAUUUACAGGUGGAAAAAAAAAGCAAUAAAAAUGCUAACUUUCAACUUAAAAAGUCAAACUUUAAUAACCAAAGGCAGUUAGAUUAAAGAGAUGCAAUAAAUAAAAAGUUGGGUUGUGCUCUAAGCAGUUGCAGAUCUAAUUAAUAAUCACCACAAAAGUUGAUAGAAAGAGAUAAACAUAGAAAUAAAAAGGAAAUGCUUAGAGUGUAAGUUUUUAGAAACUUUAAACACAAGAGAACUACAGAAAGCUGGAGGAAAUAAAAGAAGAAAAACUUGCUAGUUCGAAAACUAAUUUGCAAAGAACACCUACACUUAUAUACAGUGAUGCGAGAAGCUUGAAAACAUAAGCAUCAAAAACUUUAGCGAGGCAAGGCCGGCAUGCUUUCACCUACAUUACUUACUCGUAUCCAAAACCAUUAUAUGUAAUUGGAAUAUAUAUUAUACAUAGAGAAGAUCCGUAAGGUUGUAGUAUUAGCAAAUUUUAUUCUUUACAUAUAAUUUAUUAAAUAAUAAUAUAAAUCAUAUCUUAAAACUUCACCUAACAUCUUAAUCUAAAUGAAUAUUGAUGAACCAUGGUAGUAUACAAUACAAAUUGAAGAAUCUAAUUAAAAGAAAGUGAUUUGGAUCCAUAGACUAGUCCUACACUAAAUCUCAAUAUUGAUUCUGAAUUCAAUGAUUUAUAUUAGUUUAGGAACAAAAAAUAAUUAAAAUUUGAAUUAUUGUUAUUUUUAUCAAGCACUACAUCAUUUCCAUUCCAUUAGAAUAUAAAUUUAUUGAUCAAAGAAAAUGAACUAAACUUGACAUUUUUCUCUUAAAAUAUAUUUAUCUAUGAGAGAACAUAUUGAUAGAACACAUUCAAUUCAUUAUUUCAACCGGAAACUCAGAAGUUAUUACAAGUUCAAAUUAUUAUUUCAAUAGCUAGGCACACACAAUAUUCCAAGAUGUUUAUUCAUUCCCAAAAAUAACCUUUUAAAAGAGGGCAAUCCCUCAGAAUCCUGACUUCUCUUGAUGAAGAUAAACCUGGAUAGUUACUAGUUCUUUCUUUCUAUCAAAGGCAGUGCUGUUAAGUUCAUGAAGAUGCUCACUCUUGUUAUUUUUAUCCCUUAGUUGUGGCAUCUGUAUGGCACCCGCGAAGGUUACACCAGCAACAAGCACCGCUACAACAAGAAGAUUCUCUAUCCUGCUCUUUGUUUCCUGUUUCCUUGGCGGCUUGCCUUGAGUACUAGUGAAACGCUCAUAUAGGGAUUUCUUAGGGCGGGCAUGGAAGUAUAAGAUAGAUAAUGUUAUCAUCUGCAUAGCAAGGGGAAAUCAACUUCAUUAUAAUGAGUUUCCGGCACAUCCUUAAUCGCAUGCAAAAGCAUUGGCCUUGAAAUCCCUUUUUUUUUUUUUCAGAACAAGCGAGAUUCUGGAAUGAUUUCAGAAUUUUUAAUAUAAUUGUAUAGAAUCUAAAUUAAUCGGCCUUGAACUAGAUGUUUAAAAUAUUAGGGAUGGCAAGAAAAAAAUAGGAAGGAAAAAAAGAAAUAAUACCGCUCCAUAAUAAUCAAGCAGUUUGAAGUCCUUUGGUGGUGACUUUUUUGUGUCAUGCUCCUUUGAAUCAACUGCAUUGUCCUAUAAAACAGAAACAAUUUUAUGUUAAUGAAUAUAAGCCACUGAAACUGGUGAUCAGCAAAUUUUUGGAAAAUAUUCCUUUGGGCAAAGAAAAUUUCAACACAACACUUAUACCUGGUUCUUGUCCGCAGGGGUACUGUUCUUUGAAUCAAACUGCUUUCGAUACUCAGCAAGCUGGCAACAAAUAGGAAUCCCACAUACCAAAAUAUUAAAUCAAUAAUACUCCUAAAAAAUAUGCCUUUUAAGCUCAAUAAAUGAUGAUCAAAUAGCGUACCAUUUCAUCUGUUUUUUCAUAUUGCUCUACAGCUAUUUUGGAUUGUUUUUCAGCAAUAUCAUAUGGUGUCAAAUUUUCAUUGUUAACAAUCGAACUAUCAACGCGUUUGUCACGCACAAGAACAAAUGCAGCCACGGAAUGACCAUGAUUUGUUGCCAAAUGCAAAGGUGUAUUUCCAUCCUCAUCCAUCUCAUUUAGCAGCGGUUCUACGAGCGUCUUCUCUUGUCUGAGUAUGUACCUAACCACAUUGCCAUUUCCAUUUUCCGCCGCUACAUGAAGAAUGUUCUGCCCUUUUUUAUUGAGGAAUUCUUUUGGAAAUGGGGUAAUCGUCAGAAAUUCCUUGACUACAUCAACAGAGUCAUUUUUGCAUGCUAGAUGGAUAGGAUAGUUGCCUUCAUGGUUUCUUUUAUAAGCACCAUUGAGAAACUUUUGUAAAAGGAAUUGAACUCCCUCCUGAAAACCUCUGGAUGAUGCAUAAUGCAGUGAAUUUCCCAACUCUUUGUCAGUGAGACAUAAUAGAUCUGGCUUUGCUUUUUCAAUUUUCUCCAACAUAUCUGAAAAACAAAAGAAAUUGUUUCAAAUGAAUAUGAAGAUGAUAGGUUUGCAACAACUGUCUGUAUGUAAAUCAUUUUCUACUGAGUAUAGACAUUGUGAUCACCUCUGUUACGUUGCUCGAUGGCAGCAUGAACUGGUGACUUUCCUUUCGGUAGGGCAUCACCAUCUUCACUUUCUAUAGGGAACGAAGCUUCUGUUUUCAAGAGAUCAUCAAGUAUCCCGUUCUUAUUGCCGUUCUCAACAGCCAGAUAUAAAGGAGACCUGCCAUUCUUGUUGUUGUAAUAGGCCACUUCUGGAUCUCUGGAAACUAGGAGUUUGGCAAGUUCUUUGUUGCCCUUGAUCACUGCAUCAUGCAAAGGAGUGUUUCCCUUUGUAUUUGUCUUCCUCAUCAAGCUCGGAUUCGAUUCCGCAAGAGAUUUAAUUGUAUCACUGGCCUUUCCUUCUCUGGCAGCAAGAUGAAGGAUUGUGUCCUUCUGGCUGUUUUGGAUGGUGAUUAGAGAAGGAAACGUUUCAGCCAGAUAAGAUGUAAUAUUGUCACUUCCAUAGCUUACAGCUACAUGAAGCAGUGAAUUCCCAGCGGGAGUCUGUAGCUCCUUUGCUGAACGUUUUCGAACACAGCUCUUAAAUGGAACAACGCUGUCAAGCUUCUCAAAUUCAUAUAAUGAAGGAUCCAUCAUUUCAUUUGGCUCAUGAGGCUCAUCGUCUAUUUUUAUGAGUAGAGUACCCAUAGCAGAAGAAAAAUAAUUAUGUUAGCACUUGAAUCAGCUACAAAUCGGGGCUGGACUUUUAUUUGAAUAGAACAGAGUGCAUUUACUUUGAUUUCACUUGCAUGAAUAUACUUGGACUACUCAAAUCCUUCUCCAAUUUGUGGUGCGCAGGCACGACUCACCAACAUGAUGAUGAUUAAAUAGCAUCAAAGAAUAAUAUAAAUAAUAUUUUAAAAUUUAAAUUUUUUAUUUAAAUUUUUAAAUUAAGAUAAUUCUUUGAUAUAAUAUUAAAAUUUUAAUAAUUAAAAAAUUUCAAGUUUAAAUCUCAUUAUUUUAUUUUUGAUUUGUACUUAAGAAGAUGCAUUAGAUAAUAAUGUAAUUUAUAUUUUAAAAUUUUAUUUAAUAAUUUAAAUUUUUAAAUUAAAUUAAAAUGAUUCUUUCUUGUAAUAGCAACCAAACCCAUAAAAAAAAAGGAUAAAAAUAUUCCAUAGUCUUUAUUCUUAACUUGAGAAUAUAACUCACUGUGCGAACACUCGAAGAUUAAAGGAACAGGAUCCACAAUGGCAUCAGAUUGUAACUUAAGUUUAGGUAAAAAGAUCCAAAAAUUUUAACUGUUUAUCAGGAAGUCCAAGGGAUGUUUUAUGUUAUUUUCUUAUAAAUAAAUAAAUUUUUUGAAUUUUUUAAUGUGCUGAUCUCAAAAAUAAUUUUUAUAAAAUAAAAAAAACAUCAUUUUAAUACAUUUUAGCAUAAAAAAUACUUUGAAAAACAACCGCAAUCACAUUAUCAAACAGGCACACCAAAACCUACUUAAUUUAAAAUCAUCGCUUGUAGAAUGGUGAUCAAGUAGAACGUUGAUUGAAUAUACAAGACCAAUAUUUAAGUAUUUGCUUUUACACAGUACGAGUUUAAUUGCCUUUGUGUCACACGUUUGGAACCUCAUUCUUUCCAAAGUGAAGAUGUAGGUGGUUCUUUUUUUUUCUUUUUUUUAAUGUUCUAUGUGCUUGUCCCCGUUUAUAGAAAACAUAAUGACAUGGGAAACAAUAGAAUGUGUGAAAUUCUUCUUACAUAAGCAUCAAAAUCCAUAGGUUAUAAAUCUAUCCAUUCGUAGUACAGUCAUAACGUCUGUAUCCAAUAAACUGCAAUUAAUCAUUAGGGACUAAACUUCAAAUCUGAUUCAACUCUUAGGGACCCAAUUUAAAUCUGAUUUUCAAAAUUAAGGACCAAAUCAUAACAAUUCAAACUCCAAGGACUAGGCUAUAUUGAUUAUAAAUUUCCAUGGAUUAUAUUGUAUCUUUACCUUCUCCUUCUCGAGAGUUUCUGCCGAUUCUCCUUUACCGACAGUGGCUUAAUCCUUUCUGAAUCAUCUUCUUAUUUCUUUGGGACAUGCUAAUCUUGUGCGGUAAACGUAAAUGCACAUGCAAUUAUUUAACCAUUUCUAUUUUUUUAUUAUUUUUUAUCUUAAAGUUAAUUUUAGUUGCUAAGAAAUGAUUAUUAAUCUAUAAAUAUGUCAUAUAAAUUCAAUUUAUUUAUAUAAAUUAUAUAAAAAAACAUUUAAAGAUAAAUUACAAUAAUCUCUGUGAAGCAUUAUAAAAUAAAUAAAUAAAAAUUAAUUACUUUUAAAAAAAAUACUAAAAAAUUAAAAAAAAAAAACAAGAUAGAGUAUUAAUUAAAAUUUAAAUAAAAAUUAAUGAAAUGUUUAUUAAUAAAAGUUAAGCGAUGCUGGGAAUACCAUACCAAGCCCACGCGCUUGGCCAAGGAUCAAAAAACAUAAGUGUGCUUGAUACUAGAAGCCCAAGCCAGCAUUCCCGGCUAAUUUUCUUUCUUUCUUUCUUUUGAAGUUUUUUCUUGAAAUAGACAAGUUGUUUAUUAUGCAAAACUUAUUUGUUAUCCUCUCCUUCUUUUUACUCUUACCUCCUGUGUUUGAAAAAUAAAAGCUGAAGUUUUAAACAAUCACCUUCAUUAAACUUUCAUUAAAAAGAUAAAUUCAUUAAAAAGAUAAGUUGUUUAUCAUCACCUUCAUUUGUACUUCAUGUCCAUCUUCCUUAUGCCAAAAGGUGUGUGUCGCUUACUUACUUCCAUCCAACGCAAAUUCUUAUGGUCGGGAACUGUCAAAAUGAGAAAAAUUUGCAAAGUCCAAUGGAGCGUGGUUGUUAGAGAUAAGGAUAGGGGUGGCCUCGGGAUUGGGUCAUUGAUAGCCAAGAAUAAAGCAAUGCUUUUCAAGUGGAUUUGGAGGCUCUCUCUUCCUGGUAAUGAGCUGUGGAAGAAGAUGAUAUUCAACAAAUUCAAGCCGGUGUUUGAAAAUGGUUUCCCUAUUUUUAGUAGAAGAUUGUCUUGUAUCUGGAGGGAUAUAACAUCCCUUAUGACCUCAACAGACUCUGUCUCUUUAGCUUUAGCCAAUAAUUGUAGAUUUGUAGUGGGAAAUGGCUCUCUGACUCGAUUCUGGUCUGAUGUUUGGUUUGAUAGCUCUCCAUUGAAAGCCAUCUACCCACGACUCUACAUUCUUACCACUAAACCGAAUGCCACAAUUGCUGACAUGGGAAUUUGGGAGCAAGGAGAAUGGAAGUGGGAGUUAGCUUGGAGGAGACAAUUGUUCCUCUUUGAAACUGAGCAGGAUUGUGAAUCCAGGGCUUAGAACUUUCAAGGCUUCGAUAUGGCAAAAAGGGGUCCCCCCUAAGGUUCAAUCUUUUCUUUGGCUAGCUAUUCAGAAUAGACUGUGCACUAAGGAUUUCUUACUUUGCCGUAAUAUAAUCCUAGUUGAUCAAGCCUUUUGUAUCUUUUGUGAAAAUGAGAUUGAGACUUCAAAUCAUCUUCUCCUCCAUUGUAGACCAGUGUGGAAAUUAUGGAUGAAAUUAUUGGAUUGGUGGGGUAUUAGUGGUUGCCUUCCCUGCUGUGUGGAUGAUCUUUUACAUCAAUGGCCCAACCUAGUGUUCGGAAAAUUCCAGCGUAAGGCUUGGUCUAUGCUUUCUUGUUGUGUUAGCUGGAGUAUAUGGCUUAUGAGGAACAAGGUAAUCUUCAAUGAUGGAACUGUGACCUUCGAAGAUAUUUUCUCCUUAAUUCUUUAUCGCCUUUCAAAUUGGCUCAAGUCUGCAGAUAAGUUCUUCAUGGCUACUGGCACUUCUUUAAUUAUGGGUCCUGAAGGUAUUAUAGAUUGGUCUAACACCAAAUAAAGGCUUUUAGCAUGGCGUAUCAGCUUCAUCAUUCCUAAUGUCCUUUUUCGGUUAUGUAUCUGUUGACUUUCUUUUCCUUUCUUUUUGUGUUUGCUUUUUGUUAUUGUGAUUUUUUUUUUCUUUCAUGUAUCUUGUUUUUGGCUACCUUCUGGUUAGCCCUUUCAAUAUAUCGACUUAUUCCAAAAAAAAUUAAAAAGAUAAAUUCAUUAACACCAAUUUUAAUCUUUUUAUGAUUGAAAUCUAUCCUUUAAAGCAUUUUUUUCUCUCUUUAAUAUUUUUUGCUAACUUUUUAUCUUCUCUCUCAAUAUCCAGACACUAAAUUAUUAUUAUUUUUAAAAAAAGAUAGGACGAAAAUAUGAAUUGCUAUAACAACAAGGAUCAAAUAAUAGAUAAGCUGAAACUUUAUAUAGCAAAUUAAAGUUUUCCAUACCAAUAUUCAAAUGGGGUUUUCCAUACCAAGUAUUAAUAUUAAUAUUAAUUCCAUAAAGUAAUAACUCAUAAUCCAUUUUAAUUAUUCAAUUAAUCUAAACCUCAUAACAAUACAUACAAUCCCUUUGAGAGUGCUUUUAUUUAUUUGCGAAAUUGCAAAUAAGUGAAUAACUACGAAAUGAGCAUUGUACCUCUAAAUCAAUGCCAGCCAUUAAUUUUCAAAUAAGGACAAUAUAGUCUAUUCGCUUUAAUUUUUUUUUUUUAAUUCCAUCUAAGUCCACAAUUCCUAGAGUUUUGUUGGGCCUUGGCGUUUUUUUUGUAGGUUUCUACAGUUUUGUUCACAUUACAGCCUACCAUUUUCAAGAUGUCUACCUAUGGAAAUCAUAUCUCACUUGAUUAUGUUUUGAAAGCCUUUUGAGGUAAAGAUGAUGAGGUUUUUAAAAAUUUUUGUGGAAGGUCCAUCUAAUUUUUGAAUAUAAAAAUUCUUAUUUCUUAUCUUUAUUUUCAACGUAAAUGAUGGGGAUACCGAACUGGAAAUAUUAUUUACGCAUGCAAAUAAUCAUAGACGAUGGAGGAUAGCCCAAACAAUUGAGAGAUCGGGCUUUAACUUAUGUUUUAGGUUUAAUUUAUACGAACUUUUAAAUGAGUUUUAUUAAUGUGUCUUUAUUUGUUGGACUUGAUUUAAUUAUUGUUAAGUAUAUUAUUUAGUGGGCUACAAGCCUAAUUGUUUAUUGUAGUUAGGGUUUUAGUAUAAAUACCCUACUUUUCUAAAUGUUAAGGUACUUUUGAAUGAAUGAAAAUUUGCAAACUUUGCAUAUCCCCAACCCCUCUCCUCCUCUUCUUUAGCUUCUUUCUUUCUCCAAAGCUUCUUUCUUUUCUUGCUUUAAUUCUUUUUAUUUAUUGUUCCAAAGUAUAUUAAUAAAAAGAUAAAUCUUAAUUUUGUUUCUUAUAUUCUUAAAUAUAAUAAUGUUCAUUGUAUUAUUUGAACCUUUUAAUUAGAGUGGAAGUUUAAUUCCAUCACUUUCUUACGAGUUUUUUUUUUCAGUGGAUAAUCUGAAAAAAAAUCUAAGUAAGAGAAACUAGAUUCGUUUCAGAGGGUAAUUUUAUGCAUGGAUAUACAAAGGAGACCAACUUCCUCAAUGCAUAAGAAAUAAAGGUAUAAAAAAAGUGAAGUAAGGCUCACUUUCCUUCACCAGCAUAUACCAUGCGUUUACCUUUCCAAUAAUUAGAAGAAAGCGACUUGUAUGGAGAGAGCUUUCUGAAUUUCUUAUAUUGAAAUUCCAUAGGUGUCUUUACAUUUUGUUUACAUUUUUUUAUGCUUGCUUCUAUUAAAAGAAUUUUAAAUUUUAAAGUUAAAUAUUAAAUUUGAUGCUAACGAUCUAAACUUCAGAUAUUAUCCAUGUAAUUCUAAACUUGUAGUUCUAGGCUUAAAAUGAUGUUUCUCAAAUAUAAAUUUAAAACUUAGUGAUCUUUUUAUAUACAUAAAGAAAAUUAAAACUUGUGGAAUAGUCAAAUCUAAAUAUUUUGAAUACAAAAGAUAACUUAACAACUCAAGAUUAAAGAAUUUACAUUUAUUGGAUGAUUCUUCAACUUUGGCUAUAAAGAUUGUGCAAGAAGAUUAACUAGAUGUUGCUAAAGAUUUUACAAUUAGAUUUACAAAGAAUAUUUGUAGCAUUACUGAAUAUAUCUUCACCACAAAUCAAUUGAAAAAUCACAUCAAGAAGGUCAUCAUAGACCAAAUAGAAAUUUCAAUUUAACCUUUAUGUACUUAUGUAAAGCCAUACACACAAAUGAUUGGCAUGUUAAGGAUGUCUUUGAGCUAUCAACCACUAAAGUUUCAACAAUUAGAUAGCAAAAGGAAUCCAAGGAAACAUAUGGCUCACUCUAUAUAGACUUGUAACAAUACUAGAAUUGAUGGUGAUCUCAUGGUAAAACAAUUCAUUCAUUCCUUAAAAUGCAAUGUUUGACUAGUACAUUGACUUAGAGUGUUUUUUAACUUAUAGUUGGGAGCAAUUGAAACAUAUGUUUCUACAACACUCAUCAUAUGGUUAUCAUAAUUGAACUUAUCAAUGCAUAUUAAUAAAUAAAGGCGCAUGUCAUUAACUACAUUCAUCAAUGGAAAAAUCUUAGCCUCAAUUGUAAAGAUCAACUCAUCAAAAGUUCUACUCUAGAUAGAUGUAUUGAAGGGAUGCAUUAGAGUCUGUGCUACAUUAUAUAAAGCAUUAAAAACCUAAAUCUUUUAAAGAAUUAGCUACUAGAACACACAACAUAAGACUUAAUAUUGCUAUAGCUGGAACCUUAUCAUUACUUAUGUAAUGAAUAAAAAAAAUAAGUUUGAAUGUCAUAGAUUUGAAAAGAGCACUUCAAAGGUUCAGGGAAAACAAUCUUUGGUAAUUAACUAUUCAUUGUCAAUCUUGGGUAAUUAACUUCAUUGUCAUAAAUGUACCAACUAGAGGUAAAAGGAAUGAUUGCGCAACGCUAAAUGCUUUUCAAAAGGGUAAAAAGAAAAGGUCAUCAUUUAAAGAGUGACAAGAAAAAAAGUAUCAAUUCCCCAACUUGGAUAUAUCUAAGACACUAUAUGAUUUGCAAAGUAAAUUUCAUUAAGCUAUCAAAGUUGAAACGUCAUAAAAAAACAAAUAAACAUCAUUAAGAUCACCUACACACUAAACCCAAGUAUAUAUGGGUAUGACAAGUUGUUAGAUCCAAAACAUUGGAUUCACCUACAUGUUAAGCUCAAACAGAAAUGGAUUUAUCAAGCUGUCAAACCCAAUAUUCUAGGGUUCAACUACGUGUUGAACCCAAGUACAUAUAGAUCUAGCAAGCUGUCAGAUUAAUGAUAUUAGGCUCAGUUAUGCACUAAGCCAAAAACAAUAUGGGUCUCCCCGACGUGUGGAAUCACACAUUGUCUCUAUUAGAAGAGCACCUGAUGAAUCUAAAACUCCUUUGUCCCCUCUUCGAUUUCUCACUGACAGUGCAACAAACAAACACCUAUAGAGGAAAUCUUGCUCUACUGAAGUUUCAGUAUUCUUCAUGUUUUUCAGUCUAGGCAUGUCUCUUCUCUCUACUUUUGCGUUUUAAUACUGACACUGUUGGAGAAAAAUCAUAAAUGAUCUGAAACUACUGUAUUCCUUCUUGGAUUUUCCACUUGCGGGUCACAAACAGAUUCCUGUCGAGAGAACUCUGCUACGUUGAAGUUUGAUGUCUGCUCAUAUUUUUCAGACCAGGUCUGGCUCUUCAACCUACUAAGAUGUCUUCGUGCAGAAACUGAUGAGAGAAAUAUUUGUAGCAUAUGUAACUUAUAAAUCCCCUCUUGCAUUCCCAAUUUGCAGAGCCAUAAAUGGAUUUUUGUAGAGAGAGCUCUGCCACAUUGAAGUUCAGUGUUCAGACCAUCUUGUGCUGCUGAACUGGAAUUGAGCUCAUAAUCGGGGUAACUUCAAAGCAGACUAAUACACCAUGUACAGGAGGCUAGUAGUCAUUUGGUUCCAUUAGAUGAUGUGGAGGCGAUGAACACUUAACAGUGCAACUAGUCAAGAAUCAGAGUUGUUAUUAGUUGAUGACUGAAGGCGUUGUUGUUGUUGUUCAUGACUGAAAAGGAGAGAUACAACUUCAAUUGGAUGUGGACAAGCAGUGUUCCCAUAGAAGACUGUGCAGACAUUCUCUUUCCAUUUGAUGCUCAACACUUGUUCGAGCAGAUCUGAGUCUAGCUACUUCACAUUUGAUGCUCUCAAACUCAAUCUGAUAAUGAGCCUCUAUCUGACAUCUUUCUUCACUUCCAUCCUUUCUUCAAUCACUUGCAGCACAACUUGUGCGGGGGAACCUACCUUUCAACCCGGUAUAUGCAUGAUAAAUGUAUGAAUAUGUAAUCUAUAUGACGAACUCGCCCUUCGAGGGGUGACAAUAUGGUCGUAACUCUUGUAUGAUGGAACAAGAAUCGUGAUUUUUGCCCAAACUCUACAAUGAAAAUUUUCUGAGUGAUGGCCAUUGUGUCACCCACAAGUCUUGAGUUCAAGAUGCUUCAAGAAGGGUUUGCUCGGAUGUAAAACAAUAGCACAUACAUCCUAAAGACAGGCUCUAUUCAUUUUACGUGAGACAAAGGGUAGGUUUGCUACUUGGUCUCUAAAAUGGAUCUCUUGUUGUCCCAGUGAUUGCCCUCGUAAAGGCAAUAUAGGGGCCCAAUAGGUAAUGGGUUGGCACGUGUCCAACUAUUACCAGUCUAAGCACUCAACGAAGAGUUGGGGUUUACACAAACUUCAACCUUGACUAAAAGUCGUAAGGUAAGCUGCUAGUCCCCCUCCUAACCUGAAGCUUGUGUGUGCUUAAAAAAAAAUUACACUAUGUGAUGCAUGAGACAAUUCUAUAAAAUGCAUGGAUAAAACAAAAAUAAAAUAAGACAAAAAUGCGAAAACAUAAACACAUCAAAUAUACAAAGCUUAGUCCAAUAAUGUUGAAAACAAUACCAUCCCUAGUGGAUUUUCAAUUCCAUCGCACGUCGAAAAAUCCGCGCGCGGCAUCGGGCUGGCGAUUUUUAUCGUUGUUGCGUUUGCUUUGAAUUCGUUCGUUGGAGUCGCCACCUAGUAAUUGAUUGCGGGCUACUAGGAAACCGGAUUUACUGGUCGUUGUCAGAGAUUUAAGGGUAAGGGACUGGUUGUGGCUAGGGAAGGUAUUAGCACCCCUAGCGCACCCUACCUGAGGUAAGCUACUUUGUGGACUUGAUGUGUUAAAGAAGUUUUAAAAAUUCUGUUCUUUCAUCGAAUUUUAGAAAAUACAACUUACAUGUAAGUUCAUAAUUCUUUAUCCGUGAGCAAAUCAGAAUAUUAAAUUCUUCUUUAUUCUUGCAAUUUUAUCAUAAUAAAAAAAAACAUUCAUAAACAAAAAUACACACCACAUUCACUUUCAAGCUUUGUGGACUUGAUGUAAUAUUAAAAAUAAAUUUUUUAGCCCAAUUCUAAGGCUUUGAUAAAUCAGUUAUUACUUCCCAGACUAUAUGUAGAUACAUGUUCUAUAUUUUCAUGGAAAAUACAACAUGAUUUUUAUCUGUCCUUUAGAUAUUUGUGCAUAUAAAUUAAAAUAUUAAAUUUUUUUUUUCUUUUGAUUCAAUAAUAUACAUAAAAAAUACAUACAAACACACACACAACUUUCUUUUUAUUAUUUAUUUUUCCUUUUCUUUUUCUUUUCUUUUCUUUUCUUUUACAUCCAUAUUUACAAAAUACAAAAAUUCAAAAACAAAUAAACAAACAUUACAUUAAAAUUACAAUAAUAGCCCCAAAACAAUCUGAAAUUACAAGGAAACCAUUCUGCAAGCUGAAACAGUGUGCAGGAACAGUGGCGGCGGGUCCUCCCACGCGCCACCACCACUGGCGGUGCGUGGGCUCACGCACCGCCGCAGGAAACUCAAAAAAACCAGGGGAUCUUGAAUGUCUUCUUCCCCUCUGUCUUCCCACGCCGACGGUGAUGGUCACCGUCACUUGCAACAAGGGAAACAACGCACAAACAACAGUUGAUUUUAAGUUUUUUCUUUCCUUUACAGAUCUGCGUUUUUCUCUCUUCUUCUCCAUUUCAGAUCUGCUUCUCCCUACAGAUCGGUUCUUUUACUCCUCUUUCCCAUUCUUCUCGGUUUCAGGUGGCGGCAAGUAUGUCCAAGGGGGCGGCCAGCGACUGAGUUUCGAUGUGGAGAGGAGAGUUGCUCACCGGCGACUCGUGCGUUGGGGGCGCCUGCUGCUGUGUGGCUUGGUGGAGGAGAUCGGUGGAACAGAGAAGGAAAUGAAAAUGGGGCUACGGUCUCGUUCUGCUGAGGGGAUGAGGAAGGGAGAUCAGCGGUGAGGGGCGGCGUCUCUGGUGGCUGUCGCUGCUGAGGAGACCGCAGAAGAGGAUGCUGCCGAGAAAGAGGGCUUCGGUGUUGAUGGGUCUGUGGGCGCUGGAGGAACGGCUGGAAGAGGGGAGCUAGUCCGGCGUGGGAGCUGGAGAUGAGAGGGGAAGAGGGAGUAGCUGAGAGGGAGGAUCUGUGGAAGGGGGAGCUGAUUCGUGGUUGUUGUUGGUCUAUGGCCGGUUGAUGACUGAAGAUUGGGAAAAGGGAAAGGAAAUAUAUGUGUGUGGGGGCUGAUUGGCUGUGGUUGUGGCUGUGGAAGAUGAGAAGAAAAAAUGGCCCGCUGGUGGGGGAGAAACAAGUCAGGGGGUCCUUGGCUCUGUUCUGAAAACAACAACCAGGGUCCCCGGGGAACGGAGGCUCUUUUCUUUGUCAAGAGCCGGCGGCUGGUCUUGUGUGGGUUGAGAGUUAAGUUUAGGUUUAGGGUUUUUUUUGUGUUUCUCUUCUGAUAUUUCAAAAUUGCCCCUCUCCCCUUUGUGUGAGUUGAAGACUAGUAUUUAUAGGUAGAAAUAUUGCUAGGUUUUCAAAAUGGUCCCUCAAUUUCUUUCUUUUUUUGUAAAUUUUGAUUUUUCUUAUUUUUUUGUAUUUUUUGAAAACGAGCAAUAUCAACGUCGACCUAAUGAGAAAAAUCAAUGAUUUAAAAAAAUAACGCGUGAAAAGUCGAACGCGUUCGUAAGACCCUUAAAAAUUUAAAUUUUUUUUUUAGACGACGUUGAAAAUGCUAAAAUGACACGAAUAUAUUAAAAAACAUAUUUUUUUGGAUUUUCAUUUUUUUUUCUCUGUUUUUGGAUUUUUUUGAAAAUAUAUCAAAAACAUGAGUCAAAAAUUGGGUAGCAACAAUCCUUAGGCUCAGCUAUGUGCUAAACCCAAAAAACAAUUGUGUGGCAAGCUUCCAAACACAACAUCAUUGGGAUCAGCUACGUGCUAAGACCAAGUACAUAUAGGUCUGUCAAACAACCAAACCUAAUGACAUUGGGUUUAAUCACGUGUUGAGCCUAAACAGACAUAGGUUUAGUGAGCUAUCAAACCCAAUAUCAACGGGUUUAACUAUAUGUUAAGAUUAAGUAUAUAUAGGUUUGGUAAAUUGUCAUACCCAACAUCUUAGGGUUCAAUUGUAUGUUAAGUCUAAACGGAUGUGGGUCUGGCAAGCUGCAAGACCCAUUGCUAGUGGACUUAACAUCAUGUCAAGCCUAAGUGGGUAUGAGUUUAAAGAUCAUUAUAAGUCUCGUGUUGGGCUAUAAGGCUUUCUUUGUUUCUUCUUAUAAUUUUUAACAUGAAAUGUUAAUGUUAAGAAUAUUCAUCUCUUUACAAUUCUAAAUAUAUAAAAAUCUUCUAAGGACCUACCAUAUUUUCAUCAGUAUUAAAUAUUGUAUAAGAGAUAUUUAUUCCUCAUUGAUGAUGUGUAAUGGAUAUUUAUUCAUUGUCCAAACACUCAAAAACCUCUUUCUUAAACAUACUGGAUUUUUAAACAUCAUCAAUUGAUGAACAAGAAAUCGAUUUUUUUGCCAAGAGAAAAGGAGAGGAAGGAAAGGAUUAAAAAACAACAAAAGAAUCAGCUGCAAAGCAUUUACCGUAUGAUAAAAGUUGAUGUUUUGCCAAUCCAUGUUCACCUUGCAGCCGCAUCCUUGCCUAUAACACAAACCCUAUCCACUCCAUUAAUUAAAUUUAUAAUUAUACUAAAUUUUUUAAAGUACUAAUAUAAACUAUAUCACUUCAUUUCGUUAGUUUGUUCUCAGAAAAGGGGCUCAGCUGAAAAUUAAUGAGAGUAAUAACGUAAUUUAAAUCUUUUAUUAUUAUAAAAUUUAAAGCAACUUAAAUGACAUGAUCAUUACUUAUAUCUUUUUAUCUUUUUUUACUUUUUAUUUGAUUAAGUUAUGGAUUAUUUAAUAUAAAUAAGGGAGGAAAUGGUUAGAUUAAAAGAAUUACACUGAGUUGUGAUUAGAACGUAACAAGAAACAAGAUCAGAAAGGUGGACAAUAUGGUUGAAGUGCAUGAUCACAACGAGCCUGGUUUGAUUGGAUCAAGUUGAUAAGGUGAUUGAGAAUGUUUAGGGCGAGCCACAGAUGAUAUGAGCUCUCACUUACAUGAAGAUUUGACGAGGGAUGAAGUGAAAGAAGUCUUAGAUUGGAUGGAACCGAAACAAGUUCCAGAACCAAAUGAUAUCCUAGCUUUAAUAUUGUUAUCCACUGUCCAUAAAUGAAACAAUUUAAAGCCCCGCGAUCGAUCAAGGUGGUCAUCAUUCAAAGCCCCUUUGAAAAAACCACUUCUAUAACAGUCUCAAAGCUUGCAAAAGAUAUAUUAAAAUAAUUUAAAAAUAUAUAAAAAUUUAAUUUUUGUAAAAUAACGCAAUUUCAAAAUGGAAUACCUGUAGACAAAAAAAAAAAAAACUUAUCAUCAAAUGACAACGUGGGACACAAUCUGCAUUAUGUAUUGUGUUCUCUUCUGUUGAUGGAGGGGUCGUGUUUUGCUGUAUUUGUUAGAACAAAACAUUUUUUAAAAUUGCUCGUCCUUUUACCUUGAAAACAUUCUGCAGUUCUCUUUUGAUUUACUCAAGGGUGAUGUCAAAUCUAAAGCAAAUGCCUUGAACCUAUUAACCUUAUUGAUUCAAAUUAGAGCAGGGAUGUUUUUUGGUUAUUCCUUUUAUACUUGUUUUUUGGUUUUUUUUGUUUUACAACAUGCAAGAAAAUUUACAAAUACUUGUAUAUAAAAAUAAAAUAAAAACUGUUAGGAAUCUCAAAAACUUACCUGAGUGCCACUGUAUAUGUAAAAGACUGAAAUACCCUUGAAUUUCUCGAAAAAUUACAAAAAUACCCCUGGUGGUGCAUGUGGCUCAUGCGCAAUUACUGUUGGAGGCGGCAAAAUUUUCCGGCAAGAUUUCCAACCAACGAAUGGUUGAUUCUGGUGGAUCUGAGGGACAGGAUUAUGAUGAAGGAGGUUUCGACGGCCGUUAAUGGCUGACGAGGUAGAAUCGUCGUUUUGAAGCUUCGGGUGGCCGACGAAAUCAUGGUCGUUUUCCGGCUAGAUGAGGUGGCGAAAACGUUGAAAACAACUGGGGUUUUGCUUUAUAGCAGGGUAGAAACCUUUCUGUGGUGGUUUGGUAGCUUCACACGGCCGGAAAUGGGAGAUCAAAUGAGAGAGAGAGAGAAAGAAUCGCCAGCGAGAGGAGAGAGAGGCUCUGAGAUUGUGCUACGGUGUGAACACGAGCACAGUGUACCUAUACAGCUAAAGGUUGUGAGUCGUUCGAUCGCGGAUGUACCGAUCCUUCGGCUGUGAUUGGCUUGAUCUGCAAGUUGAUCGAAGGAUCCGGAUGAGCUGAUCUUUGAUCUGGUGUGGCGCGGUGGACCGAAAGCUCGGUACACAGGGUGACGUGGCACAACAGGAUCAAAGGGCAGAUUAUUUCAAAGGCUAAGAUGGAUUUGGGUUUUAAUCUAGUGUGGUAAGCCCUAUUGUAUCCUAUUAAUUCAAAGGUCCAGAACUAACACUAUUAGAUCUAACGGUUAGGAUAUUUUUAGUAUUUUUCAAAUUGUUUUAAAAAAAAAACAAUAUCUUACUCGCAUGAAGAAAAACUAAAAAAAAUUCAUAUAAUAAUACUCUACUUUUCUUUCUUUCUUUUCUCCUUUCCCUUUCUCCUCCGGUGCUGUGGCUAUUUAUAGCCAAUAAGCAGGGACAACAUAUUUAUUUCAAAGGAAAAAAAUGCAUCCCCGCAACUAACCCACCUACUAUAAUAAAUUACUAUAUUAUUAAUUUUGUUUUAUUAUAUAUAAUAAUAAAUAUUUAUAUGGGUAAAACUAAAAAACUUAAAUCAGUAUUAUAAAAAAGCUCGUUUCAACCGCUAAAAAAAUAUUUUAAUUACCGAAAAUUGUAUUGGAACACAAAAAAAAAAACAUUUGAUGGGUAUCAACCCGGUGAAUCGUGUUUUGACCGAAAAAUAAUGAUUUUGACCCGAAACCUCAUUUUUUACCCUGGUCGACAUGGUUUGACCUGUAUUGAUCCGGUGGACUCAGUUUUGAUAAAAAAUGAUGGUUUUGACCGAAAAUGAUGGUUUUGACCCGAAACGUCAUGAAAACUUAUUUUUUACCCUGGUCGACAUGGUUUGACCCGUAUUGACCCAAUGGACUUUGUUUUGAUAAAAAAUGACGGUUUUGACCCGAAACCAAGGUUGUCAUUUCCGUUUCGAUGGGUAUUUUGUUUUUUCAAUUGGAAUGGAAUGUUUCAGUUUCUGAGUGUUUCGGCGUGCCGUUUCGGGGUUAUACUGUUUAUAUAUAUAUAUAUAUAUAUAUAUAUAUAUAUAUAUUCAACAAACAUAAUUCAAAUUCAAGAUAAAUUAAUUAUAAACUAUGCAAUACAAACACAAUACCAAACAAAUAUAAUUUUAAAUUUUAAAAUAUUUCUAAAUAGUUAAAAAUUAAAUAGAUUUUUAUCUUAAAGUAAUUCAACUUAAACAAAAUAUCAAAAUAUUAUGAAAGUAAAAUAUUUAAACAAAAAUAUUUAAAUAUAAAGUUAGGUCAAUGUUAUCGAGUGACUAAUGGAAUGUAAAACAUCCCUUGUUUUGUUCAAAUUCCUACAAAGUAUAAACAUGAAAAAAAACAACAUAAAUAUAAACCAUUUAUAUUAGUGAUAAAUCUAAUUUUAAAAAAUUAAUAUCAUUGCUAUUAAAAAUAGUAUGGAGGGUUGUUUAAUAGUAUGGUAAUUACUAAUUUUUGUUAAAAUAUAUUAAAAUGAUAUAUUUUUUAUUUUUUAAAAAUUUAUUUUUAACAUCAAUAUAUUAAAAUAAUUUAAAAAUAUAUAAAAAUUUAAUUUUUGUAAAAUAACGCAAUUUCAAAAUGGAAUACCUGUAGACAACAACAAAAAAAAAAAAAAAAAAAAAAACUUAUCAUCAAAUGACAACGUGGGACACAAUCUGCAUUAUGUAUUGUGUUCUCUUCUGUUGAUGGAGGGGUCGUGUUUUGCUGUAUUUGUUAGAACAAAACAUUUUUUAAAAUUGCUCGUCCUUUUACCUUGAAAAAAUUCUGCAGUUCUCUUUUGAUUUACUCAAGGGUGAUGUCAAAUCUAAAGCAAAUGCCUUGAACCUAUUAACCUUAUUGAUUCAAAUUAGAGCAGGGAUGGGAUGGAUGCUUGUUGUUUUUAACCAAGUUGAUGUCUAUAAUUCUCCACAAAUAACAAUAUCUUAAUUUGAAUAUUCGAUUUAAUUUUUUUUUAACUGAAUCCAACAACAACAAAAGGAGUCUAGUAAAUGCAUGCUUAAAAUAAAAAAGUAGAAGUGCGCAUACAUUCAAUUGGAAACUCAUGAGUUAUUACAAGUUCAAAUUAUUACCACAAUCGCUAGAAAGACAUAAUCCAAGAUGUUAUCCCCCAAAAUCCCGACCUCUGAUCUUACUAAAGAUGGUGCUUUCUCUUGAGAUCAGAGAGUUAAUUACCCAGCCACCAGCUACUGUAGAUAAACAAUAAAAAAAAGCUGUAGUAGAAAGAGUGCAAGAGAACCGGUAGAAGAACAUGGUUGAAAUUUAGCGGGAUAAUCCAAGGAAAAACAAGGAAUACCUGAGCAAAGAAAAACAUAACGGCCACCACUUCUGCGAUGAUUGUUAACAACCCACCAUGGGAUCCUAGCAAUGCUAUUCUCACAGAAAAAAAGAAUGCUCCGAACAUCAUGAUAAUAGCCAAACAAACCACGGAGAUUGAAAACUGAACUGCAGGGAUUUGAUAUCUGGGAUAAUUAAAGUUUGACCAGAGAAGGAGUAGAGCUGCCAGCAGAGAGGAAGAUAAAGCCCCCACAUCGAGAAAUAAAUAACCACACAGAAGAUUCUCAUAAGUGCUGUUGAGUUCACUUGAGUUAUUUUUAUCCCUUAAUUGUGGCAGUUGUAUAGCACCUGCAAACGUUACACCAGCAACAAGAACUGUUACCACCAGAAGACUCCCUACCAUGCUCUUUAUUUCCUCUUUUGCUCGUGACAUUGGCCGUAGAGUAACGGGGAAAAGCUCCUUGAGGGAUUUCUUAGGGCGGGCAUUGAAGAAUAAGAUCGAUAAUGUCGUCACCUGCAUAUAUAUAGCACGGGGGAAAAAACUUAAUUGUUUAAUGAGUUCUUGGCACUUCCUCAAUUGCAUCCAAAAGCAUUGACCUUCAAAUGCCUUUCCCAGAACAAGUAAUUUUCUGGAAUGGUUUGAAAUUUUUUAAUAUAAUGGUAUACAAGUUAAAUCAAUUGGGCUUGAACUAGAAGUUUAAAAGAUUAGGGAUGGCAAGUGAAAAAAAAAAAAAAGGAAAGAAGAAAAGCAAUAAUACCAAGAGAAAAUACUCAGCCCCUUUUUCGUCCUUUGGUGAUGCCUCUUUUGUAUCCAUCUUAUUUGAAUCAACUUCUUUGCCCUGUCAAAAAAUAUUAUAUGUUAAUAUGCAGCUCUCUCUCUCUCUCUGCUAUGGCUGGACAACAAUCUAAAGCAACUGAAACUGGUGAUCAGUUCAUGUUUGGGAAAAAGUCAUUUGAUGAGAUUAGAUGAGAUAAUUAAGCUAAAGUACAGUUUUAGGGCUCACCAAAUUUGCUAAUACAAGCCAAGUACCAACAGUAGGAUUCUAAGUUAAUUGUUAGAGCAUCUUCAAACGAGAAGCUAAAUGGAUAGCUAAAAAUAAAAAAUUAAUAUUUAAAUUUAUUUUUACUUGUUUUGCAGUCUAAGGGGAAAGCCAAAUAAAAUGUUAAAAUAUCUUUUCUCUCCCACAAAUGCUAUUUUUACAUAUCUUUUUAAAGAACCAAAACCAACAAAAUAAAGCCACUGAAAAAAUAAACCAAUUAAAUAUAGUCAUGUGGAAAAACAAAUAACAUCAAACUUAUUAAGAAAUAAUAAAAUACUUGUUUUUUCCACUCCAAUAUAAAUGGCUCUUCAAAUGGCUUUUUUCUAUUGGAAUAGAUAUGAUAAAAAAAACUAUAUUUAUACUAUUCAAAAUGCUAUUUUAUCAAUUUAGCUUUUCAAAAUAGCAUUUUGCAUUGGAAAUUCUCUAUAUCAAAAAAAUUUAUAUGGGAACUUAGAAAUUGAUGUGUGUGUGUAUUUAAUAUAUAGAUUAAAUUGAAAAUUAUAUAAUCCUAUAAAAUAUAGAGAAAGAGUAAUUGUUAGUGUUAACUAACACAAAAACAGAAGCUAUAUAUAUAUAUAUAUAUAUUGAAGAUAUUCAUGAUUUCUUGCUGCGAAAUACUUUUAAUCUUUUUAUUUAAUUAUAUAAUAAUAAAUUAAUUUUUAUAAAUAAUUUAAAUUCCAUAGGAUAAAAAAAUAAUUUAAAUUGAUUUGAAAUAAAAAUAAAAAAAGGUAUCUAUAUUGUUUUUAAACAAAACCAUUUUCCUUAUUAAUACGUUCCAUUUUUAAUUACUAAUGUUUUUAUAAAAUUGUUUUGUUUUUUUUACUAUCAUAAUCUAUAAAUAAGUUUUAAUUAAAAAAUAAAAUAAUAAUGGAUUGAUGAUUUUCUUGAAAAACAAAAUUUAGCAAUGUUUUUAUUGCAUAAAAACUAAAAGCAAUUAAAAUAAAUAUGGACAAAAAAUUUCAUGAUUUUAUUGCAAUAAAGAUAAAAAAAAAGAUAUCCAGUUGAUAAAAAAAAAAAAAAAAAGCUUUUUUUUAUUAAUCCAUCCUCUCUCUCUCUUUUUUGGGUAGUAUUUUAUAAAAAAUAUUGUUUCUUAAAUAAAAAAACUUAUCAGAAUCCUAAACGUAAAUACCUUGAUCUCGUGCGCAGGGGUACUGCUCUUUGAAUCAAACUGCUCUCGUUCCUCGGCACGCUGGCAACAAAGAGGAAGCCCAGAUACCAAAAUAUUAAAUCAGUAAUACUCCUAAAAUAUAUAGACUUUUGUAGCUCGAUAAAUGAUGAUCAAAUUAGCAGCAUACCAUUUCUAUGUAUGUCUCUUCAGUUCUUUUGGAAAAAUCUUCAGCCAACUCAUAUGGUGUCCAAUUUCUAUUGUUAACAAUGAAAUGUUCAACGCGAUUGUCACGCACAAGAAGAAAUGUAGCCCUGCAUCGGCCAUGACGUGCUGCCAAAUGCAAAGGUGUAUUUCCAUCCUCAUCUGUCGCAUUUACCAGCGGUGCGACGAGCUGCUGGUCCUGUUUGAGUAUGUACCUAACCACACUGCAAUUUCCAUAUUUGGCCGCUACAUGAAGAAUGUUCUGCCCUUUCUUAUUGAGGAAUUCUUUUGGAUAUGGGAAUUUAUCAAGAAAUUCCUUCACUACAUCUACAGAGUGACGUUUGCAUGCUACAUGGAUAGGAUAGUCGCCUUCAAGGUUUGUUUCAUAAGCAUCAUCGUGAAAAUUCGUUAAUAGGAAUCGAACUCCUUCCAGAAAACCUAUGGAUGAUGCAUAAUGCAGUGAAUUUCCAAACUCUUCCUCGGUGAGACGUAAUAGCUCUGGCUUUUCAUUUCCAAUUU
Molecule: long non-coding RNA, 111433 nt
Filed under: Populus tremula
Lineage: Eukaryota; Viridiplantae; Streptophyta; Magnoliopsida; Malpighiales; Salicaceae
Description: long non-coding RNA (PTRE_LNC000792)
Source: RNAcentral